RNAcentral lists this long non-coding RNA (100735 nucleotides) under Lactuca sativa (garden lettuce). Its description in RNAcentral is "long non-coding RNA (LSAT_LNC003408)". Lineage: Eukaryota; Viridiplantae; Streptophyta; Magnoliopsida; Asterales; Asteraceae. The record is from RNAcentral.
AUUUAUAUAGGUUGUCAUAUUCUCUUAAACAAAAAUUAUAGGUAAUUUAUAUUUUAUACAAAUGAAAAAGUAAAUUUUAACCUAUGAAAUUGAUUUAAACAACUGAAGAUUAAAACCUAGUAUUAGAAAGGAAAACUAAAUUAACACCAAUUUGCCCAAAAUUAAACCAUGUAUUAUACUAAAUUAAUUCACAAGAGAGUUCCACAUCACUCAAAUAUUAUCUCGCACUCAAAUUCACAAAACUCACUUUCCAGGUACAAAGUUUGUAGCAUAUGACCAUGCAUUGUUUGCAACCGGGUCCGCAAGAUGGUCAGCGAGGUUCUCCAAUGGUCCCUUUCCGGUAACAAUGGCUUGAACAAAGAAUCCAAACAUAGAGAACAUGGCUAGUCUGCCGUUCUUGAGCUCCUUCACUUUCAGCUCAGCAAAUGCCUCUGGGUCAUCAGCCAGACCCAAUGGGUCGAAGCUACCACCAGGGUAAAGUGGGUCAACUACCUCACCAAGAGGUCCACCAGCAAUUCUGUAACCUUCAACUGCACCCAUCAAGAUCACUUGGGUAGCCCAGAUGGCUAAAAUGCUUUGUGCAUGGAUCAAACUUGGGUUCCCCAAGUAGUCAAGACCACCCUCACUAAAGAUCUGGGAUCCAGCCUUGAACCAGACAGCCUCACCAAACUUGACACCAUUACGCGCCAAGAGUUCGGGGAAGACGCACCCAAGAGCUCCGAGCAUGGCCCAUCUGCUGUGGAUGACCUCAAGCUCACGGUUCUUGGCGAAUGUUUCAGGAUCAGCAGAGAGCCCAGCAGUGUCCCAACCGUAGUCACCGGGGAACUCACCGGUCAGGUAAGAUGGGGCUUCGCCGGAGAAUGGGCCAAGGUACUUAACACGGUCGGGGCCGUACCAUGGACUUCCUGAUGGUGCGACUUUCUUGACUGCUGUCUUCCUCAUGGAAACCCUUCCAUUUCCGGUAAUUUCAGAACCAGAUGGUGCUACUUUCACCGCCUGUCCGACGAAAGAAGAGGAUAGUGCCAUGGUGGAAGCUGCCAUUUUUGUGAGAUUUGUUUUGAAGAUGUUUUGAUGAUAUGAUAGUAUUAUGAGUGAUGAAGAUGUGUGGAUCUGGAACGUAGAUUUAUAGGGUGGUUUUUGGGCCAGGUAGUUGAUCAAUGCUUAUCUUGAUACACUCUUUAACUUCAUUUUGAUUGGCUACCAAGAUUUUAGUUCUAUCAGAGGGUAUAUAAUUUGUGUGGUUCAAGUUCUCUGGUCCACGGGAGAUAUUUGAAGGGGCAGCGAUAUUCAUGGCUCUGGCUUAUUGAGCGAAUAUAAUGGCUCGCAUUCUCAGCCACUAGCUAGUCUUGGUGGGGUUUUAGCCAGUCUUUGUGCGGUUUUUCAUGUUUAACCAUUACCAUAGUAUCGACUAAGUUUAGUCCAAACAUGCAUUGAAGUUCAGUAGAUUUGUAUUAUCAUUUUGUUUUUUAUACAAAUUUAUCAUUUUCGUACAUAAUAUAAACUCUAGGAAAAUUAAAUAGAAUAUAUUUUGAGAUAUUGACAACAUUGACCAAAUAAUAAAAAAACGUAACACACCAUUCUAAAAAAUAACAUAUAACCAUGAUGUCCGAAAAAAAUAUAACAUAUAACCAUGAUUUUCGAAAAACAAAAUUCUUGAAGAUGUACAAUUUUCGAAGGUACUAUUUGGUGACUAAUUUUAAAAGAAGCCAUUUUCAAAAUGUAAUAUUCUCGAAGUGAUUAUUUCAGCUACUUAAGGUGAUGUUGAUUUCAAAUCUCUAACAUGACAAAAAGCUUCCCCAACAAAUCUGAAGCAUGGACAUUUCAACCUAAAGAUGGGUGAGGGAAGUUCUUUUAUUGAUCAUCUUUUGUUUUCUAACAGCUUGUAGAACAUCUAGAAAUAUUGGAUGCCACAUAUGAAAAAGAAGACUUGCCGUUGUUCCUAUUGUCAUCUUUAACAAAUUCAUAUGAUGACUUUUGUGAUAAUAUUAUCUAUAGCUGAGACACCAUUGUCUUGGAUGAGAUCAUGACCACUUUAGACUUGAACGAAAGGAUGAAACUUAUCAUUAGUGAUAGUAAUGGUGAUAUAAAGGACGAAGGUCUCCAAGUAAGAGGAAGAUAUAUGUAGGGAAGUAACGAUUCCAAAUCCCUUAACAAGUCAAGAUCCAAGUCCAAAGAGAAACGUAUAUAGUGCAAAUAUUGUGUGUCUGUUGAAGCUGAUGUGGCCGAGAUCGUCUUUGAUGGCGAGCUUCUAGAAUUAUUUCUGACGAUGGUUAUUUGAUUACCACGAACGGUGGGUUCUUGAAUUUGUGCGUGCUUUUCACAUGAGUCCAAACAAAUACUAUUGUCACACCACAUUGAAAAGGAUAGUUGAUGCCAAGUUUUAAUAGGCAACGUCGACACUUCCUCCCUUAUUUUAGGACAAGCCACAAUUAGAUUUUGAAUGUUCGAUGGUGUAGUAAGUGUUGGGUUUCUAUAACAUCAAGUACACACAAACAAGGUAGUGGAAACAAUGAAAUGAUAUACCUAAGUGCAUAUGCUCUUUAGAUCUAGGUUUUACUAGUUUUAGCAAAAUACUUAAAAAUCAACAUAAAAUAAAGAUAAAACACUUACUUUUUGUUCAUUUGUAACGUCAUAAUAAAUACUCUCUCCGUCCCAAAAUUAUUGUUCACAGACAAAAAAAAAACACACAGAUUAAGAAAACAUUAAUUACUACUAACUUUAUUCAAUAAAAUGACAGUUAUGUCCUUAUUUUGCAUUUAAUGUUCGAUUAAAUGCUUAGUUGGUUAAGUAAUAAUAAUAAAGUGUAUUUUGGUAAAAAAGUUAUUUAUUUUUAUAAGUGGACUAUAAUUUUAGGACAAACCAAAAAGGAAAGAUGGACUAUAAUUUUGGGACGGAGAGAGUAAUAAUUACUAAAAUAAAAUCCUAAAAUAGGAUAAUCUAUAGCCGUGCGCGCUGCGGACUAUAUAAUACAAGUUUCUUAUUAAGGAAAAAUAGGAAAAAUCACCCGAGUCGUCCGUAAGUCAUAAAAAUAAGUGUGCCAAAAUGUAUAUAUUAUUAUAUAUUCAAAAAGUACAUGUCGUCCUGAUCCCGAAAAUAUAAAUUUCGUAGAAAUCUUAGUUCAUAUGAAGACGAUAUGAAUUUUAUAAGACAUAAAAAUCAACAGCCUAACUAAAAAUUAUUAACGUCAAAAUGUACAAAGAGAAUGGUUGACCUUUGGGUAAAGUCACCAAAAUGAAAAUCAUAAUGCUCUUUAAUGUAAGAAUUUUGGUAAAAGAAACACAAAAACUCGGAGUCCGUAUGGGAAAGUUAUGAUUUUUGCAAAAUCAUUAAAUCAUAUAAAAAUAAGGGCUAAAAACAAAUUCAGAAUUAGCCGAUGGAGCCUAAAGGAAAGUUGUAGUAUUGUCGAGAGCUACAUGUGGAAAAAAAGAACGUCAAAAGCAGAGUCCGUAUGAAGAAGGUGAAAAUGCGACCCAAUGAGAGCUUGACACGUGACACAAUGUGGCUAGGGAGAAGUCACCUUAAAAUGCACGACGUACACCCCCAUUGCACACUGUGCACCCAAAAUCGGCUAUAAAUAGGAGGUCAAGCCUCAUUCACUCCUCAACACCGCUUCUAUCAUUCUCUUUCGAUUUCCUUUGGUUCUGGCCCAUUUUAUCUUAGUUUUAGCAUUCGGCGAAGCCCUGCGAUCCCUAAAGUAGUAGUAGUUAGCGAGUAGAAGCUUUGCCAAUGCAAUUUCCUAACUUUGUUAGGAAGAACCUUUGUAAGUUAAGCUAUACUCUAGUCUUUUCAAUGUAAGUUAUAUUUAUAGUCAUAAGUCAUUAUUAUGAACCUAUAAAUAAGAUUUAUCAAUAAUUCUAUGUCGUUAUACUGAUUGAUCUACUUACGGGAGAUGUGCCUAGAAUGGUCACGUUGGCUUGGUUGUUGGAUUUCAAAAAAGAUAAUGAUUCUGCCUCCCAACUGUCCUGCUUGGAUGAUCCUUAAUUGAUAGAUCUUGAUUUAGACAUCAAAAUUAAUGAGGAAUCUAGUCAUCAGGACCAUUAGACUAGAACUUUAUAUAAAUUAUACUUAGGUAUCGGAAAUAUCUGAGGUGUUAGGCAAAGCUCUGCCCAGAUCACCAGCCACCCACCUAAGUCAAGUGAGUACAUAGUCCCCUUCAUGAACACGAUUUAAUACAAGUAUUAAUUGAAAUAUUAAAAAUCUGCUGGAAGUCGUAUGUGAAUUAUAUACUUAUUGCCUGGAUUGUAUGUUAGGAUAUAUGGUGCUAUGUGCGAACUAGAUAUGGUUCUAUUUUAUGUUAAGAUAAAUAGAUAAUAUUACAUAAUAAUAUUCAAAGCAAAAUUGUUGAGAAGAUAAAUGAUUAAUAACACCUAAUACUCUUAUGGAAUAUAUAUAUAUAUAUAUACUAAGAUAGGUUAGUGUCGCCCAAGAAUAGAGUUGGUAUUAAAAAUUUAGUUUCAGGCACGGUAUUCUAUUCUAGGAAUAAACUUAGACUUAUGGAAGAUACCUAGUUCAAUUAAGUUGAUAUUAGAUAGUCUCAUUAGGAGAAUGUGCGUAACCUAGGAAUGGAGAGUAAAGUUUUGUUCCAUGACACUAUUAGGUGUCGAUUUGUUAUAGCUUCGUACUAGAUGACCAGAAAUGGUGGGUCCUGAUCAGGCAACUGUUAGCAGUAUGUCUAGUCACGCCACAUAGUAUUUUUGGAUUAGAUGUCCAAACCCAUAACUAUAAUUGGUAUAUACUUGACCCGAGAGUAGCAUGGUCCAUUUCAGGUUGCCUUCAUCAAAGCAAUUUGACAAGAUAGAUAUUUGAGAAAGAGGUUAUUUGUGAUUUACUAAUAUUAUAAGAAUAAUAUAUUAAUUAAGAAAUCAUAUUAUUUAAGUAGUAUUGUUCAAAAAUUAAUUUGGAAUUAAUUUAGUAAUCAAAAGAGACUAAUUAAAUUUGCAGGGACUGAUUAGGUAAAUCAGUGAUAUUUAUAGUUUGGGGCCUUUGGGCUAAUGAUCAAUGUUGAUUAGGAUUGGACUAAUUCUUUGUGAGAGUCCAUGAAGAGUUAGUCCAAAACGCUAAUGAGUUAUUGGAUUAAAAGCCCAAGUGAGUUAGGGUUUACAAGUUGAAUCCCUAGGAAUUCAUAACAUUAUUGAAGCAACAUACUAUUGAAUAAAAAAACUUCUAAACCCUAAUGGAAAUCACAAUUUUCAGAAGAAUUACAUACCUCUAAUUUGUUAUUGUAAGCAAACCUUUGAAUCCAACAAGAUCAAUCCAAAAGUCUCUUUGAAAACAAACUUCAAUUGUGAGCGAGCCUCUAAUGGUUCGCACUCACAAGACAAGAACCCUAGAAAGAUUAGGAGAGAGGUUCAAAUUUUUGGAUCUACUAUCUCAAUAGAAGUGGCCAAAAAUUUCAAGGUACAAGACCCUAUUUAUAGCUUAUUAGGAAACAUCUAGAAACCCUAAUUUGAACAUAAAAUAAAAUUAUCUCAAAUAAGUCAAUUAUUUAGUUUCUUGAUUAUCUGCAUGGAGGCUUCCUGAAACCUUAGUGGGUCUAAAAAAAAGGUCCACUGGAGGAAGGUUCUGGAAUCUCUCCUCUGCUCAACUCUUAAAACAAGUUUCGCUUUAGUCCUUCAACCUUUAAUUAAUUUUAAUUAACCAUAAAUUAAUUCCAAACCAAUUCUAAAUUAAUCAUAACUAUUUAUAAUUAAUAUAUUAAUCAUAUAAUAUAUUAAUAAAUCAUUUCUCUCUCUUCUAAAAUCAAUCUAAGCAAUUUCUUGGUUAUGAGGGCAACCCAAAAAGGACUUUGCUUUUAUUUAUCAACAUUAUAUCAAUUUAGUUUGGAUCUUAGACACCUUAAUCCAACAUAAGGUUCGUAAUACAUAUACAUGUUGUGUAUGUCCAUUAGCAAAACAAAAAUGAUUACCAUUUGUUUCUGCAAACAAUGUAUCUCAUACACCUUUUCAAUUGAUUCAUUGUGACAUUUGGGGUCCUUAUCAAAUCAAUUCACAUCGGGGUUAUAGGUUUAUCAUUACUAUUGUGGAUGAUUACACUAGAUUCACUAGGAACUAUUUGAUAAGACACAAAUCUGAGGCACAAUUUGUUAUUCCCCAUUUUUUUUUUUUAAAAAUGGUGCUCAAAUAAUAUCAUACUCAUAUAAAUAUUUUCAGAUCGGAUAAUGCAAAAGAACUUCAACUCAACGUGUUUUUUAAACUAAAUGGAGUAUUACAUCAGUUCUCGUGUGUUGAUAGACCACAACAAAACUUUGUUGUUGAGAGAAAACUUCAACAUCUCUUAAAUGUGGCAAUGACAUUGUUCUAUCAAGCUCACAUUCCUUUUAUAUGUUGGCUUGAAUGUGUUUCAACAAGUGCCUACAUGAUAAAUAGAACUCCCUCAAAAGUUCUUGGAAAUAUUUCUGCUUAUAAAAAUCUCUAUAAAGAAUAGCCUCAUUACUCAUAGCUUUGAAAUUUUGGUUGUUUACCUUUUGCAUCCACACUUCAUUCUCAAAGACAUAAGUUUGAUCAUUGAGCAAGAGCAUGUGUUUUCAUUAGAUAACCACAAGGAAUGAAAGCAUAUAGAUUUCUUGAUAUAGAAACAAAUCAAAGUUUUGUUUCUAGAGAUGUCAUAUUUCAUGAGGGGAUAUUUCCUUUUAAAUAAUGCUCGCCAUCUUCUCAUACAAAUCCAUUUAUCUUUCAUGUUUUGCCUAUACUUUUACCUAGAAUCACUCAUUCUUUUACUCCUUCAGAAAAUCUCAAUCAAUUUGAUUCCCAAAUUGAUACCUUACAAAUGAAAUUCCAAAUUCACAACCAAUAUUUCUAGACCACGAAGACAAAGAGCUCCUCCUUCAUAUCUUCAGGAUUUUCAGUAAUUUGAUAAAUCCAAUUCCAGAAGAAACAUCUAUCAAAUACCCAUUAUUUGUUGUAUUAUCUUAUUUACAUCUUUCUCCUUCUUACCAAGCAUAUACUUAUGCCUUAUCUACUCAAACUAAACCCACUUCUUUUAAAGAAGCCAUUCAACAACCUAAAUGAAAGCAAGCAAUUGAUGAAGAACGUCAUGCUUUAGAGUUAAAUAAUAGUUGAACCAUUGUAACCCUAUCUCUUGAUAGAAAACCUUUGGGCUGAAAACGGGAUUUUAAACUUAAAAAGAAGGUUGAUGGAUCCAUUGAAAUCCAUAAGGAUAUAAUGGUAGCAAUGGGCUAUAGUCAAUAAGGAGUGGAUUUUUUUGGAUACUUUCUCACUUGUGUAAAAUUUAGUCAUAGUCAAACAUUUGCUGCUAACAAAGCUUGGCCACUAAUCCAAUUAGAUGUUAAUAAGCUUUCCCAAAUGGGGAUUUAAAUGAAGAGGUUUAUAUGCACUUACCACAAGGAUAUACUCCAUCUUUGUUUCUAAUUCCAGUGGAAAAUUAGUCUGCAAUUUUGAAAAAUAUUUAUAUGGUUUACAACAAGCUUCAAGGCAAUGGUAUGAUAAAUUUUCAAAAUUUUCUUAUUUCUAAAUAUUUCAAGCAAUAUCAAUAAAAAAAUUCCUUAUUUUUCAAAGGAAAAGAUGAUAAUUUUAUGGCCUUAUUAGUAUAUGUAGACGAUAUUGUCCUUACGGCUUAUUCUCUCACAACCAUUAAUAACAUCAAACAACGUUCAAGUGAUGCCUUUUAUCUCAAAGAUUUGGGUAAACUCAAACAUUUUUUGGGUUUGGAAAUUGGAAGAUCCCCAAAUGGAAUUGUCAUUUCUCAAAGGAAAUGUGUUAGAUCUAUUUGAAGAUGUUAGCAUGUUGGUAUCCAAACCAACCUCUCAAUUAAUGGAUCCUUGUCAUAAAAAAUUAAUUUUUUAUGGAUAACCUGUAUAAGAUCCAUCUCAUUAUCGCCAUUUAGUUGGUCGUCUUCUUUAUCUCACAAUCACACCUCCCGAAAUAGCUUAUGUAGUACACAGAUUAAGCCAAUAUAUUUCUGAUCUAAAAAUACCACAUCUUCAGGUAGCUCAUCAUGUGUUAUGAUUUUUAAAGGAUAACCCUAGACAAGGUUUGUUUAUUUCAUCCAAACCAUCUUUGCAAGUCAAAGCAUUCAAUGAUUCUGAUUGGGUUGGAUGUAUUAACACUAGAAGAUCUUUUACAGGUUUUUGUGUUUUUCUUGGAGAUUUCUUAAUCUUGUGGAAAUCCAAGAAAAAAACCACUUUUCCAAGAAGAUCAAUAGAAGUAGAGUACAGGGCACUGGAUCUGUCAUAAAUGAUGUGAUCUGGUUAAGAUAACUUAUGCGUGAUUUUUUUUAUUAAUUUGGAUCCACCAACAUUUGUUUUUUGUGAUAAUAAUUUUGCAAUGCAAUUAGCUGUCAAUCCUAUAUUUCACUAGAGGACUAAGCAUAUCUAAAUCGAUUUCCAUUUCAUAAGGGAAAUGAUUGUGGAUCACACCAUCAAACUCAUGCCCAUUCAUACUUCAAAUUAACUAGCGGAUAUAUUUACAAAACCCCUUGCUUAUUCUAGAAUUGCUUUGAUUUUAUCCAAGAUGGCACUUAAAAGUAUUUUUUAGUGUACAUCUUGAGGGAGGUAUUAGAGCAUAUUGACCGCUUAGUUGAUUAAAUAUCUAUUACGAUGCCGUUUUAUAUUUGUCAUUAGAAAUAAAGGUAGUGAAACUAUGUCAUUUACUUGUGUAAAUAAGUUGUUAAGUUAGUUAGGUGCAUGUUAGCUAAUGUUGUGCAAGAUAAUAGUUAUAUAUAAUCUCAUUUUAUAUUUAUUGAUGAAUAAGAGAAGAUUAUAUUCCCUUUUCAAUUCUUUUUCUUCUUGAUUGUAAAUCUUUCCUCUACCCAUACCUUUCAUAACCCCCUAAAACUAUUUAAUCAAAUCGGUCACUGAAUUCUUGUUUCCAAUUUUGAUUCGAACGACGGUACCUCAAGCCAUUGUUUCAGAUCUUGAGGUAAAUACAAUUGCUCUAUUUCCCUUAAUUAUAAAUUGCAUUCAUGAUUUAUUGUUGAUUGAUGGUGCUAAAUGUUCAGAUGUAAAUCAUACACAUUGUGAACUUAUAGAAACAAUAUGUUGUUCCUAAAAUUGGUAAAAUCCAAAAUCCAAGAUGAUGCAAAUAUCGAUGCUCUACUAAAACUCAUAUAUGUCAAUGGCGCUACAUGAUGGAAAAAGAGCCACUUUUAGUUUGUUGUCAAAAGGCAAAGUGAAGUUAAGACAGUCUUCUCUCAAAUACGACCUCUAGCCUUAGGCUUCAAGUUGUUUCUCGUGUGAGUUUGGGUCUUUCAAAAUUCAACAAAUUUGCUACAAUGGAUACAAAUGUUCUUUAUGGAUACAUCACUAGACUGUAAAAUGAGAUUGAUAACAUUCACGAUGUUGUUAGAUUGCUUACAUUCAUGAUGUUGUUACAUUGGUAAAAGUCCGAGAUGACAUCAUGGUGGACGUUGGUAGAACGAGACAUGACAUUGUGUUCCUGCUCAGUACUACGCUUCCACCAUACUUAGUGUCACUUAUAUGUAGAAAGGUGUUAUCUAUAUCAAUUUUAUAUAUUAUGUAUAGUGUAGGGAGACAAUUUUAACAAUGUAUUGUAUAAAUAUAUUCUGCAAUAUACGCCUCCAAAUGAUGAGGUUUUUCCCACUUUAAUAUGGUAUCAAGCUACGGUUUCUACCCUCUUUAAUCAUACGUAUGGAUCAAACCUUUUACCGCCUCACAUUUUUUUUUCUGGCCAUUAAUCACGUUGUCGCUGCUCUUAUAUGCCACUAUAAUUGUCGACUGCUUCUCAAUUUUUCUCGACGUGCUCUCCUCCGUGCAUUAGGGUCUUCCUAAAAUAUGGUUGUGGUUGAUUCUUUUAUGUUUCCAACAAUAUUUUACAAUCUCCUGCUGUGAUCACAUAAUUUUGCCCUCAUCAUUAUUGUGUGCGUUUCUUGCUCCUUAAGGUAUUGCCUCCAUGACCACUCCUGGUUCAUCCUCUACCACCACUCCCAUGAAGUUAAGUCUCGUUUGUACUCUCACCAACGUUUACAAUCAUUUUAGUUUCAAAUUAAAUGUUGAUGAGCCAAACUGUAAACUAUGGAAUCAGAUUUUUUCAAACAUGUGUCGAGGCACAUUGUCCUAUGGUAAUAUUUCAUAGAAAUCGGUUCCAACCAGAGAUGAUGAGGAAUGAUAUUCGGUUGAUGCAAGGCAUCAAUUCUUAUUUUUAUAGUAUUGUGAUCCCGAGUUUCUUCAAUUCAUCUUGAGCGAUGAUUACACCACCACAAAUCUUUCGAAAAAAUUAGAUGAAUUUUUCGGAACAACAAAAUAUCUCGAAUGUUGCAAUUACAGGAUUAAUUUCGCAAUACGAAGAAGGGUUCAAGCUCCAUUACCGAAUUUUAUCACAUUCUCAAGAACCGUGCCAAUGAUCUCAAAGAUGUUGGUUCCACCAUCAUCGAAAUUGAGCUAGUAAUGCCAAUCUUGAGACAAUUACCAUCUCAUACCAUAGUAUUACGGAUGUCAUCACCAACAUCAAGCCUUUUCACUCUUUCCUUGAGGCCAAGAAUAUGCUUUUACUUCAUGAGUCUCGAGAAACGGCUUAAGAUUCCUUCACAAAUUCAUCCAUGUCUCAUAGUGUGGCUCUAUUUUCCUCAUCCAACAAUUUGGGAAAUCCAAAUACCGAUGGUCGAAAAACUGGAACAAUUCCCGAAAAAUUGAAAAACAAUGCACAUGGAAAUCAUUUUGAUUCGCAACCGCAAUUUAUUAGAAUUCUUGGAAAUGCUCUGUUGCCACCUCCGCGUGCUGCCUCUGGUUACGUUGCUGCUAUCCCAGCUGCUUCGCACUUAAUCCUACUGUCUUACAGCUCCUAUCUGUAGGUUCCAUUCUCGCCGAAUCAGCAGCCCACGUGACAACUGUCAGUGCCUCCGCAACCCUCUUCUCAACAUUUCACUUUUCAUCAGCAUCUGACUCAUGUUGUUGGGUCUUCAUCAUCAGCUACACCCCUCAGACUUGUUUCUCAACAACCAAGUCAGGUGCCUCACGGUCACUUUUCUCAACAUCAAUUUUUUGGUGGAUCUACUUUUGGUUGUCACGUUCAGACUACUCCUUAACAAUUCAUCGAUAUCGCCUCUGCCUUUCAAUCCAUGUCUCUUCAGCCGCCUCUCGACAACAACGUUUACGUGGACUCCGGUGCUAGCUAUCACAUGUCCUUCAAAUCAGUUAACAUGCCUUGCCUAUCACUACGUAAUUCUAGAUCUCUAAUAGUUGCUAAAGGUGCUAUACUUCAUAUUACUCAGACUGGUCAAAUUUUUUUUCCACAUUCACACAACUGUUUAGCUCUAAAUAGCAUACUUGUCUCAAAUAAAAUUGUUAAAAAUCUCAUUAAUGUAUGUCAGUUCACUGUUGAUAACUUUGUCUCUGUAACUUUUGACCCUUUUGGUUUCACUGUGAAGGAUUUUAAAACAUGUGCGUUUAUUUAAAGAUGUGAUAAUGGCAGUGAUCAUUGUCCCGUUAUCCCCAUGCCAACUCCUUCUUUUUCUAACACUAGUUGUGUUGUUGUUUCUCUCCCAACUUGGCAUAUGCGUCUUGGUUACCUUGGCUCAUCUAUUUUGAAUUUUUUACAUUCUUGCAAGUUUAUUUCCCAUACUACUACUAAACUACCCAUCUAUCAUGCUUAUUAGCUUGGGAUGCAUUGUCGUUUACCCUUCUCUUCGUCUAUAAUUAAAACUACUAGUAUGUUUGAAUUGGUGCAUUUAGAUUUAUGGAUAUCUCUUAUUGCUAGUCUAAGUUGUUUUAAAUAUUAUAUUUUUUGGAUGAUUUUACUCAUUUCUUAUGGGUUUUCCAUCUUCGUGAAAAAUCUGAUAUUUUUGAUGUUUUAUCUAACUUCCAUGGAUGUGUCCAAACUCAAUUUAAACCUGACAUCAAAUUUUUUCAAUGUGAUAAUGGUUGUGAAUUCAAUAACAAAUCUGUUCUCACUUUCUGUGCCCAUAAGGAAAUCAAAAUUGGCUUCUCUUGUCCGUAUACGUCCCAACAGAACGAUAAGGUUGAAAGAGUCAUACGAACCAUUAAUAACAUCCUUCGAACUUACCUGUUUCAAGCCUCCCUGCCUCCAACAUUUUGGGUUGAAGCUCUCCUCAUUACUGUUCAUACCCUUAAUCUCCUUCCCACCUCCACUCUUGCGUUUCAAACACCCUUUGAGCUUCUCUUUGGUGUUUUUUCCCUCCUAUGAUCACCUUUGAGUAUUUGGGUGCCUUUGCUACCCAAAUCUCUCAUCCACGACUCCCCAUAAGAUCUCUUAUAGGUCUUCUUCAUGUGUAGACCUCAAUCCCUCCUCUAAUCAUUGUGGCUUUUGUUGCCUUAAUCUCAUCUCCCAACGAGUAAUUAUCUCUCGUCAUGUCAUCUUUGACGAUCACUUCCAUUUCUCUACCUUUCAUGAUAAACCCUCAACCAAUUACUAUGAUCCUUUCCUUUCCGAGGAUAUACCUCCCCUCCUUACAGUAUGCACUACUCUUCGCAUCACUGAGCCCUCUCCUAGUGAAUCUUCUCCCGCUCUUUCUGAUAGUAGUUCCCCUCAACCCACUGCCUCCUCCUCCUUUCCUAAUACUAUUCCUACCCCCUCCUCCUACCCAUCCCAUGGUCACUUGCUCUCGCACUGGCUUUCUCAGGCCUAAGUAGAUUUUUAAUCUAUUUGCCACUUCUGAUGUCUCCCCUAUCCCUCGCUCUAUAUCUCAAGCUCUAUGUGAUCCUAACUGGAUUUUUCCAUGGACUCUGAAAUGCAGGCUCUUCACUCCAAUCACAAAUGGGAACUUGUUCCCCUUUCUCCAUGCCAAAAUUGUUGGUUGUCGCUGGCUUUAUUGUCAUAAGUUUGACAGAAAAGGUAACCUAGAUCGCUAUAAAGGUUGCCUUGUUGCUUAGGGAUUCUCUCAGCUUCCUGGUCUUGACUUUGAUGAUACCUUCAGUUCUGUUGUCAAACCUGAUACGAUUUGUACUGUUCUAAUUAUUGCGAUGUCCAAGCAUUAGCCAAUUCAUCAACUAGAUAUCAAAAAUGGUUUCCUACAUGGUUACCUAUCUGAGGAAGUUUACAUGAAACAACCUCAUGGGUAUGUCCAUCCCUCCCUUCCUAAUCAUGUAUGCCGACUUCUCAAAGCUCUUUAUGGUCUCAAAUAGACUCCCAAGCCAGGUACCAACGCUUUGCUGUUUUCAUCACCUCUCUCGGUUUUACUAGAAGUCGGUCUGAUUGUUCCUUAUUUACUUAUCACUCUGGUUUCGACCAUAUCUUCUUUCAUUUUUAUGUUGAUGAUAUCAUCCUCACCUCCUCCUCUUUCUCCACUCUCAUCACUCACAUUAUCUCAUGUCUCUCGUCUGAGUUUUCCAUGUCCAAAUUGGGUCCUAUUUCCUUAUUCAUUGGCAUCGAUGCUUUUCGAUCUGAGGAGAGUCUAAUUUUAUCUCAGGCUUCCUUUAAUGACAUCUUAGCUCGUGCUGACAUGUCUUCUUGCAAUCCGUGCAGUACCCUAUCUGACACUAAAUCUAAACUUUCUCCUCACGGCUCUCCUGUCUCUGAUCCCACUCUCUACAGGAGUCUUGUUGGUGCCUUACAAUAUCUUACUUUCACUCGUCCUGACAUUGCAUAUGUUGUACAGAUCUCUCUUCAUGUUUGCGUGAACCUCAUCUUCUUGCUCUUAAACGUAUCCUUCACUAUCUUCAGGGUACUAUUUCUCAUGAUAUGUUUAUUCGACCUUCCUCCAUUGAUCACUUGGUCUCCUAUUAUGAUGCAAACUGGACCGAGUGUCCUCAUACUCGUUGGUCUACUUCUGGGUUUUGUGUUUAUCUUGGCAAUAAUCUCGUCUUUUGGUCCUCUAAACAUCAACAUGUUGUUUCUCACUCCUCAGCUGAGGAUGAGUAUUGUGGGAUGGCUAAUAUGGUUGCUAAAGCUGCUUGGCUUUGUAAUCUCCUUCUUGAGUAAUCUUGUACGUUAUCUAAAGCAACAUUUAUGUUUUACUAAAUGUGAGUGCCAUGUAUUUAUCUUCUGAACCAUUAAAACACGAACGUAUUGCUCGUGCCGUCGAUUCACUAAUUUGCAGAUAUAUUUACAAAGGGUCUUCACCGGUUUAAAUAUUUGUAAAUCUCAUGCUCUAACUAGAGGGUGCCUUAGUUUAUAUUAGUUUAUAUAUAUUAUGUAUAGUGUAGGGACCAAUUGUAACUUUAUAUUGUAUAAAUAUAUUCUGCAGUAUAUGUCUCAAAUUGAUGAGGCUUUUCCCACAUUUAACAAAAGGAAAACUAAAUUAACACCAAAUUGCCCAAAAUUAAACCAUAUAUUAUACUAAAUUAAUUCACAACAGUUCGACAUCAAUCAAAUAUUAUCUCGCACUCGAAUUCACAAAACUCACUUUCCGGGUACAAAGUUUGUAGCAUAUGACCAUGCAUUGUUUGCAACAGGGUCAGCAAGGUGGUCAGCGAGGUUCUCCAAUGGUCCCUUUCCGGUAACAAUGGCUUGAACAAAGAAUCCAAACAUAGAGAACAUGGCUAGUCUACCGUUCUUGAGCUCCUUCACUUUCAGCUCAGCAAAUGCCUCUGGGUCAUCAGCCAGACCCAAUGGGUCGAAGCUACCACCAGGGUAAAGUGGGUCAACUACCUCACCAAGAGGUCCACCAGCAAUUCUGUAACCUUCAACUGCACCCAUCAAGAUCACUUGGGUAGCCCAGAUGGCUAAAAUGCUUUGUGCAUGGAUCAAACUUGGGUUCCCCAAGUAGUCAAGACCACCCUCACUAAAGAUCUGGGAUCCAGCCUUGAACCAUACAGCCUCACCAAACUUGACACCAUUACGCGCCAAGAGUUCGGGGAAGACGCACCCAAGAGCUCCGAGCAUGGCCCAUCUGCUGUGGAUGACCUCAAGCUCACGGUUCUUGGCGAAUGUUUCAGGAUCAGCAGAGAGCCCAGCAGUGUCCCAACCGUAGUCACCGGGGAACUCACCGGUCAGGUAAGAUGGGGCUUCGCCGGAGAAUGGGCCAAGGUACUUAACACGGUCGGGGCCGUACCAUGGACUUCCUGAUGGUGCGACUUUCUUGACUGCUGUCUUCCUCAUGGAAACCCUUCCAUUUCCGGUGAUUUCUGAACCAGAUGGUGCUACUUUCACCGCCUGUCCGACGAAAGAAGAGGAUAGUGCCAUGGUGGAAGCUGCCAUUUUUGUGAGAUUUGUUUUGAAGAUGUUUUGAUGAUAUGAUAGUAUUAUGAGUGAUGAAGAUGUGUGGAUCUGGAACAUAGAUUUAUAGGGUGGUUUUUGGGCCAAGUAGUUGAUAAAUGUUUAUCUUGAUGCAAUUUUUAACUUCAUUUUGAUUGGCUACCAAGAUUUUAGUUCUAUCAGUGGGUCCAUAAUCUGCGUGGUUCCACUAUUCGAGUUCUCUGGCCCACAUGAGAUAUUUGAAGGGGCAGCGAUAUUCAUGGCUCUGUCUUAUUAAGCGAAUAUAAUGGCUAGAAAUCUCAGCCACUAGCUACCAUGCACAAACCGGUUUUUUUUUUGAACCGGACCGCUUCAAAAAUCCGGUUCGGUUCUAGUCAAUUUAGUCAAAACCAGUUUGGUUCCAAACCGGUCCAGCUUCAAAAUAAUUCAAACGUAUGUAAACUCGUUAAAGAAAAAACCGGUUCAAAAAGGGUUCAAAACCAGUUUGACGGAAAAAAGGUUUUUUUCAAUUUUUAUUUUGUUUUUAGGCUAAUAACUGAAAAAUAGGAAUUUUUUUUUAUAAUAUUGCUUUUAUUGUGUUUAAAAAAAAAGUUUCACACUAGGUUUUUUGAAAAUGGAAGUGGAAUGAAUUGGGAAUUCAUAAGCCUUUUUUUUGGUAAUACACACGUACACACGUCCAUAUGCCAAAAGGUUUUUAUUAUUAUUUUUUUUAUUUCUUGUUUAAUCUUUUGAUGUAUUAAAUUUUUUUUUUGUUUCAGAUUUGAUGUUUUAUCUUUUUUUUUUUCAUUUUUUUUGUUUUUUAUAUUGGAAAUACAUAAUACAACUUCAAACAUAAAAACACAAAACAUCCAAAUUGUCAAACUAAUACAUCUUCAAAUAUAAAACAUUGAUGUCGUCGUAGUCUUCAUUCCAAGUCCGUAGUCAUUGUAUUUAUUCGUCAUCCGCCAUGUCGUUGCGUAAUUCUCUCUCAUACUCGAUCUCUUCUAGGGUGAGUGACACCGACAUUCCCAUCGCUACUUCUUCCUCAUGUACUCGUGCUUCGACAUGCAACGAUGUGCCUUCUAGUGCUUCGAUGUCUUGUAUCCUUUCCACGCCAUCAAGGUAGUAUUUCAAGCAAAUGCACACUUCCACCGACAAAUGGGUUAGUUUUGUUCUUCUUGGUGAUAUUACCCUGCCACUAACAGAAAAACCGAUUCCGANUUACCCUGCCACUAACAGAAAAAGCCGAUUCCGAAGCUACCAUAGAAGCUUGGGAGCUUAGUAGAUCACGGGCCAUAGCGGCUAGAAUUGGAAAUUAGGUUUCCUUUCCUUUCCACCAAACCAAAAUAUCAAAAUUUUCAAACUCUUGAAUACUCAUUUCACUACUAGAAAAAUAGCCUUUUACGACGCGCGAACAACGACACGCGCUGUUUUAUGAUACACAAUAGUGUGUGCCCUAAAAAUAAUGUCGGCUCUCCAAAAAUUAGAAGGAUUUAGGGUACGCAUUUUUGCGCGCCCUAAAAUAAGUGUUACAUUAAAAAAAAACACGGAGGGCACAUAACAUAAAACGCGCGUCCACUAAGUAUGUCGCUUUAUAUUUUUUAAAUGAAAUGCGGGUCACAUUUUUUAGGGAAAACGAAAUUCCAAAAAGUUUGAAAGGCCCGCCAUGUUCCUACCUUCUUUCCACCGUUCUUCUCUCCCUUACUCAAAAUACCCAAAAAAAACCCUAAUAUACUCAUCGCUCCUCUUUUCUCCCAUAACAAACUCGCACCAUCACCAAAUCUCUGAUCUCCCACCAGCAAAAGGUCUCCUACCGAUGUCUCCACCUACUCUCUGCCCUCUCACUAUUUCUCUCAAUUAAAAACGCUAGAUCUCUCAAUCAGAGAACCAUGGCUACUUCUCCUUUCUCCCACACCAGUUGGCAAAAAGUGAGGAGUCUCGAGCCUAGCAGUUGAUAUUCACAUGCCCUCUUAAAUUGAAGGAAUCAGAACAUUGUCGACAUCAAUUCGUUAAUCAUCACUAGAGAAAUCAGAUACGCCAUCUGGUUGAUGAGUCAAGAGAAAUCACAUAUGUCAUCGCUUCAGCAAUCAUCCCUCCUUUUAACCGUAAGUUUUCAAUCUUACACUUUACAAAUAUCAUAUAAACAUCUCUCUCUCUCUCUCUCUCUCUCUUUCUCUCUCCUGCUAUACCUUGAUGAAUUAUCGCAUACAUAUGGAGGAACUGCUUUCUAAAAGCCAGCUAUCGGGAGAGUCAACAGGGUCAAUUGGGUGUUCAAAAGGUGCUUCGAUAUCAUCUUCCCGCCAGCAAAUCUCUGUUAAAGUUGUCACAGAGUAAUCCAUUUGAGUUUGGGCAUAUAUUUUUUGUUAUUAAUUUAGGGGGAGACUGUGUUCCAUGAUUUUGGUCAUGCAUUUCUUCAGCACACGCUAACAAGACAAGAUGAAGGGCUUGUUGUUGGUAUUCGUGGCAUAGAGUGGAUGCUGUUGAGUUACCUUUCCAGUUCAUGGAAAAUUGGUGCUACCGUAGGUAGGUAUAUAUAUCUCCAAUUUCAAGAUGUUGUUCAACUGCUGCAGGAACGAGGUGAGGGUGGCUGAUGAGAAUUUGUGACAGGAACUAUCCGAUUGGGGAUUCCAGCUCAAGUGGGGCAGUUGGCGCAUCAGAUCCAGCAGAAUCAGAAGAUAAUGAGGCCUUUAUUGCAAUUCUCUUCUUUUGAAUAUGAAAAGAUGCACUUUUCAGUCCUAAUCUGGGAUGUGAAAAUGAAAGGAACCCCUGUUUAGCCAACAAAACAAAGUAAAAUUCAGUUACAACACUUACCCAAAUAUAGCAUUCUACCUUUAAUUUUUCUCAUCAAGACAAAAUUGAAUCAGUUAUGAAACCGACCACAUAAAAGGCUGUUUUUCUAGAGUUGCAAUGUUAGGAAUAAAAGUCACAAUGGUAUGUGGUCGGUUUCAUAACUGAUUCAAUUUUGAUGAGUAAACAGGUUAGAUUUCAUAUGGUUGUUUGUUCAGAUUGGUAUUCAUCCUGAUUUUCCUUCAAUUAUGCAACAACUAUGCUGGAAUUUGCUAUGUUCCAUACUCGGAUUUUGAAUUUAUCGGAAAAUUGAAUAAUUAAUCUGGAAAAAUACCAUCUUUGAAUGAUUUUUUUGUCAUCUGUAGAUAAGGAAUACCAUCUUUGGGUAAUUAGUUUAUCUAGUCUACAUGAUUAAAUUAAUGGACAUAUAAUUCUCUAUUGAUAGAACAAAAAACAUUGCUUUGUAGUGAAGAUAAGGAAUACCAUAUUUGGGUAAUUAGUUUAUCCAUACUCGGAUUAUGAAUUUAGCCCACCAUCAGCAGGGGAUUGCUGAGUUUUAUGUGACCAUAAUGCCCUUUCGGUUUGUAGUGAAGAUCCAAGCAUGUAAUUAAUAACACCUCUAAUUAAUUAAUUAAUUAAUCCCCUAAAACUAACUAUGGUUAAAUUAAACUGGUGGUAGGUGCCAGUGUACAUAGGGGCACAUAUGGUCAAAUAUGUUUUAAUUAUUAGUCUAAUAUCUUUUGAUACUUAUCAAUAACAACAAAAUAAUGUAAAAUCGUGUGAAUACAAUUCAAGGGUAUAAUGGUCUAGACAGAGAUUAUUUUUAUUAAAGAUAUUUAUUUAUUAAUCAUCAGAGAAGAAGGAAUUAAUAUGAAAGAAUCACUUACUGCAAAAUAAUCUUCAAAUGUAAAAUCAACAUAGCCUAAGCCCUGAUUUUUAUUUCACCACAGGUUGGCGAGCUGGCGGGAAUAGCUUUGGGAGCAACUGUCAUGCUUAAUAUUCUUAUAGUUGUGUACGUUAUGGUCAAAAUAGUUCAGCAAGAACCUCUGUUGAAAUGAUAUAGGCCACUAAUUAUUUAAAACUAUCACUGGCUCCUCAUUAUGGUCAAAAUAGUUGGUCUGUUAAAAAUUGUGACUAUGAGCAAUUUGCCACUUCUAAAUGGGUUCUUUGUAGUUUUCCUUUCUAUAAUUCAGGAAAUAGGAUCAUAUUUUACUCUUGCAGAAAUAGUUAUGGUCUGUGAGCAUUCUUCCAGAUUGUAAGAACGUAAUUUUCAACACAACAAAGGUGAAAUUAUAUCUAUGUUUUCUUGUGUAUUUAACUUCACAGGAGCUGAAACAUGAUCUAAUUUUUUUUAUCUAUUGGUUAUGUUGAAUAUGGAUAAAAGGUUGUGGCUCAGAAAAGUGUUGGUGAUGCUUCUACAUUUGUUGAGAGUGAAUUUUCACUGUCAAAUUCAAGUUGGAUUUGGUAUGUAGAAAAAGUGUGUGUUUAGAGUAAGGACUUUUUCCUUGUUGGACUGUAAUAGUAGACCAAUAUGAUUCGUUUUAUAAAACCCUUAGACAGAUCACAGUUGGUUCUGCAAUUGCAUGGUCAGGUAAACAUUCUAAACACAUUUUCAAUUUAUUUUGUGAUAUUUAAUUUCUCCCAUAUUCUUUUAAAUUAUAUUAUAAUAUGCUUAUAAACACUACUUUCCUUUCAUGUAGCCAAAAAAUUGUCCCAAAGUUGACUGAGGUACUUUGGACAAAAAUACAAUGUUAGCUUACAUCUUUAUUAGUUAAUAUAAUCAAAUUUCUAAUUUUAGGUGCUAACUGAUACGCGUCCGCAAGUUCAGUCUGCAUGGCAGACAACACUCCAGCAGGUUUGACUAUAUUCUUAUGGGUUGUGGCAUUCACAUUCCCAUAGUGAUCUUGAUAAAGUUGCUUCUAUUUCCAUGCUAAGUUGGCUUUUAUUUGUAAUAUAGGAGGUCCAAAAUCUUGCAAAGAAGGCUGCAGAAACUGUGGUGUUGGUAAUUGAUGAUGAAGGGACUGAGUAUUUGAUAUCAGAACUUCUCAAGUUGCUUCUAUUUCCAUGCUAAGUUGGAUUUUAUUUAUCUUACUGUUUAUUAUCAUUUUUUAUAUAAAAUUUCAUCAUUUAUAUUAUAUAUAUAGUACAUUAUAGACUUUGCAUCAUAAUUUGUUGAAUGUUACAAGAUAUAAUUCAAAAUUCAAUUUCCUCAUGUUGUUGCUGAAAUGACAGCAAUUGGUUUUGGCCUACCAAAGAAUGCAUUCACCGCUUUAAUGAAGAAUGUAAGUGUUUAUUUUUCUUUUCUGUUUGGUGAAAAUCAUCAAAUGACAAUCUCAUUAUAUAUCUUAGGAUCUUAUCAGUUAAUAAACUUGAUCGUGGGUAUGAUCAAGCAUAGGUUUACAUUUAUACCCCUGCUUUUAUCUUUUAUCUUUUAUGUUAUAUAAUUAUAUUCCCCCUUUUUUUAUCAGGUUAAUUUGGUGGUUAAUUAUGAUCUUCCUAUAAGACAUGAUCAUCAAUCUCACUACAAGAAAAAUACCCUUUUACGACGCGCAAAACACGACGCUCUUUGAUUUAUGUUACGCAUUAGAGAGCGACAUUAAAAAAGUGUCAUCUCUUAAAAAAUUUUAAGGAUUUAGGUCGCGCAUUACUGAGUGCCCUUAAAUUAGUGUCUCAUGUAAAAAUAUUAAAAACACGGAAGGCACUUGUGCGUCGUCUGUGAAUGUCGUUUUAUAUUUUUUUUUAAGAAACACGCGUCUCGGAGGGAAAAUGAAAUCCCCAAAUUUUUUAAACCCCCACCUUUUUCUCCCUCGUCUCCACCCCUCAUCCACAUCCACUACCUCCGAUCCUCAUUUCCUCUUCUAGCCUCAAACUACGGCGAUGCACCUUCCUUCUCGAAGAAUGCUUCAUUUACCACCAUCGUCCGAUUAUGUGAGCCCAAGGAAUUGACCAAGACGAAGAAGAUAAUGGAUCAAUUGCUUCACAUCAUGUUUAAGGUUAAGGGUUUGAGUUAGUCCGCAACAGGUAAUCGAAUUUUGCCUAAUAUAUAUUUCUACUCUCAAACUGUUUAUUCGUCCGAUUGGAUGCAUAUUUACUAUUAAAUUUGGGGAUUUUCUUUUAAAACCCCCGCGCCUCUUCUUGUUUGUAGCUAAACAACCGUGAAUUUGUUAGAGUGAUUGGAAGAGGAAAAAUAGAAGAUAGAAGAAAAAGAAGAAGAAGAAAAGCGAACAAACGGGAUUUCUUGACCUGAUGUGUUAAUCCGUGAUCAGGUCUUCUGAGCGAAGAGAAGAUCUGAGGCUCAAUUGAAGAAAUAUGAGCGCUUCUAGAUUUAUAAAGUGCAUCACAGUCGGUGAUGGCGCUGUCGGGAAGACUUGUCUCUUGAUUUCCUACACCCGUAACACCUUCCCCACGGUAAUCAUCUCUUCAUCAACCGCCUUCAGUUUCUGCCCAACUAAAGCACGGUUACACACUUAUUUCUCUUCGGACGUUUCUGUGGCUUCCAUGGGAACGGAGGAGGAUGAUAUAAAUGAGGCAACAACUUCAUUCGCUACAUGUUUGAACCUUAAAUUGAAGGGAUUAUAUAUUGAAAUUUGAAUCUACAACUUCGAAUUUCAGUCAUCUCUCUUCUCUUCUACAUCUCACCUGAUUCUCUAUUGAAAUUUCUAGGGUUUUUAAUUGAACCUACAUCUUCAUCUUAAUCUUCUUUUCUGAAGUUAGGGCUUUUUUCUUAAGAACAACUAAUUUUUUGCAGUAAGUAAACCUCUAAUUUUUUCAUUUCUCAUUUCCUUAGACCUCUCCCCUUUCCAUCUCAUAUCGAGGCAAAAUCAAUUUCACUUUGGUGGCUUCGAUUUCCUAGCACAUAUUAUGUUAUUAUAUGGAUUUGUAGGAAAUUAGAAAUCAUGUUAGAAUGUUUGAUGUUCUGUAUGUUCAUAAAAGUACAUCUAAAACAAAAAUCUUAGAUUAAACAAAACUGAAGCAUUUAAUGAGAUGUAAUUACUAACUUUUGUUGGAGAUGCAAAUGCUAAAUAAAGAAAACUGAAGCAUUAAAUGAGAACCUUUAUAAUUCGAUUUCAUUCAGAUCUUCGGUGGAUAUUUAGGGCUAACAAAGAAAACUGAAGCAUUUAAUGAGAUGUAAUUACUAACUUUCGUUCAAGGUAACCCCUGUUAUGAAUACAUGUAAGAAUUUAUUUAUCUUUUUCUCUCACCACUUGCUAUCCAUGUGCUGCUCUCUCAUAGUUGAUAUCUAACAACAAAGACCUGAUCAGUCUAGUUUGCUUGUUUUUUUUCUUUUUCUUAUAAUUCUUGAAUACGUGCAGAUUUUUUAAGACUUCUAGUUUUGUUUUUUGUUCAGUGAUAUUGAUGAUGAGGCAAGUUUAUCAACACUAUGGGAGAGAUAUCAAAGUGUCUCUGAAAAGGUAUUGCGAUAUCAAAGCAUAAAUUAUUUAUGGAUUAAAAUGGGAAAAUGACUUAUAUGGGUAAGAAAGUUUUAAAAACUUUUAAAAAUGACUAUCAAAGUAUUGUUUGUAUAAAAAACACCAACCAAGUUUACCAUUUUGUCAAAUCUAACAGGUUGGUAACCUGCAUCUGCCGGUCAAAAAAAAUUACCUGAUCAUUUUAAAAACUGAAAUUAUAAAUGACAUGGCAUCCUUUUUUAGUCUUACGUGGAUUAAUUGCAAGGGAAGAUCCAUUUUCUCAGCGUUCUUUCUCAAAAUCAGGAGGGAGUCAACACAGAACCCUCUCUAGGGUUAGUUUCUGCCCCUGUAUACAGUUAUUUUUGUUUAAAUUGACUGAUUUUAACAGUUGACGAAUAUGCUCCUGCUUUGGGCUAAUCACACAUAUGUCUUUUUUAUGACCAAAUUGCCCCUGUAUAUAGUUUUUUUUUGUUACAAUUGACUGAUUUUACCAGUCAAUUAAGGUGUUGUUUAGAAACUGUUAGUAUCCAAGACCAUUUACAUGCUCGUGCACAAAGACGAAUUUGCCCUUGAUUGUGACCAAACUGCCCCUGUAUACAUAUUUUUUAUUACUAAAAACACCCCCUGUCCUAGAAAAAUAUGACACUUCUAUACAAAAGCUAAUACCAAUUUCUCACUACAAAUCAACUAAUAAGAAAAGAAGUGGGCAACUCUCUAAAAUGACCAAAAUUUGAAUUGCAGUGUCACAAAUUGACAAUUUUUUAAAGCUAUAAUGAAAUAAUGCUUUGUUUUGUAAAAUAUACAAAAUCCGUUUGUUGUUGUGUGCAACUAAUCCACAAACAUUUACAUAAUUCUCGUUAGUGUACUUUGCAAAGUGGUGCUGAAGUAAUUUGGGCAACAAAAGUACAUAUAACUAUAUUAAUAUUCUCUAAAUAAUCAUAUAUAAUGAAAUAAUGGUUUGUUUUGUAAAAUAUACAACCCAUACUGUAUUUUUGAUAAAAAAAAAUAAUGAUUUUAAGAGAUUUUGUCCGAAAUACCCUUAUAUACUCUUUUUUUUGGUAAAAAAUUAAUGAUGUAAUAGUUUUUGACUAAAAUGCCCGUAUAUACUAUUUAACAGGUUUGACCCCAUCUGAAUUAUGAUUCAGCUUAAAAUUGAAUGCCAUUUUGACAAUUUUAUUGCUUUUAAGACUAUUUACUGCUGAAAAUAUGUCAAAUUUGUUACAUUUUGCUGCUAUAAAUAGUCAAAAAAUAACUAAAAGUCUACAAAGAUUCAAGGUAACAGUAAAUAAUACUGGCAUUUCCAGCAGCAAAUCUUCAAUUGCAGGGACUAAACUUUGUCAUUUUUAGCAGAAAACUUUAUCAACCAACAAAAAGAGGUUAAUAAAGAAUCUAAAUGGCAUUCCAUUGUAACAGCAUCAAAACACGACCUGCACUCAAAACCCUCCAAAAUAGCCCCUACACUCAAUUGUAACAGCCCCUCUGUUGUGAUUCCUUUAACUGUGACCAAAUUGCCCCUCUAUUGUGAUUCCUUUAGAUUCAAGGUAACAUUGUUUUAAGUGAAAAGAUCAUUUCAUAACUUGUUUACAUAAAUUCUUUCUUAGCUUGUUUACAUAAAUUCUUUUUCUGUCAAUUCCUUUCAAGACAAAAAGAAAGAAAGCAGGAACUUAUAGCCAUGCAAGUAAUUUCAUUAUUUUUCUCAUUAACGAUUGUACUUCCUUUGCUCUUUCUUGCAUAAUAAUAAACAGAUUUAAAGAGGAGUGGAGCCAUAUGACCACCUGAUGCCCCCAAAUCAAUUUAUUUGAGCUAGAUUUGAACGAUUUACAAGGAGAAGAAGAAAAUCAAUUGUCAAGAGGAGAGGAGAUGUAUGACCACCCACCUGAUGCCCUAAAUCGAUUUAUAAUAUGUAUUUUUCAUUUAAUGCUGAGUAGAUGUGCAACACACUACCUAAAUAUGCCAACUAAUCAUUACUUUUGCCAACUCAGCCGUUCACCUGGAGAUCCGGUUACCACCGGGUCAUAUUUGAACAAAAGAUAAACUUCGUUGGUAUUUUUUGUACGACGCCUAUAGUUAAAUGGUAUUUUUGAACAACUAAAACUUCAAUGGUUUUUUUUGAAUGUUUUUGAAACUUUCUUACCCUUAUAAGUCAUUUUCUCGAUUAAAAUUGAACUUUUUUCAUACAUUACCUAACAUUGACUUGUCUUAAUUUGCAGGCAGAAAUACAAAAGGCUUUUCAUAUAUUUCUUAAACAAUUUUUUGUAAUAUACAAGAAUUGGGAGCCAUUAGAUUUAGAUAAUUCCAUAGAACCUUUCAUUGAUUCAAGGGAUCCUCUUUCUGAAAAAAAGAUUGCAGUGGCAUCAGAAGGCAGUCAUAUCAGUGAUGGAAGCUGGUGGUCUUAAUUGGUUAGUAGGUAAGGUAUGCAUCUUCAGAUUUAAUUUCUAUUGAGAACUAAACACAUUUGAAUAUCUGAGAACUAAACACACUUGAAUAUUUAUAAAUGAUGCACACAUCCAAAGGGAUAAUAGCAAUGUUUCUAAUGGCGUCAAAUAGACCUGAUUGUGACCACUAAUGGUUCAUCAGGUUUGUUGAUUUUUAUUUUAUUUUAUUUGAAGUGCAUUAUCUGGUUUAAUAUGAAAUGAUUCAUGUUGAAAUUGGUUUCUUUUGUUACUCCAUAAUACUUGAUAUCUUAUUUUUUGCAUGCAGGUGCUAACAAAUAUGGUGUCAUUAUCAUUGUUGUUGUUGUUGUUGGAUACGGAUAUGUUUGGUGGAAGGUAAAUAUAAGCUCAUAUAUUAAUAUUAUUACUUUUUACAGUUAACUUGUACAUAGUUUUUCUUCAACUAACAGAAAUGGUAUCAUUAACAGGGUUGGAAACUUCCUGAUAUGAUGUUUGCUACAAAAUGAAGUUUAUCUGAUGCCACAUAUGCUUUAGCUAAAUAGAUUGACACUGUUUACUCAUCACUUGCAGUAAGUUAUUUAAAAACUUUGUUAUUUUUUUGUUAUUAAUUUGGGUUGUUUAUUAUGUUGUUUAGGCUACCAAGAGACAUUUAUCUACAAGGAUUGACCGUGUUGAUAGUAGUUUAGAUGAGGUUGCAGAAAUUACUGCUGCUAAAAAAGAGGAGGUAUGACAAGAUAAAGGUUGUUCUAGAUGUUUAAUCUAUACAUAAUGCGGUUUACACCCUGGUGUGGUUCUUUUCCAUUUUGUCUUGUGACUUUGAUAUUGUUUUCUGAGUUGGAUAUGUGGUAUGAUAAAUUAUUUUUACAUGAGAGUAGGCUGAGUAGGGUUGAAUUGAAAUAGGUACUGAAUAUUACCGUUUGACAUGCGAUUUUUUCUAGCUUAAUGAGAUAUUUAUAACAAAUAAUUUUGAAUUUUUGUUGUCUUUUGUAGGGAAAUCCAUCAAGUUCAUCAAGGCCAGCUCUUGAAUUACCAUAGAGAGUAAACUUCUAAUCUUAUACAAAUACAAUGAUUUGCUAAAUUCAAGAAAUAACAAUGCACUUUUAUUUAUUACUUUUAUUAAAACAUCCUAGUUUAAUUUCUAGCUUAAUGAGACAUUUAUUACUUUUAGCAGAGAUCGAUAUAUAUAUGAGCUUUUUGCUUUCAAACAUUGUUGGGGAAGAAUGUUGAAACUUGCUCUUUGUGAAGGUAAUUUUUUUUCUUAAUGCAUUAUCCUCUAUAUUCUUGAUAUUUUUCCCACUUUUUAAAUCUUUUAUCAAAUUCUCACUUUUGGAUACAGUGCUUGAUGAGAGAAUGUGUGACCUAAAUCUUUUAUCAAAUUCUCACUUUUGGAGUUGGCCAUAAGAAAAUGUAGGCAAAGGGUAAUUUGUUAUAGUUCAGGUUGACAAGGUGCUGUAUUUUUCACAUAAUUGACAAGGAGCUGUUGUAUCUAUUCAGACUAGACUUAGAGCAAUGGUUGCAAGAGAUGAGUUCAGCAGAAAAAGAAACAAGGCUGCAACUAUAGUUAAGGUACUAUGGAUGAAUUAUGUUUGUAAAGUAUUUAAGAAAAUGAUUAUAAACAAGGGUGAAUUUGUACAAAUUAGUUAGCUACUUGCANUGAGUAUUUGAUAUCAAAACUUCUCAAGUUGCUUCUAUUUCCAUGCUAAGUUGGCUUUUAUUUAUCUUACUGUUUAUUAUCAUUUUUUAUAUAAAACUUCAUCAUUUAUAUUAUAUAUAAUACAUUAUAGACUUUGCAUCAUAAUUUGUUCAAUGUUACAGGAUACAAUUCAAAAUUCAAUUUCCUCAUGUUGUUGCUGAAAUGACAGCAAUUGGUUUUGGCCUACCAAAGAAUGCAUUCACCGCUCUAAUGAAGAAUGUAAGUGUUUAUUUUUCUUUUCUGUUUGGUGAAAAUCAUCAAAUGAAAAUCUCAUUAUAUAUCUUAGGAUCUUAUCAGUUAAUGAACUUGAUCGUGGGUAUGAUCAAGCAUAGAUUUACAUUUCUACCCCUGUUUUUAUCUUUUAUCUUUUGUGUCAUAUAAUUAUAUUUCCCUUUUUUUAUCAGGUUAAUUUGGUGGUUAAUUAUGAUCUUCCUAUAAGACAUGAUCAUCAAUCUCAACCUGACCAUGAAGUGUAGUUGCACUGAAUCGGAAGAGCAGGGUGAUUAUGGGAGAUGUUAAGUAGUUAUAGGGCUUUAGAUGCUUUCCCUUUGGGUAGGAAAUGUUUUUAAGACAUGAUCAUCAUUCUCUACCCCUGCUUUCCCUCUGGUGUUUAUCUCCCAUAAAACCCUAAAAUGUGGAUGUGCUAAAACUGAAGAAAUUAGAAGACACAUACUGGAUUUUAGCAAGUCGGGUAAGUUUAAAAAUAUCUUAAUACGAUAUUGAUUAGAUUACACAACAUGUAAUGUAGAAAAUAUCAUGAAUAUUUAUGAUCAAUAUUCAACUUUUGAAAAUGUAUCCAGUUUGAUGUUUAUCUAUUUGACAUUUUUUUGAUAGAAAAUGAGAAUACCGGAGAAGAUGAACCACAAAUUUACAUUGAAAUGAUCAAUGGAAUUAUCAAAUCCCUUCAGGUAUCAUCUCAUAUCACUUGCUUAUGAAAUUUAUUCAUCUAUACUUGAAAAGAUAUAUUUAUUUUUGUGUUGUUUCCAGGCUAUCCUUGAUGCAGUUCUCAGCACAACAAUUAUGAUUUUAUGAUGUUAGGCUAAACUAUAAAGCAAUCAUUCUUUGUUUUAGGAAACGUUUCAGAGCUUCUUUAGGCAGCUUAAUGAUGAGUUAUUGAAACAAAAUGGUGCCCCUUUAUAGCAAUGUAGUAUUAGGUUAUAUAGAUAGGAAAAACCUCUUAAUAACAACGUACAAUUAGAUCCCCUUAAUAUCAAUGUAUUACAAUUUUAUGACAUGAUGUUAUUGAAUGAAAUUGAUUGUGUAAUGGAUUGUAUUUUUUGUAUAUGGUAUUUUAUUUUCUAUUAUGAGACAUGAAAUGCAAAUUUAAUUUGAAAAUUAGUAAAUCUAUAAAUAAUUUUUAAAAAAAAUAAAAUAAAAAUUAUGAUACGCAAAAAUGUGUGUCAUCUUCAUUUAUGACAUGGCCUUUCUUGACAGUGGCUUUAAUGAUACGCAUUGCGUGUCAUAAAUACGUGUCGUCUAUAGACGACGCGCAAAAGCGCGUCGUCUCUCGUUAUGACAGGGCCUUCCUUGACGCGCAUGCGCGUCGUCUGACCGUUUUACGACUCGCAAUGAGCGUCGUAAAAGGCAUUUUUUCUAGUAGUGUUUGAGACAAGAAAUCAGAACCAAUGUACCUUCCGAGCUCGCUACUUGGCGCGUUAGACCGAGCUCGUUUGGAAUUUUCAUUCCUCAAAGUAUUAUAAAGCCUAAUUGUUUCGUUAUUUUAGUGAAAAGUGGAUCCGGGUGCCCCCAUAUUUUGCAUCACGUCAUGAAUGUUUGUUGAACCAUAUUUUGUUAAAUAAACUUCAAAUAAAUUUUGAAAAACUUUGUUAAAUUUUGAAACUUCCUUUGAUGCAUAAUCAAUGUCAUCAUCCAAUAAACCCAAAUCGUAACAAAUAUUUUCAAUUAAAGUCUCAACCCCCCCAACAUUUAGAGUUGGAUUCAAAGUGGCGGAACAAGUAAUAAUGGGAGCCAUUUCUUGAAAAUAUUUUUUUAACUUUGCUUUCAUCGGUUUCAUCAUAUUAGCAAACAUUGUGCUCCUCAUUUCAAACUCAUUUAUUUUCGCACACAUUAAAAAAAUUUGGUUUAAAACUAAACAACUUGUAGGAUAAUAAACCCCCGAUAAAAAAGUGGUUGUUUUUUUUUUAAAAAAACAUCAAGCAUGUCUGUAACAAGUUUGAUAGUAUCCCAACUUGAUUCCGGAUAAGCCGUAACCUUAUUACGGUCCGAAGGUUGUCAUGUAACAUUUUUAAAGUAUGUUUUUGACGUAAGGCACAUUCAAAAAUUUUGCAAGUGGAGUCCCAUCGGGUAUUAUUUUCCCAAUUCAGACCUAAAAAGAGGGCAUUCGCAUCGACACAAAAUUGCAUAUAAUUAUGAUAUCGAGCGUUACUAGAACUAAAAAUAUCUUUUAGCAUGUCUUUGAAACCAUCUUUUAUAGUUUCAAUGUGAGUUAGUCCAUCUUGCACAACCAAAUUAAUCAUAUGUGCAACACAUCGACUAUGAAAAAUAAACACCAUCACAAAUUGGUUUAUAUUUUAGUUUUAGUUGUCCAACCGCGACGGUGUUGUUUGAAGCAUUAUCAAAAGAUAUAGAAAAAAUCUUUCCUUCAAGUUUAUAAGUUUUGAUCACACAAUCUAAAAUUUUAAAUAAAUUUCUAUCGGUGUGCGGGUACUCAAACAAUUCAAACGUAAUCGUAUGCUUUAUCAUUACCCAAUUAGUUGGAUUAAUCCAAUGAGCGGUAACACAAAGGUACGCAUCCGGUGAACCGUCAGGAGCCGUCCAAACAUCACAAGUUAAAUUCACACCGGUUUCUAAAGAUUGAAAUCCUAAAAUCAAUUCAUUUUUUGCAAGUUUCCACAUUUCAAUACAAUCGCGUCUAAUAGAAGUACGACUCACAUGGCAAUAUCGUGGUUGGAGAGUAUCUUGGAUGAGUGAAGUCAAUCGUUUGUUGUCGAAGUGGUCAAAAGGCAAGCAUUCUUGAAUCACGAACUUCGUCAUCCUAUCCCGAACUUUAGCCAUAUCGUAACUCCACAAUGUUGCAUCAUUCGUCAUUCUUGUUUGAAUAUGUCCCGACCCAAAUUUCACCGUGGGGCAUCUUUUGGUCAUAUGAUUUUUCAAUGUCGAAUUCUCAUCUUCAUUAAAAAAAGCACCACAUUUCUUGCAUUGCGCUUUUUUAUACCGUUCGACAUUACACACAAAUCGUAGUUGCACAAAAUAGCCGGAUUUCUAUUUGUUUCUUUGAUGCUAACAACGGUAAGAGUGUUUGAUGAAUCUCGAACACCAACGGAAGCCGAAUCCAUUGUUUGAAUUAAGAGUGGUUUUUGAACUAAGAGAGGUUUGCGGUUUUUGAACUAAGAGAGGUUUUUUGAGGUUUGGUUAAGGUAAAGUUGAGACCUAAAAAUGUAAUACAUAUAUAUAUACUAUAAGGAAUAGUUAAUAUGGUAAAAAAGAAGCAAAAAUCGAGUCUUGAACAGCCUCAAACGACUAUAUAGCCGUUAGGAAAAGACAAAAAAACGGUAACAUUACAAAAACCGGUUCACCAACGGCACUUUCGAAAUCUGGUUCAAAACUGGUUCAUCACACCUGUUCAGAAUAAACCAGUUCCAAACCGGUCUCCAGGGUAAAACAUGCGAACUGGUAACAUCCGAUGGUUCGGUUCACUAUGGGUUCGGUUCUUAUGUGAACCGGUUCAAGGCUAAACCGGUUUCCGGUUCACCAACCGGUUCGGUUCCUAAACCAGUUUUUUUGCCCACGCCUACCACUAGCUAGUCUAGGUGGGCUUUUAGUACGGGGGUUUUCAUGAGGAAUAGGUUGAAAGGAGUGUUGGCAUCUCACUGCCGUCAUCUGUUACCAUUUCAUAAGGAGUGGUAGCAUUCCUAGCACAUUAGAUUUUUUUUUUUUGAUUUUUUUUUUUGAACUUAAAUAAAUUAUAUUUUUAUAAAACACAAACAAUUCAAUAUUAAUCAAGAAACUAACUACAUUUUAUAGAUAAAUUUACCUUAUUUAAACAAGGAUUAAUAGAAAGGUCAAAUAAAAUUUAAAUGGUUAACGACAUGCUUAAAAUUUUACAAAUAUAUUGAUUUUGUAACGACACAAUUUUCUACUCUAUCAAGGUAAAGAAACAUUUAUGUUAAUAAUAAAGUGACACUUUAAUAUAUAUCUUCAAAUAAUUAUUAAAAAUAAAUAAUACUAUAAAAAAUUACCAAUACUAUCUAGAAACAAAAACCACUCACAGCACGGAAUUUACAAAACAACCAUCCAACUUCCUUAUUUUUUUGAAAGAGCUUUUACGAUCUCCAUUUCCAUUUCCUUUUUUUCUUAAAAUUACAUCUUACAUCUUCCAAUUUGCUAUUAUCAUUUCUUAAGUUUGUGAAAGUAGACUAUUCCACAAAACUACUCCUCCAAUUGUGUGAAACACGAAGCAAAAGCGAGACCUUUGAGCUUUUUCUUAAAAAAUAAUCCUUGUUUGAGAUGGAGACCACACCAUUGAUGGGAGAAAUGAAGGUUCUAGAGAACGAUUGUAAGAGGAAGAUUAUUGUAUCCACAGGCCAAUAUCCAACAAAUCUCUUUCUCUUUCUUCUCGCUAUGGUGUUGACGAGCCAUGGCUGGCGACUUCCUUGGCGCAAGCCAGGGGGCGGCCUUCAGCGCCCUUGGCGACCGGUGGCGACCUCCAUAGCGAGGCCCACUCCCUAAAGCCUUAUAACACACCAUUUAUUGACCAAGUUUACCCAACAAUGCAUCCCAAUUCAUUAGAUUUGUCUUAUCAUUAUACUUUUUAUACAAUUUCAUCAUUUUUCUAUAAUAUAUUAAAACUCUAUGAAAAUUCAAAAGAAUAUACUUUUGAAUUUUCAUAGAAUUUUAUUAUAUUAUAGAAAUAUGGUGAGAAUCCUAGAUGCUUUUAUCUCUCUUUCAGACUUAAAAGCCAGUAUGCGUUCAAUAAGUACGUGGCCAACUCCGGACCUAGCUUUUGCGAACGUGGGACGUUCACUUCGGAUAGCCUCGAAAUGAGUACCUCUUACUUUAAAAAUUUAUAACUUUGGCAUACGAGCUCCGUUUUCGACAUUCACUUUCAUUUAGACUCUGUUUGCUAAUUUUGAUUUUUAUUUUUAAAUUUAUAUUUUUUAACAGGCCGGGACUGGAAAAGCCCGUUAAAAAUUCAUAACUUCUUCAUCCGACGUUCGUUUUCGUAUGACUUUUUACCAUUAAACUACUAUCGACGAGAUUUUUGAUUCUCAUUUACAUUGUGUUGGAUAAAAAUCGCUCGAUCUAUACUUCGAACUACGGGCUGCACAAUGUUAUGCCAAAUCUUAGAAAAUUCAUAACUUCCUCAUACGAAGCUAGAUUUGGAUUUCUUUUUUAUGCACGCUCUUGGUUUAACGUAUACUACGAUUUUCAUUUAGAUUGCUAAGGCUAAAAAACACUUUAUCGUAAACUCACUUUUCACGUCACACAAUGUCAUGUCAGUUUUGUCGCGAAACUUCGAUAUGUCAUAAAUUCUUCGUGAUCAGGGCCGAUCUUGAAAAAUGAAAUAUUCUUGGAGCCCCAGGACGAGCAAGAAAAAAAUGGCCCUUAUCUUUAUUAUAAUUUUGUAAUUUUAAAUAAAAAUAUAUAAUGAAAAAAAUUAGGCCAUGUGCAGCUGCCCACUUUGCCUCCUUCUAAGCCCCCAUUGUUCAUGAUAACUCGGAUUUCAGCGUUCUUUAUAUUUCUGGAGUCCUUGUCACGACCACUACAACUUUCUUCAUAGAUAUCGGGUUUAUAUAACAUUUUAUUUUUGACGCUUAUUUUUAUUCUUAAUUAAUUAUAUCAUUAUAAACAAGUAUAUAAUCACAUAAAAUCACGUAAUUCACAUAAUACUCAAGUAAUUCAUCUUUAUUACAUUAAAAUAGGUUACAAUGGUUGACCUUGACUAUUACAUCAUCAUACUAAUGUGAAACAACCUAAAAUACGACCCAAUUUUUUUUUUGUUAAAAUAAUACUAAAGAUAUCAACCAUCAUAAUAUAUCAUGAAAUCGUACGUCAUAAAUCCCCAAAAAGUUAUAAUAGAUAUGUCAUGACAAAAGAGUUGUAUCAACAUACCAUAGUAUCUAAAAUAAACUCCCAGGACAAAAGUUGAAACUGUGGUGUGUGCAAUGUCAUCAUCCUGAGCUCUUUCCUUUGCUUGCGGAAAUACCUGAAACCAAAACUGAAACUGUAAGCACAAAGCUUAAUGAGCUCCCCCAAACUACCACAUACCAUACAAUAGCAUAUACAACACAUACUAGGCCUUGCCCACUGCAUCGGACCGAAGUCCGGAAAUUGCAUCGGACCGAAGUCCAGAACUAACCAAGGCCUUGCCCUCUGCAUCGGACCGAAGUCCGGAACUACAUCAGACCGAAGUCCGGAAACUAACCAGGGCCUUGCCCUCUGCAUCGGACCGAAGUCCGGAACUAACUGCAUCGGACUGAAGUCCGGAACUGACUGCAUCGGACCGAAGUCCGAAAUUGUCUGAACAUAACAUAUCAUAAACAUCUCAACCAGUAUGAACACAUAAACUGCAUAUCGCAUCAGACCGAAGUACGAAACACAUAACACAAAUACAUGCUUGAAUCACAAAGACAUCAAGCAUUCUAAGUACUGCAACGGACGGAGGUCCGAAACUUCUGCUAACUAAACCGACCGGCAUUGUAGCCGUAGACCCGUUCCUACUGGAAGGAAAACUCACCUCGUAAUGCUGGCUGCUGAGAUGCUAACUCUAAAAGUGACUGACCGCUGCUUCGGAACUGUCCGACUACAAAUCCCAGAAACACUAGAUUAGUUACUUGCAUAUACCCUCAGGGUAAGAUGACUAUUUUGCCCCUGGUCAAAGUCAACUUCUAGUUGACCGGACUCGCCGACUAUGGGCGCAGAACCGCCGAGUCCCUCCUUUACUAACUCUGACUUUAACUCACCGAGUCCCUUUCCCACUCACUGACUCUCUCUGAACUCGUAGGUCGAAGAAAAAAGGGGACUCACGACUCGACUCGUCGAGUCUGAAGAACAACUCGCCGAGUCCUGCCGUGCAUAUUCCAAACAAACGAAUUCAAAACUAUUCCAGAGCAUCUGACUUGAAGAUCUGAGCCCUUGGAACUAUCUAAACACGUGAAGUUUCUAACUUUACGUGCAACUAAGAAGGAAUGAAGCUAUUUCACUCAAACACUACUUUUCUUGGGAAAACUCAUCCGACUCGCCGAGUUGUAUGAACAACUCGUCGAGUCUAAGGUGAUCUUCAUCGGACUCGCAGAGUUGCUCAUCAAACUCGUCGAGUCUACGACUAUCUUCAUAUGACUCGCCAAGUCACACAUGCGACUCGCCAAGUCCAUUCAGUCCCUUUUUCCAUACAGACCUGAUUUGGGCCAUGCAGUGGCUCCAAAUCACAGAUCCAAGAUUCUAGGGCAUGCUUAUCACGUAAAUUUGCAAACUUUACGUGCAUGCAUGGCUUUAAAGGCUUCAAAUGCCAACCCUAAGCUCUUAAUGGGGUUCCAAGCUCAAGAGGGACCUCAAUCACGACCAUAACCGAAACUUUACUCUUCUAGAAUGCAAUGAGAGUCUAGAUCUGAUGUUUCCAUAAAAGGGGAAGUCCAUCUCUCAAGUUUGAACCAUAAGAGGCUCCAAAGAGGGCAUAACAAGCAUAUAUGAGGUUAUAAUGGGGGAAUGCACAAGGUCAUAACUUCAUUACCUGAAUGAAAAACAGAUGUAAGCUAACUCCUAGAUUUUCCUUCCCUUCUAUGGACCUUCCUUCCUUCCCAAAGCUUCCAAGCUAUCACAAAUACCCUCAAACUCAACAAUGGGGCUAGGGUUUACAAGGGAAAUGUUAUGAGAGUGAUAGAGGCGAGGUUGGGGGCGCAUAAGUGUGUUUAAAUAGGGUGAAAACCCUUAAAAUUAGGGCUUCAUCCAGACAGGCGGACUCGCCGAGUCCAACGUAUGGACUAGUCGAGUAGCCAUCUCAAAACGCGUGAUCGUCCCGUCUCUACUUGACGAGUCAGGCUACAGACUCGUCGAGUACCCCUUCAGAAAUGAAAAUACUUUAUUUGAAUUACAUACCAGAAAUGGGGCGUUACAACUCUCCCCCACUUAUCUUAGACUUUGUCCUCGUAGUCUGCUGCUGCUGCUGAAAAUAACUCUGGGUAAUGCUCCCUCAUCUCCUACUCGGACUCCCACGUCCACUCUGAACCCUUUCGGUGCUGCCACAACACCUUCACUAGCUGAACCACCUUGUUCCUCAAGGUCUUCGUCUUCCAAUCUAUGAUCGCAACUGGUCUCUCGAUAUAAUUCAGGCUGCUAUCAACCUGAAUAUCCUCCAAGGGUACAACUGCUGACUUGUCCACCAAACACUUUCGCAACUGGGAAACAUAGAAAGUGUUGUGGAUCUGGCUAAGCUCUACCGGAAGAUCCAACCGAUAAGCAACCCGACCCACCCGGACCAAAACCCUAAAAGGGCCAAUGAACCUGGGACCCAGCUUGCCUCUCUUCCGAAACUUGAUAACACCCUUCCAAGGUGAUACCUUCAGGAGGACCAUAUCGCCCACCUGAAACUCCAAGUCCGAACGCCUCUUGUCGGUGUAACUCUUCUGCCUACUCUGUGCAGUCUGCAGUCUACUACGAACCUGCUGGAUCAACUCUGUGGUCUUGAGCACCAUUUCAGUGCUCCCAAUGACUCACUGACCAACCUCGCCCCAACAAAUCGGAGUCCUGCACUUCCUUCCGUAUAGCAUCUCGAAAGGAGGACGUUUAAUACUAGUGUGGUAACUAUUGUUAUACGGAAAUUCCGCUAGUGGGAGAUACGUAUCCCAACUACCACCGAAGUCUAGAACACAUGCCCGGAGUAUGUCCUCGAGAGUCUGAAUUGUCCUCUCACUCUGCCCGUCCGUCUGGGGGUGGAAGGCGGUGCUAAAAUGAAGACGAGUCCCCAUCUCGUCAUGAAACUGCUUCCAAAAUCUGGAAGUAAAACGGACGUCUCGGUCUGACACUACCGAAACAGGCACUCCGUGCUGUGCUACUACCUCGCGUACAUAGAUGUGGGCUAGCUUCUUAGCCGAUAUGCUCUCCUAGAUCGGUAUAAAAUGUGCGCUCUUGGUCAGCCGAUCCAUUAUGACCCAAAUCGAAUCCACUCCCCGUGCGGUCCUGGGAAGCUUGGUGACAAAAUCCAUGGUAAUGUCCUCCCAUUUCCAUAUGGGAAUAUCUAACGGCAGCAUCUUGCCGUGGGGUCUCUGGUGCUCUGCCUUGACCUUCCUGCAGGUCAGGCAUCUCCCCACAUUCCAGGCGACAUCCUGCUUCAUGCAGGGCCACCAAUAGUCGGGUCGAAGAUCUCUGUAGAUCUUCGUUGCCCCUGGGUGGAUGGAAAAUCAAGAAUUAUGAGCCUCGUCCAUCAAUACCUGCCAUACUCCGCCCCAGUACAGUACCCAAACCCUCCCAUGGAGGGUCAACAAUCGUUAACUGUCAUAAUCAAAGGAAGCUACUCGGUCCACGAUUCUCUCACACUUCUGCCUCUCCUCCUUGAGGCCCUCGACGUGUGCCUCCCUGAUCUGCUCCAACAAGGGAGUAAUCACUGUCAUCCUCAAGCAUACAUCCCUGAUCGGGGCCGCUGCCGUCUUGUGGCUCAGGGCGUCGGCCACUACGUUGGCCUUCCCCGGGUGAUAAAGGAUCUCACAGUCGUAAUCCUUCACCACAUCUAACCACCGACGCUGCCGCAUGUUAAGAUUCGGCUGGUCCAUGAGGUACUUCAGACUCUUGUGAUCCGUGUAGAUGGUGCAACGGACCCCAUAGAGGUAGUGUCUCCAAAUCUUGAGGGCGAACACCACUGCCCCCAACUCCAAAUCAUGCAUCGGAUAGUUAGCCUCGUGAGACUUCAACUGUCUGGAGGCAUAAGCUAUCACAUGCCCCCGUUGCAUCAACACUGCCCCCAUAUCUGCGAUCGAGGCAUCACAGUAGACUACAAAAUCAUCCACUCUCUCCGGCAAGGUCAGAAUCGGUGCCUCGCACAAUCGCUGUCUGAGAGUCUCGAAAGUCGCCUGCUGCUCAGGCCCCUAACGAAACACCACCGACUUCUUGGUUAGUCGGGUGAGUGGAACUGCUAUCUUGGAGAAAUACUGAAUGAAUCUCCUGUAGUACCCUGCCAAACCUAGGAAGCUCUGAAUCUAUGAUGGAGACUUUGGGACCUCCCACUGCAUCAUGGCCUCUAUCUUGGCCGGAUCUACCAGUAUACCCUUCUGGUUGAUGAGGUGCCUAAGGAAUUGCACCUCGCGCAACUAGAACUCGCACUUGGAGAACUUUGCUAAAAGUUUCUCCCUCCUCAAGACCUCUAGCACCUCCCUUAGGUGCUCCUCGUGCUGCUCCUGAGUCUUGGAAUAAACCAAGAUGUCAUCGAUGAAUACAAUCACAGACCGGUCCAACAUCGGCAUGCACACGCGGUUCAUGAGUUCCAUGAACGCGGAUGGAGCGUUGGUGAGCCCAAACGACAUCACCACAAACUCAUAAUGACCAUAACGGGUCCUAAAAGUUGUCUUCUGAACAUCCUCACCCCUGACCCGCAUCUGAUGAUAACCGGAGCGCAAAUCAAUCUUGGAAAACCAAGACGCUCCUUGAAGCUAAUCGAACAAGGCAUCUAUCCUCGGAAGUGGGUAACGGUUAUUCACCGUUACCUUGUUCAACUCCCAGUAGUCUAUGCACAUACGGUGCGACCCAUCCUUCUUCUUCACAAACAAGAUUGGGGCUCCCCAUGGAGAACUAAUUAGUCUAAUGAAACCCUUGUCUAGCAGCUCCUGCAGCUGCGUAUACAACUCCUGCAUUUCUGGAGGAGCCAACCGAUACGGCGCCUUGGCUAUCGGAGCCGCACCAGGAACCAAGUCAAUCUUGAACUCAACCUGUCUCUCUGAAGGUAUCCCAGGUAAUUCCUCUGGGAAUGAGUCCGGGUACUCUCGCACCACUGCUACAUCAUCUACUGUCAUCGUACUCUUAUCCCGGGUAUCCAUCACAUAUGUGACAUAACCUGCUUAACCCUGUUGGAAGUAGCGCCUCACUCUCACUGCUGAACAAAGAAUCGGUCCGCGUUGUGGGCUCUCGCCCUGAAUCACUAACUCUCCCCCGUUGGGAGUGCGAACCCUCACUAGCUGCAAUUCGCAAUCAAUCAUCGCCCCAUUGGGGCUCAACCAAUCCAUGCUUACUAUGGCCUUGUUCCCUCGCAAAGGAAUAGGGACCAUGUCCACCGAAAACUGCUCAUCGAAUAACUGCAGUGAGCAUGCCUUAUGCACCCUCGUGACCCUGACGGUCCUAUCAUCGGCUAUCUCCACCUCGAGUGGACAAUCCAGCUCCCUAGGAUCUCUGCUAAACCUCUUGCUAAGUGCAAGAGAGACAAACGAUCGGGUAGCCCCUGAAUCAAAUGACACUGUAGCUGAAAUGUCGUUCACUAAGAACGACCCUAUACAUAAACAUAUAACAUUAGAAACAAUCAAUAAUCAAUGCAUAGAUAAAAGGAAAAUACAUACCCGUCACCACGUCAGGAGUCGCUCGCGCCUCCUCUGCUGUUAUCUGAAAAGCUCUACUCUUCGCCACUGGCACCUCGGCCCGCCCCUGACGACCGUUCGUAAUCCUCAAUGUAGCAGGGGCAGGUGCCGACACCUUCCCUGCUGCUGCUAAGCUUGGGCACUGGGACUUUUUAUGUCCCCUCUGAUUGCAAUGGAAGCAAAUCAGAUCUGAUGCUGCGGUAGCUGUGGUAGAAACUGUACAAUCUCUGCUCAUAUGCCUAGUCCAACCGUACUUGUAGCAGCCGGAACUCCCUGCCUUGCACGCCCCAUCGUGUAAUCUCCCACACUUGCCACACCGACUGUGGCUCUGCUGACCUCUGGACCUAUGAUCCGAAACCUUGGGCUUCUUGCCCAAACUCCCUGUACCCGAAGCCGCCUCCGCCUUCCUCUUAUUCUCCAUCUCAAGAUCAAUCUCUCUCUCUCUCUCUCUCUCUCUCGCCCUUGCAAUCAUAUCAUCCAGCAUCUUACAGCUGGAUCGGCUCACAAACUGGCGGAUAUCACUCCGCAGCGUCUCAUGAUAACGGGCCUUCUUCAUUUCCUCGUCAGCUGCGUACUGAGGAACAAGAAGAGCCCUCUCCCUGAACUUGGCGGUAAUCUCCGCCACUGUCUCUAUAGUCUGAGUAAGGUCUUGAAACUCUCUAGCUAACUGUUGCACCUCAAUAGUCGGUGCGAACUCGGCUCUGAACCUGGUGGUAAAAUCAGCCUAAGUCAUAGUAUCAAGUGCUAUGUCAUCCCUGAUACCAUGCCCAACCUCCUCCCACCAGUCACAUGCCCUAUCCUUCAGGAGACAGGAUGCUAAUCUGACCUUGUCCCCUUCGGGACAUCUGCUAGUGCGGAACACGUUGGCAACAUCUGCCAACCACCUAGUGCUCGCAAUGAGGUCCCGCACCCCAUGAUAGCCUGGAGCUCCACAAGCCCGAAACUCCCUGAAGGUGAGUGUGCGCGACCCCAUCAUGGCCGCCAUCUCAGCACGAAAUGUGCUCAACUUCUCAUCCAUCAACUCCAAGAUACCCUCCUUGAUCGAACCGAAGAUCACAGGACUCUGCUCAAGUAUGAUACGGGUAACCUCUGAAGUGAAAAACUCCCUAGUUUGCUCAUCCAACUGCUCGGCCCCCCAGCCUGAUCCUGAUCCUUCCUCGGCACCUGAGCUGCCGACUGCUGGCCUAGGGCGUAAAACCACCAUUCUGAAAACACAUCAUGAUAAACGUCAAAAACACUGAUAUAUCUCUAGGGAUCGCUACUACUAUAGGUUUCCUGGUCUCGCCUCUGCCUUCCUUGAUUCAAGUACAAAUCCUCAACAAAAACCAGUCCUCAACUGCUGAAGGCCUCCUUGUAAUGCCAAUUAGUCAUCACCUGAAUAUCAUCACAUGUGACGAGACUCAGAUAAUCCUUCGAGUAAAAGACUCAUUCCUACAACGGAUGGACUCAAACAAGAGCUGCGCAGUAGAGCCAAAUCCAGCACUCUGAGAUUAUUCAACCCUGAUCUCAGGCGAUGUGUCGUAUUCACCUAAUGGUUAACUCUCAUUACCCGGAGUCUCAUAAAGCACAAAGCAAGCAGCAUUCGGACACAGGAAACUAAUCAAGCCACUCUAUUCUCAUAACAAGAAAUUGUACUAGCAUACAAUGUUAAGCUCGUACUGUCAGGCAUAACCUAAACAGGCUAUCCUACUGCUGUCUACUCAAUACUAGCAUGCAGUUCUCAUAAAGCUGAAGCACAUAUAGCAUGCACAUAAGGCAUCCUGCUAGAUCCUUAGUCCUAUUCUAGCAUGCUGUUCUACUGAAACUAAAACUGAUAAUCAUAACAUAAACUUGUAUGGGUAAUUUAGGGGUACUUACUUGAGCUCGACUGAUCGCAUGCACCACACCCUUUUCUCGUUUUCAAAACUCUUUUCUUUUUAAGUCUCUUUCUCAAAAGUUCUUUUGAACACAUUUUUCUUUCGAAAAUCUUUUUUCUAUUUCCUCAGUUUGAGUUCAGUUACACCCGUAAGUGUGUCUGAAUCCCUCAAACCAAGGCUCAGAUACCAACUUGAAAUAACCCAAAAUACAACCCAAUUUUUUUUUGUUAAAAAAAUACUAAAGAUAUCAACCAUCAUAAUAUAUCAUGAAAUCGUACGUCAUAAAUCCCCAAAAAGUUAUAAUAGAUGUGUCAUGACAAAAGAGUUGUAUCAACAUAACAUAGUAUCUAAAAUAAACUCCCAUGACAAAAGCUGAAACUGUGGUGUGUGCAAUGCCGUCAUCCCGAGCUCUUCCCUUUGCUUGCGGAAGUACCUGAAACCAAAACUGAAACUGUAAGCACAAAGCUUAGUGAGCUCCCCCAAACUACCACAUACCAUACAAUCAUAUAAAACACAUAUUGGGCCUUGCCCACUGCAUCGGACCGAAGUCUAGAAAAUGCAUCGGACCGAAGUCCGGAACUAACCAGGGCCUUGCCCUCUGCAUCGGACCAAAGUCCAGAACUGCAUCGGACCGAAGUCUGGAAACUAACCAGGGCCUCGCCCUCUGCAUCGGACCGAAGUUCGGAACUAACUGCAUCCAACCGAAGUCCGGAAUUGUCUGAACAUAACAUAUCAUAAACAUCUCAACUAGCAUGAACACAUAAACUGCAUACCGCAUCGGACCGAAGUCCGAAACACAUAACACAAAUACAUGCUUGAAUCACAAAGACAUCAAGCAUUCUAACUACUGCAACGGACAGAGGUCCGGAACUUCUGCUAACUAAACGGGCCGGCAUUGUGGCCGUAGACCCGUUCCUACUGGAAGGAAAACUCACCUCGUAAUGUUGGCUGCUGAGAUGCAAACUCUAAAAGUGGCUGACCGCUGCUCCGGAACUGUCCGACUACAAAUCCCAGAAACACUAGAUUAGUUACUUGCAUAUACCCUCAGGGUAAGAUGACUAUUUUGCCCCCGGUCAAAGUCAACUUCUAGUUGACCGGACUCACCGAGUCAGGGCGCAGACUCGCCGAGUCCCUCCUUUACUAACUCUGACUUUAAUUCACAGAGUCCCUUUCCCACUCACUGACUCUCUCUGAACUCGUAGGUCGAAGAAAAAAGGGGACUCACGACUCGACUCGUCGAGUCUGAAGAACAACUCGCCGAGUCCUGCCGUGCAUAUUCCAAACAAACGAAUUCAAAACUAUUCCAGAGCAUCUGACUUGAAGAUCUGAGCCCUUGGAACUAUCUAAACACGUGAAGUUUCUAACUUUACGUGCAACUAAGAAGGAAUGAAGCUAUUUCACUCAAACACUACUUUUCUUGGGAAAACUCAUCCGACUCGCCGAGUUGUAUGAACAACUCGUCGAGUCUAAGGCGAUCUUCAUCAGACUCGCCGAGUUGCUCAUCCAACUCGUCAAGUCUACGGCUAUCUUCAUAUGACUCUCUGAGUCACGCAUGCGACUCGCCGAGUCCAUUUAGUCCCUUUUUCCAUACAGACCUGAUUUGGGCCAUGCAUUGGCUCCAAAUCACAGAUCUAAGCUUCUAGGGCAUUCUUAUCACGUAAAUUUGCAAACUUUACGUGCAUGCAUGGCUUUAAAGGCUUCAAAUGCUAACCCUAAGCUCUUAAUGGGGCUCCAAGCUCAAGAGAGACCUCAAUCAUGACCAUAACAGAAACUUUACUCUUCUAGAAUGCAAUAAGAGUCCAGAUCUAAUGUUUCCAUAAAAAGGGGAAGUCCAUCUCUCAAGUUUGAACCAUAAGAGGCUCCAAAGAGGGCAUAACAAGCAUAAAGGAGGUUAUAAUGGGGGAAUGCACAAGUUCAUAACUUCAUUACCUGAAUGAAAAAUAGAUGUAAGCUAACUCCUGGAUCUUCCUUCCCUUUUAUGGACCUUCCUUCCUUCCCAAUGCUUCCAUGCUAUCACAAAUACCCUCAAACUCAACAAUGGGGCUAGGGUUUACAGGGGAAAUGUUCUGAGAGUGAUAGAGGCGAGGUUGGGGGCGCAUAAGUGUGUUUAAAUAGGGUGCAAACCCUUAAAAUUAGGGCUUCAUCCAGACAGGCGGACUUGCCGAGUCCAGCGUAUGGACUCGUCGAGUAGCCAGCUCAAAACGUGUGAUUGUCUCGUCUCUACUCGACGAUUCGGGCUACAGACUCAUCGAGUACCCCUUAAUAAAUGAAAAUACUUUAUUUGAAUUACAUACCAAAAAUGGGGCAUUACAUAAUGCUUAGCCCAGAAACACGGACGUUACACUUCUCUCCUCCUUAGGAUGAUGCCAUCCCCAGAAUCAUACAUCAACAAACUAAUGCGGAUAGCGACUCAUCAUGUCACUCUCCAUUUCCUAGGUGAGAUUUGACUCAUUCGUAUGUUUCCGUCGCACAAGUAGUAAGUCAACCAUCUUGUGACGCAACUUCUUCGUCUUAUGGUCAACAAUCGCCUCCGGUUCUUCAACUAGCCUCUUAUUUUCAUCCAUCCUUAGCUCAUAAAUUAGAAUUAUGUCAGGAACUUCUCCCAUGAAUUUCCUCAAAUAACUCACAUGGAAAGUGUUAUGAAUAAUGUCUAGUUCUUCUGGUAGUUCUAGCUUGUAGGCUUGGUUCCCAAUCCUCUGAAGAACUUUGAACGGUCCAAUGAAUCUUGGACUUAACUUCCCUUUUUCCCGAAUCUUAUAAGUUCCUUGUAGCACCUGGUUCCUGGUAUGUAAUUUAUUUAAAUAUUUUGCAUUUUUGGCCUUGGACUCGGCAAGUUGAAGGACCAACUUGCCGAGUAGAAGCGGGAUGGGACGUGGGAUUUAAGUGAUGGACACGUCGAGUCGGGUCCCGGACUCGACGAGUAGGCUCUGACUGAAAAACCCUAAUCCGAGGGUUUGCACCCUAUUUAAUCAUCUCAUUUUCCCCUAAUGCUCCCAGAAACCCUCCCUAGUAAACCCUAAGUGUUUUGGUGCAAGAUCUAAGGCUUUUGAGUGAUUUUUGUGGGUUUUGACCUCAAGGAAUAAGGAAGAGCAUAGAAGGAUCAAGAGGAGACUGAAGGAUUAGAGUUUGGUGCAUCAUUUUCAGUCCUUGAAAGGUAUAAAUUAUGUACCUUGCUUGUUCAUUUGUUAGAUCCUUUUUUGGGGAAGAUUUAGGGCUUCUUAAGUCAUAUGAGGUGGCCAAACAUGGUUGGGGGUCAAGACUUCGGAUCUAAGUCUUGGAAGGAGUCCCAAAGCAGAUUUGGGUUGCUUUUGCACCCAAGGAAGGUCCCAUGCAACAUAAGAGCCAUUUUAGAGCCUUUUUGGGUCAAAAGUCCCAUGCAUGCACGUAAAGUUCGAAACUUUACGUUCUAGAUCGAGCUUAGGGCUUGGAUCUAUCUUUUUGUCAAAGGUUGUACAUCAGAAAUCGAGGAUUUAGGGUGUGGAUGUUAUCGAAUCGGCGAGUCAGUUCUUGGGACACGACGAGUCCAAAGCAUAGGGUCUGUUAUCUGUUGAGGGUCAAAAGAACCCAGUUGGGUGUUAGAAGGGUUGUAGAAGGUCCGAGAGAGUGACCCAACGUGUUGGACUUAGCCUUAGACUUGGAAUUCAUGGGACUCGUCGAGUGCUAGAACAGACUCGGCGAGUCCAAGGCAAUCUCCUUAUCGAUGAAGAUGAACUCGACGAGUUGUUCAUACAACUCGGCGAGUCGGGGUCAGGACUUGUUCAUCAGAUGAAGGUGAACUCGACAAGUGUUCAUCCGACUCGGCGAGUCGGAUGAAGGUUCAUUGAUGUUCGUAAAGAAAGGGAACUCGUCGACUUGUUGCCAAACUCGACGAGACGAGUCGUGGAUAAGGACGAGUAAAGGAAAGGGACUCGACGAGUUNAACUCGGGGAGUCGGGUCAACUGGAAGUUGACUUUGACUUGGACUUGGUUGGGGGUAAAAUAGUCAUUUUACCCCAAGAGUAGAUAUUAGUUUUCUGACUGAGUAUUUUGUGGGGAUUAUAGCCGGAGGAUUUCCGAAGCAACAGCAGGCAGAGGUUUCCUGCACAUAUUAUCAGCAGCUACUUGUUCGAGGUGGGUUGCCUACCAGUAGCGGUGGGUCUACGACCACAAUGUCGGCCCACCAAUAGGAGUUGUAUAAUUAUAUGAUUGUCUUUGUGAUAUCAUCUAGGUUGCUUCUACCUGAUAUGUUAUAUGCUGGCAUGAUAUGUUAUAUGUGAUAGUAGUAGAGUUCGGUUGUUAGGACCGAAGGGUAGGUCAAACACCCCAGAUAUGUAUGACAGUAUGUGAUGAUAUGUUUAUAUGCCGACAUGACAUGUUAUAUGGGAUAGUGGUAGUAGGAGGGGAACAGUCCCCAAGUUCGGUUGUUAGAACCGAAGGGUAGUUCAGACACCCCAGAUAUGUCUGAUAGUAUGUUUAUGUUAUGAUAUAUGUGAUAGUAGUGGUACGUGUGGAAUAGUCCCCGAGGGUCGGUCUUUAGGACUGACGGGUAGGUCAGCACCCCAAAAAGACUUGACAGGGGUAGGACGACACCCCAGAAUGGCCGCACGGGUAGGUCGGCACCCCAGAAUGGCCGUACCGGGUAGGCCGGGCACCCUAGAAUUGCCUGGCAGUAUGUAUGCUAUGUGAUUGUAUGGUAUGUGGUACGAUGGGGGAACUUACUAAGCUUCCUGCUUACAGUUUACAGUUUUGGUUUCAGGUACCUCUUCAACAAAGGGGAAGGAGCUGGCGCGGUAGCGGCACAUCAUACACACAUGUUGGUUUCCGCACUAGUGUUUCUUGGGUCGUUACAAGUUGGUAUCAAAGCCCUGAUCUGAGGGAUUCGGACACACCUUGGGGGUGUCUGGACUCAAAUCGAGGGAUUAAAAGACUUUUACAAGAAAAAUGGUUUCUUAAAAGCUAAGAUAAAAGAGUUUUGGGAAAGAACAAAGUGUGUGAUGUGCGCGACCGGCCGAGCUCAAGUAAGUAUUCCCCAAAGUACCCAUACAAGUUUAUGUUAUGUUUAUCAGUUUCAGUAGAAUAGCAUGCUAGAAUAGGACUGAAGAUCUAGGAAUGAUGGCUUAUGUGUCUGCUUUAUGUGCUCCAGCUUAUGAGAAUUGCAUGCUAGUAUUAAGUAGAAAAUAAUAGGAUAGUCUGUUUAGGUUAUGCCUGGUAUUAUGAGCUCAGCAUUGUAUGAUGGUACAACUUCUCGUUAGGAGAAUAGAGUUGUUUGAGUAGUUUCCUGUGUCCGAAUGAUGCUUGCUCAGUGCUUGUAGGACUCUGAAUGAUGGCCGUUAGCCAUUAGGUGAGUACGUCGCGUCGCAUGUCAUUAGGAUUGAAUAAUCUCAGAGUGCUGGAUUUGGCCCUAUUGCGCGGCUCUCGUUUGAGUCUAACCGUUGUAGGGACGAGUCUUUUACUUGAAGGAUUAUCUGAGCCUUGUUACAUGUGAUGGUAUUUAGGUGAUGGCUAAUUGAUAUCACAAGGAGGCCUUCAACAGCCGAGGACCGGUUUGGGUAGAGUCAGAGAUUUUCCCUAGGGUAAGCCUACGAUGAGAGUAGCAGAGAUCAGCAGUGGAAAAAGGGACUUGGUGGAGUCGAGGCCGUCCUUGAGGAAAGUACGGAUAGAUAUGGAAGGUAGUAUGGGCCCGUACUACAGAAAGCAGAGGAUCCGUACUCGAAUUAAGGAAGGCUAAGGCAAGACCAAGGAACUUGUGAUGGGUGUGAUCCCUAUAGAUGUACUAGUAUCACUGACGGAUGUCAUGAUGUAUUGCGGAAUGGUGGUACUAAGGCCAAGGCCAGCAGUGGGUAGCUCAGGAGAGGGAUCGGGUUCGGGUUCAGGCUCCGAACCAGUGGACGAGAGGCUACGCGAGUUCAUCGCGUCUAAGAUCACUAUAGGCAUCCUUGAUGCGACCCCGAUCAUCUUUGGGUCGAUCAAGGAAGGGAUUGUUGAGCUGAUGGAGGAUCGCCUUAGGGCGCUCAGGAGUGACAUGGCGACCAGCCAGUCAGGAUCCCGCAUACUAUCCUUUAAGGACUUCAGGGGCAGUGGCGCGCCGGACUUCCACGGGGAAAAGGACCCCAUUUCUGCUAGACGAUGGAUUGCGGACAUGGAGUCUGCACAGCUGACAAGCUUCUGCCCCGAGGGGCCGAAGGUGAGAUAUGCAGCAGGGUGUUUGAGAGACAGAGCUAGAGAUUAGUGGGAGUCUGUUGUUGACUCCUUGGGAGCCUCGGCUGUUGAGGCUAUGACCUGGUUAGACUUUGUGACCAGAUUCAGGGCGGAGUUUGCGCCAGCUGUAGAGCUUCAGCAGCUGGCCAGAGAGUUUUUGGAUAUGAGACAGACUACGGAGACUGUGGCGGAGAUCACCGCCAACUUCUGGGAGAGGGCAUUGCUUGUGCCCCAGUAUGCGGGAGAUGAGGACAUGAGGAUGACCCGCUAUCAUGACAUGCAGCGAGCCGAAAUUCGGGAGCAUGUUAGUUUUUCAGCUUGCCCUACCCUAGAUUCCAUGAUUUCCAGAUCAAGGGAGAGGGAGAUCGAUCUAGAACAUGUCCAGAAGAGGAAGGUAGAGGAGGGGCAGACGAUUGGGGCUUCGGAGAAGAAGCCUAAGGGAUCAGAUGGUAGGCCGAAAGGCCAGUCAGGACCAGGCCACUGCAGGAAAUGCGGCAGGCCACAUGAGGGGGCGUGUAGAUUGGGAUUGUCGGGCUGCUACAAGUUCGACAAGACGGGGCAAUUCAGCAGAGAUUGUACCGCCCCUACACCAGUUAUUCAGACGUCUGAGUUGCUGUGUUUUCAAUGCAACCAGAGGGGCCACAAGAAAGACAACUGCCCCCAGUUAACAGCAGCAACAGUGCCAGUGAAGGCGCCAGGUCUAGCGACCCUGCGAAUUACUGAUGACUGGAAGGCCAAGGCUGAGGCUCCAGUGGUGAGGAGUCGGGCCUUCCAGUUGACUACCGAGGAGGCACGCGCUGCACCCGAUGUGGUAACAGGUAUGACUUCUUGUUUAUGCUUUUAUGAUAUGCUGCUGUGAUUUUGAUAUGUUAUGUAUGUGCUCUGUUUAGGAUCGUUCCAUGUGAACGGUAUCCCAGUUCAAGUAUUGUUUGAUUCGGGUGCUACCCGAUCAUUUGUCUCUCUUGCGCUUAGCAAGAAGUUUCCUGAGUCUUCGGGCAUGUUGGAUUGCCCUUUAGAGGUUGAGAUUGUAGACGACAGGUCGGUACGAGCAUUAGAGGUCUUCCGAGAUUGUGUUUUGAGGUUGUUCGAGGAGCGUUACAUGGUAGACUUGAUUCCCAUACCCUUGCGGGGGAACAAGGUUAUUAUCGACAUGGAUUGGUGGAGCCCCAAUAGGGCGGUGAUAGAUUGCGCACAAUAGUUGGUGCGAGUCAGGACCCCAGGAGGGGGAGAUUUAGUGAUUUAGGGUGAGAGCCACAGCGAGGGCCAACCUUAUGUUCGGCAACGAGGACAAGGCGUUACCUUCAGCAGGGUUGCGCCGGAUAUGUCGCUUAUGUCAUGGACACCCGGGAGGAGGGAAAGGCGACAGUGGGCAAUGUGCCUGUGGUACGAGAGUUUGCGGACGUAUUCCCCGAGGAGUUGCCUGGGAUACCUCUGGAACGAUAGGUGGAGUUUAGGAUCGACCUAGUCCUUGGUGCGGCUCCGAUAGCCAAGGCACCGUAUCGGUUGGCUCCUCUUGAGAUGCAGGAGUUGUCUACACAGCCGCAGAAAGUAUUAGACAAGUGAUUCAUUAGACCUAGUAGUUCUCCCUGGGGAGCCCCGAUUCUGUUUGUGAAGAAGAAGGACGGGUCGCAUCGGAUGUGUAUAGAUUAUCGGGAGCUGAAUAAGUUAACGGUGAAGAACCGUUACCCACUCCCGAGGAUUGAUGACCUCUUUGACCAGCUACAGGGAGCAUCUUGGUUCUCCAAGAUUGAUCUGCGUUCAGGGUAUCAUAAGAUGAGGGUCAGAGAGGGGGAUGUACAGAAGAUAGCGUUCCGGACGCGCUAUGGCCAAUAUGAGUUCGUGGUGAUGCCUUUCGGGCUCACCAAUGCUCUUGCCGCAUUCAUGGAUCUCAUGAACCACGUGUGCAGACCAAUGUUGGAUCGGUCCGUGAUAGUUUUCAUCGAUGAUAUCUUGGUUUACUCCAAGACACAGGAGGAGCACGAGGAGUAUCUGCAAGAGGUUCUAGAGACUUUGAGAAGGGAGAACUUGUAUGUUAAGUUCUCCAAGUGUGAGUUCUGGUUGCGCGAGGUGCAAUUUCUCAGACACCUUGUCAACCAGAACGGGAUAUCGGUGGACUCGGCCAAAGUGGAGGCCGUGAUGAGAUGGGAGGUUCCAAGGUCUCCAUCCGAGAUUCAGAGUUUCCUAGGAUUAGUCGGCUACUAUCGGAGAUUCAUCCAUGAUUUCUCCAAGAUAGUCAUACCCCUGACCAGGCUAACGAGGAAAGUCGUGGUUUUUCGUUGGGGGCCUGAGCAGCAGGCCGCAUUCGAGACAUUGAGACAGAGAUUGUGUGAGGCACCAAUCUUAGCCCUAUCGGAGGGCAUAGAGAAUUUUGUUGUGUACUAUGACACGCCCAUUUCAGGUUUGGGCGCGGUACUGAUGCAGAGAGGGCAUGUCAUUGCCUACGCUUCGAGGCAGCUGAAGCUUCACGAGGCGAACUACCCGACGCAUGAUUUGGAGCUGGGGGCUGUUGUGUUCGCCCUUAAGAUUUGGCGUCAUUACCUCAAUAGGGUUCGCUAUACUAUCUACAUAAACCACAAGAGUUUGAUGUACCUCAUGGAUCAGCCGAAUCUAAACAUGAGGCAGCGUCGGUGGUUAGACGUGGUGAAGGAUUACGAUUACGAAAUCCUUUACCACCCGGGGAAGGCCAAUGUGGUGGCCGACGCACUUAGCCGCAAGGCAGCGCCGAUCAGGGAUAUUUGUCUGAGGAUGAUAGUGGUGACCCCGCUGUUGGAGCGGAUUCGGGAGGCCCAACGGGAGGCCAUGAAGGAGGAACAUCGGAAGAGCGAGCGGAUUGUGGGGCAAGUUUCCUCCUUCGAUUAUGAUAGCCGAGAGCUGUUGACACUACACCGUAGGGUGUGGGUGCCGUACCACGGGGGUGUACGCCAGGUUCUGAUGAAGGAGGCGCACAAAUCUCGAUUCUCCAUUCAUCCCGGGGCGACGAAGAUGUACAAGGACCUUCUUUUGGACUAUUGGUGGCCCUGCAUGAAGCUGGAUGUAGCAUGGUAUGUGGAGUGGUGCUUGACCUGUAGGAAGGUCAAGGCCAAGCACCAGAGGCCACAUGGAAAGAUGCAGCCGUUGGAUAUCCUGCUGUGGAAAUGGGAAGACAUUACGAUGGAUUUUAUCAUAAAGCUUCCUAGGAUCGCUCGGGGAGUGGAUUCGAUAUGGGUCAUCGUCGAUCGAUUAACCAAAGAGCGCCCAUUUUAUUCCGAUCCAGGAGGGAAUUUUGGCCGAAAAGUUGGCCAACAUCUAUAUCAGGGAGGUGGUGGUGCGGCACAGGGUGCCGGUAUCGGUGAUUUCAGACAGGGACGUGCGGUUCACUUCCAGGUUUUGGAGGAAGUUUCAUGACGAGCUGGGUACUCGUCUGUAUUUUAGCACCGCCUUUCACCCACAGACGGAUGGUCAGAGCGAUCGGACCAUCUAGACAUUAGAGGAUAUGCUGCGAGCAUGUGUUUUAGACUUCGGAGGUAGCUGGGAUACCUACCUUCUGUUGGCGGAAUUCUCGUAUAAUAAUAGCUAUCAUACGAGUAUUAACCGUCCUCCCUUCAAGAUGUUAUACGGGAGGAAGUGCAGAACCCCAAUAUGUUCGGGUGAGGUUGGCCAGAGGGUCAUGAGGAGCAUCGAGGUGGUGCUCAAGAUGACAGAGAGGAUUCAGCAGGUCCGGAGCAGACUUCAGACUGCUCAGAGUCGGCAUAAAAGUAAUCUUGAUAAGCGCCGAUCAGACCUGGAGUUCCAGCUCAAGGAUAUGGUUCUCCUAAAGCUGUCGCCAUGGAAGGGCGUCAUCCGAUUUAGGAAACAGGACAAGUUGGGCGCCACGUACAUUGGACCGUUCAGAUUCUUAGCCCGGGUGGGCAAGGUAGCAUACAGGUUGGAUCUGCCAGCCGAACUCAGCCAGAUCCACAACACUUUCCACGUCUCCCAGCUGCAGAAGUUUCUGGUGGACGACUCAGCAGCGGUACCCUUAAAAGAUAUUCAGGUCGAUGACAGCUUGAAUUACAUUGAGCGGCCAGUAGCGAUCCUCAACCGGAAGUCGAAGGAACUGAGGAACAAGAGGGUUGAACUAGUGAAGGUGCAAUGGCAACAUCGGAAGGGCUCAGAAUGGACUUGGGAGCCAGGGGAGGAGAUGAUCGAGCAUUACCCAGAGUUGUUCCAGGAACGAACAGCAGACUUCGAGGACGAAGUCUAAAAUAAGUGGGGGAGAUUUGUAGCACCUGGUUCCUGGUAUGUAAUUUAUUUAAAUAUUUUGCAUUUUUGGCCUUGGACUCGGCGAGUUCAAGGACCAACUCACCAAGUAGAAGCGGGAUGGGACGCGAGAUUUAAGUUAUGGACUCAUCGAGUCAGGUCCUGGACUCGACGAGUAGGCUCUGACUGGACAAAAACCCUAAUCUGAGGGUUUGCACCCUAUUUAAUCAUCUCAUUCAGCCACCACUCUACCCUAAUGCUCCCAGAAACCCUCCCUAGUAAACCCUAAGUGUUUUGGUGCAAGAUCUAAGGCUUUUUGAGUGAUUUUUGUGGGUUUUGACCUCAAGGAAGAAGGAAGAGCAUAGAAGGAUCAAGAGGAGACUGAACAAUUCGAGUUUGGUGCAUCAUUUUCUGUCCUUGAAAGGUAUAAAGUCUGUACCUUGCUUGUUCAUUUGUUAGAUCCCUUUUUGGGGAAGAUUUAGGGUUUUUUAAGUCAUAUGAGGUGGCCAACCAUGAUUGCAAACAUGGUUGGGGGUCAAGACUUCGGAUCUAAGUCUUGGAAGGAGUCCCAAAGCAUAUUUGGGUUGCUUUUGCACCCAAGGAAGGUCCCAUGCAACAUAAGAGCCAUUUAGAGCCUUUUUGGGUCAAAAGUCCCAUGCAUGCACAUAAAGUUCGAAACUUUAUGUGCUAGAUCGAGCUUAGGGCUUGGAUCUAUCUUUUUGUCAAUGGUUGUACAUCAGAAAUCAAGGAUUUAGGGUGUGGACGUUAUCGACUCGGCGAUUCCGUUCUUGGGACUCGACAAUUCCAAGGCAUAGAGUCCGUUAUCUGUUGAGGGUCAAAAGAACCCAGUUGGGUGUUAGAAGGGUUGUAGAAGGUCCGAGGGAGUAACCCAACGUGUUGGACUUAGCCUUAGACUCGGAAUUCAUGGGACUCGUCGAGUGCUAGAAUAGACUCGGCGAGUCCAAUGCAAUCUCCUUAUGGAUGAAGAUGAACUCGACGAGUUGUUUAUACAACUCGACGAGUCGGGGUCAGGACUUGUUCAUCAGAUGAAGGUGAACUCGACAAGUGUUCAUCCAACUUGGCAAGUCGGAUGAAAGUUCAUUGAUGUUCGUAAAGAAGGGGAACUCGUCGACUCGUUGCCAAACUCGACGAGUCGAGUCGUGGAUAAGGACGAGUAAAGGAAAGGGACUCGACAAGUAGAUGACCCAACUCGGUGAGUUGGGUCAACUGGAAGUUGACUUUGACUUGGACUUGGUUGGGGGUAAAAUAGUCAUUUUACCUCAAGAGUAGAUAUCAGUUUCUGACUGAGUGUUUUGUGGGGAUUAUAGCCGGAGGAUUUCCGGUGCAGCAGCAGGCAGAGGUUUUCCAAACAGAUUAUUAGCAACUACUUGUUCGAGGUGAGUUACCUACCAAUAGCGGUGGGUCUACGGCCACAAUGUCGGCCCACCAAUAGGCACUACUAGAAAAAAGGCGUUUUACGAUGCUCAUUGCGCGUCGUAAAACGCUCAGACAACGCGAAAAUGCGUGUCAAGGAAGGCCCUGUCAUAACGAGAGACGACACGCAUUUACGACACGCAUUUACGACGCUCAUUUACGACACGCAAUGCGUAUCAAGGAAGGCCAUGUCAUAAAGGAUGACGACACGCAUUUGAGUGUCGUAACCUUACGACACGCGUUUAGGACAUGCAUUGUGUAUCAUUAAAGCCCCUGUCAUAAAUGAAGAUGACACGCAUUUGCGUGUCAUAAUCUUCAGCAACCAUUUACGAUAUGCAUUUACGACACGUCUUUACGAUACACAUUUACGCAAAAUACAAAAAUAUGGAAAUAAAUAUAUAACAAAACAAUCAAUUUCAUUCAUUAACAUCAUGUCAAAAAAUUGUAAUACAUAGCGGAAGUAUUUGUUGAGAGCCCAAAAAGUUACAUAAAUCAAUGAAAGUAAAAUUCAUAACUUUUCUAGUUUUCAUAAUCCUAACAAUAGCUGCAUCAACCUGCGAUAUAUUUAUAAAAAAAAUGUGAUUAUAAAUUUAUAAUUACAAAAAAAAAUAAAGCAAAAAAAAAUUGGACCUGAUAUUGACGAUCUUGGGAAACUCUCUCUGUGGUGCUUGCGUUUUCUUCCACAGUUUCCUUCAGCUGGAUAUCAUUCACAUGUACAUGGAAUGGAAUGGAAUAAUGAAAUAAGCAAAGGAAUGGAAUGAGUCAUUCCAUUCCAAUUUCAUAUGAACUUCACAUUAUAAAAAAUUAAUUGAUCUCACCUUUAUACGAUAAAGAGGAGCAGUAAAUACAUCAUUAAACAUGAAGGAAUCAUUGUCAUCCACAUCAGUUUGAACCUAUUCUUUUGUCUCCUUUUCUUCUUUCUCUUUCCCUUGUUCUUUUUUGUCUUGUAUCUUUUCAAGUGGUUGGUACAACAAUAGAGGUAACGGGACAUGUGCCAGUAUUGGGUCCUGAAGAUCUUGUUGCUUUUGUGCUAAGUGUUUUGUGAUUGAGAAGCAAAUGGUCACAAAUUGCAUAUGGGUUCUGGACAUGCAAAUAAACUUAACUAUCGAUCACAUAACAAAAGCAAAUGAAAGUAUGAUGUUAUAAUAAACAAUUCAAAUGCUAAUACCUUUGACAUGUUUGUAUCUACAACAUUUUGGGAGCUUUCGAUGCUUCGAAGAAUUAAAAGUAUUGAAAUAACCUCUUCCUUCUUUAGACUAUUAUGAGGCUUCCCAUCUUCACAAUCACCACCAAUUGCCAACAUAGAAAGAAAUAAAUACAAUUUUCCGGAAAAUAAUAAAAAUUCAUAUAUAUUUUUUUCAUUCAAAGAAUCAAAAUCAACAGGUAUAGUAUGCAUUCAAUUUAUAUUUCAGGAAAAAAAAACUAAUAGUAUACCUACCUGUAUGUGGGUUCAUAGCAAGUUUUCUCUCUUGGAUAAAACAUUAUUUUUUUAUUUUAUUUAUACUAAAUGUUUUUUUUUAUAUUUUGAUAUAAUACAAAUUAAUUUAUGUUUUAGAUAAGCUCUCUUUUACUUNCCUGUCUUUUACUUAUUUACAUUGAAAAUUGACAAAUAGUUCUUUUUCCACAAAAACAGACAAACUAUCUACAAUGAGUUUUUUGCCCUUUGCCACUAUUUAAUCACCUUACCUUAGUUUUACACACAAAAUCCAAUAAUGGAAUAAUGCAUUGAACAUUACACAUUUGCAAAUAAGAUACACAUUAGCAAAAAAUGGUCUUAGCACUAACUUUCACCACCCACCCACCCGAUAACAAAAGAAAAUAUAAUCCGCCCACUCAGUUUCACUUUAUUUGCAAGUAAGUAUAAACAAUAAUAUUGCAGGGUUUUUUUUUCAGUAUGAAUGAGUAUUCAGUCACUAUUCAUCCAUACCUCUUUAAGUAGUUGAUACCAAAUGCUACCAUUAUUCAAUCUCCAUCUAGGGGUAGGGCUAGGUGUUGGUGUUGUUGGAGCAGAAGAAGCAUCAAUGAUAUUGAUAACAAUGAAAGGGGAACUCAAAUCAUCAAGUUCAUCAUCACUUGUGUUUGACUUUCUCAACACUGAUGAUCCAGUGCGACCCAAGUGUUUUAUACAUACAGCCACUCCCUCUCCUCCAACCAAAAUGGUUUUUAUUAUUGAUGAUGCUGAUGGCGGAUCAUAAACAACCGAACCAGCUACACAUGGGACACUGCUCACACAGUCUUCGCCACCCUCUGUAGAAUAUAAAGCCAAAAGAAACCUGUGUUUGUUUACUACUCAAAAUGAAGACAUAAAAGAAGAAAGGAAUAUGCAUUGUAUUGGAAAAAUGAAGACUAAAAACCUCUUAUAUUAUCCAUAUCAAUAAAGCUAUAUUUAUAGCUUCUUAGACACCCACGAUGAAGUAUGAAAACAAUCCAUGCUCUUGACUCCACCUAAUUAGCUUAAGAAUUAACUAUUAUAUAAAACAUAAAACACAAAACAAUAAUAAUUAUCAAAUCUAAAGUUUCAGCCAUGCACGUGAGCUAUGACUAACAAACCGAUUAACCCAACACCUUCCACCCCCAAAUCCUUAGCAUAUAUAAACAAACACCCUCUAAAUGCAUGUUAUUAGACAUACCAAAAUAUCUUUAAUUGGUUGGCUUGUGUGUCCUUCACAUCAACAUAAUUACUUAAUUAAUUAAUUAUACUGAACUCACCUCUGAGUCUAAGGCUUCAAGCACAACUUCAGGAAUAGCAUCUGGACAAAACUCAUCUGGAACAAAACUAUCUAGUAUCCCUUUUAUUAAUGCUACACCAAAACUCAAACAUACCUUCAAAAAAUUUUAAAUAACUUUAGCUUUGUGGAUAACUACACUACUAUAAAAGAAAAAGAGCCCAAUUUUAGAGACCUCUUUUCUGAUUGUGCUAUCUAACAACAUAUCCUUAGGAAGCAUCAUCAGGUCACUUAAUGCAUUCAGGAGAUGAAAAGAUUUGAAUGAUGAAUCAUCAGCAUCUAUAUCAAAUAAAUCAGUCAGCCACCUCGACCAAUUUUCAAUUUGCACAUUGCCAAAUGAACNNNNNNNNNNUAUAUAUAUAUAUAUAUAUAUAUAUAAAGGAUCACUUGCCAUGGGAAUUGGUCGCCUAUGAUUCAGAUCAGAGGCCUGGAAUCGUCAAGGUAGAAAACACAAGUCAAGAAAAAAAAUAAAAUAAGAGACUUUUAGGCAUAAAUGGUAUAUACCCUGUAAUAGGGAUAACAAACUCCUUGAGUGCUUUUUCACUUGUUACUCCAAUUAAUUCGCCAAGACCUUGAGCAUCCUGUUCUCUCAAUUCUGCAGACCUGCUUAUUAGGCCCUGAAGAUAUAUGGGAAGCAAUGGUUGAAGAGCCUUUGGGAGACAUAACCUGGGUAUAACAAUUGGUCCACCCUAUAUGUCCAUCAACAAAUAUUUAAAUAAGAUAAACCUUAAUCACUACUAAAUGCUGAUUAAAAUACACAUAGUUGCCCCUCGAGUUCCAAAACAUUAAAACAACUCUAUUUUGUGCUUAGAUUCCAAAAUAGGACCAAAACAAAAUUCAUACGCAAGUGCUCAAUGGAUGAAAAAACUCAUAUGUACAAAUUCUAAGCCAAAAUACAAGAAUACAUUAGUUCUACAUAAACCCUAUCAACUCGAAAAUAAAAUUUUCUCGUAUAAUAAUUACAUAACCAAAUUAUGUAGUGAAAUCACACAUUAAAGCAAAUGUCUUUGUUAUUGUGAAUUUUGAUACAUCAUAUAUUAUUAUAUUUUUACCUUUAUUAUAGAUUGGUUACCCAACUUUACAUGCAUUUGUUGAGUUUAUUUCUGGAUUUGACAUGCCUUCUGACAUUCACUCAAAGAAGAAAGACAACAUUCUUCUAGAAACUGGGAAACCUUUUCGAUGGCUCUCUUCCAUGAUGAGUUAUCGUUGCCACUAGCUCAUAUCUUCGACCGUAUUUAUUAUAAUUUUUUUUAUAAAUUAAUAAAAAGAUGAAAAUGAUAUAUANNNNNNNNNNNNNNNNNNNNNNNNNUAUAUAUAUAUUAUAUAAAUACAUACCUCUGGUGAUGAUAAAAAAAGGAAAUCACGAUUCAGAGUAAGGUGAAGAGGAAUGUGGAUUGGUUUGAGUAAUUUUGUGCUUCCUUGACUUACAUAGCUAAACCUCAUUAAGUGUAGUAUUAUUAUCUCUGGAAGCUCUAAUAUUUCACUGAUUUACUUGCACAUACUAAUUCACAUAAUAAUAAAAAGAAGUAUACAUUUCCUGCUGAUGAAGCACGAUACCCUUCAAGUGUCUCUGGAGCUGAAAAAAGAUGAAGUGCAUCUUCUAUUGUAUGCAUAGGAUCUGGACAUAUAUUCAAAUGGAGCAAAAGAAAUGGCUGAAUAGUUGCAGAUGCUUUGUUACCUAUUUUUGUUUUACAUUAAAAAUAUAUAAAUGAUGAAUUAAUGAUAUCAUGUUAUUGAGAUGAGUGAAAAAUGUUAAAAGAUUAAAAAAAAAUACCUCUUGCUUUCAUUACACUUUUUAUUUGGCCUUCGAAGAUCUGACUUAAUUUUGAAGGAAUAAAACUUUGUGUUCUUGUGAUUGUAGUUUUGUUCUUUGGUCCAACUGUUUCCCAAAUAUCAUCAUCAUCUUCAUCACUUAAAGAUGAAACCAGUGAAACUUUUCCACCAUUAAAAUUACAAACUUCUCCUUCAAGUUUAAGAAGUUCAUCAUGCAUUUGGUGCAUUACAAAGCUUAAAAACACCUGAGCAUCUUCUUGCCUUUUUAAAAAACAAACUUCAACUCAGCAUCCGAAAUUCCAAACAUAACAUAUAUAAAAUUUGUUGAUUAAUUUUAUAACAUUAACACAAACCUUGGUCUUCCAGAGAAGCUAUUUGGCAUAUCUGGAGAGAAAUUGUUGAGAACAGAUUCAAACAUGAUAGGUCGAAAAGGUUUCCCAGUUUCUAGAAGAAUGUUGUAUUUCUUCUUUGAGUGAAUGUCAGAAGGCAUGUCAAAUCCAGAAAUAAACUCAACAAAUGCAUGUAAAGUUGGGUAACCAAUUUGUAAUAUAGGUAAAAAUAUAAUAAUGUAUGAUGUAUCACAAUUCACGAUAACAAAGACAAUUGAGUCCAACUCCAUCGGCGUUUGCUUUUGAAUGAAUUCCUUGGGAUAAACCUUCCAUAUACGCUCUGCUCCCUUUCCUUUUGGAACAAAACACCAUAGCAAGACUCCAAAUAUGUAAUAAUAAUCGAUCGAUAAAGUUUCUACAUAAGUUGCAGGUGAUCAAAAAUGGCGGAAAUCAGGAAAUGUAAAUUGUACCUUUAGCGAGAUUAGGGUAAAGCCAUCACAAGUUAGAGCCAUCAUCACCUGUGGGAGACCUAGGGGAAGUUGAUCGCCUCUAUCCACCUGCCAAAAAAGUGAAUCGUCUUCCCAUAAGUUUUCGUCACUUUCUCUCGAUCUUGCCGCUCAACCGGACCAAGGACGCCGGGAAGGAAAAGGACGUCCCUCUUCACCUCAUACUCGUGGAUGUGCCACAUUGGCUUUUCUGAAUCCGGCAAGGUGAAGAACAAUUUUUAUGUUACGAUGUUUUCAACUCCGAUUAAAAAAGCCCUAGAAAUUAUCCCAGUGAUUUUGUGAUAUAUGAGUUGUUGAGGUAUACAGCAGAGGUGGUAUCGUGAUUAGGGUUUGCAGAGAAAAGGGGGAAGAAGAGAAUGAAGGGGAUCAAGCGGGGUAUUAAAAAAUUUAAGAUUUUUGAGAGGAUUUCAUUUCCCCCUUUCAAGAAGGCGCGUUUUAGUAAAAAUUAUAAAGCGACAAUCACAGAGGACGCAUAUUUUAGAUAAAGUGCCCUCCGUGUUUUUAUUUUUUUUACAUUCGACACUAAUUUAAGGGCAUGCAAUAAUGCGUGACCUAAAUCCUCAAAUUUUUUGAAGAGACGACACUUUUUUAUUGUCACUCUCGUUUGCGUAACAUAAAUCAAUAAGUGUCGUGAUUUGCACAUCGUAAAAGGGUCUUUUUCUUGUAGUGAGGAGUUGUAUGAUUAGAUGAUUGUCUUUGUGAUAUCAUCUAGGUUGCUGCUACCUGAUAUGUUAUAUGCUGGUAUGAUAUGUUAUUUGUGAUAGUAGUAGAGUUCGGUUGUUUGGACCGAAGGGUAGGUCAGACACCCCAGAUAUGUCUGACAGUAUGUGAUGAUAUGUUUAUAUGCUGGCAUGAUACGUUAUAUGGGAUAGUGGUAGUAGGAGGGGAACAAUCUCCAAGUUCGGUUGUUAGAGCCGAAGGGUAGUUCGGACACCCUAGAUAUGUCUGAUAGUAUGUUUAUGUUAUGAUAUAUGUGAUAGUAGUGGUAGGGGUGGAAUAGUCCAAGAGGGUCGGUUUUUAGGACUGACGGGUAGGUCAGCACCCCAGAAAGGCUUGACACGGGUAGGACGAUACCCCAGAAUGGCCGCAUGGGUAGGUCGGCACCCUAGAAUGGCCGCACGGGUACCUAGAAUGGCCGCACGGGUAGGUCGGCACCCCAGAAUGGCCGUACCGGGUAGGUCAGGCACCCCAGAAUUGCCUGGCAGUAUGUAUGCUAUGUGAUUGUAUGUUAUGUGGCACGAUGGGGGAACUCACUAAGCUUCGUGCUUGCAGUUUACAGUUUUUGUUUCAGGUACCUCUUCAGCAAAGGGGAUGGAGCUGGCGCGGUAGUGGCACAUCAUGAAUGGUUUUCCGCACUAGUGUUUCUUGGUAUUGUACUAUGACAUUAUUCUUAUUUUUGUGAAUGGUUUUCAGACAUGAGAUGUGGUUUUAUGAAAAGUUAUGAUUAGAUGGUGUUUUCUUAUAAAUGUUUUUACAAGUCAAUUUUAAAAAUGAAAUUUUUGGACUUGUAAAUUGGGUCGUUACAUUCCUUCCAUGGUAAGACUUUAAGCAAAACCAAAUCUCCAACUUCGAAUGCCAUCAGUCGUCUUUUCUUGUCAGCAUAGCUCUUUUUACAAUCCUGAGCUGCUAACAUCCUUUCCCUAAUCACUCUUAACUUUUCAACAGUCUGAUGGACUAUCUCGGGGCCCAUAAACUGCCUUUGUUCAACUUCAAGCCAACAUGACGGCGUACGACACUUUUUUCCGUACAAAGCUUAAUAAGGUGCCAUCUUGAUGCUUAAGUGGAAACUAUUAUUGUAGGAAAACUCUACCAGAGGUAAGUGUUCAUCCCAGUUACCUUGGAAUUCUAGGGUACACACUCUUAGCAUUACUAUAGUGUUUGAAUCGUCCUUUUUCUCUAACCAUCGGUCUGUAGAUGGUAGGCUAUACUUAAACACAGCUUCGUACCCAAUUCUUCUUGUAGACUCCUCCAAAACCUUGACGUGAAACGGCUAUCAUGGUGUAACGCCCAUGUUUCUAGGCUAGGCAUUAAUGAUAAUGUAAUAGUCUAGGUUAACCUUUGUAACCCGUCUUGAAAUAAUAAAAAUGUAUUAUUUGAGUAUUAUGUGUUUUGUGCUUAAUUGUGUGACUUAAAUGAAUUAAGGAUAAAAAUAAGCAUCAAAAUGAAAUGUUAGAUAAACUCGAUAUCUAUGAAGGAUGUGGUAGUGGUCGUGGCAAGGUUUCCAAAUAUAUAAAGAAUGCCAAAAUCUGAGUUAUAACGAAAAAGUUAUGAUCUGUCGAAGUUUCGUUACAGAACCGGCACGGCACUGCGUGACGUAAAUAGUGAAUUUACGAUAGAGCGAUAUUUAGUCUUAGUGAUCUAAACAGAAGUUGUAGAAUAAGUUUAACCGAGAGCGUGCAUAAGAAGAACGUCUAAAUUUGACUUCGUAUGAGGAAGUUAUGAUUUUUCGAAGUUUCGAUUUAGCAGUAUGCAACCCAAAUCUCGAAUUACAGAUCGAGUGAUACUUGGCCGAAACAAUCUAAACGGGAAUCGAAGAUCUCGUCGAUAGUAGUCCAAAAGUGAAAAGACAUACGAAAACGGACGUCGGAUGAAGAAGUUAUGAAUUUCUAACGGAGUUUUCCUGUCCGACCUGCUAAAAAUAAUAUAAUAAAAAUAAGUUCAAAAUUAGCCGACGCAGUCUAAACGAAAGUUGUAGAGCAUAGUCUCACCUAUGUGUGGAUAUAAAGAACAUAAAAAAUGGAGCUCGUAUGAGGAAGAUAUGAUAUUAUGAAGUUUUUAAAUAAUUAAAAUAUAUAAAUUUUAUUAUAUAUUCGGAUAAUAUCCGAAUCCAUGACUCAGCCGAUCUGAUCCGAAGAUUACGCCCAACGUACUGCUUGUAGAGGCAUUACGCCCAGCAUAAUCAGGAUUUACGCCCAACGUAAAUCGAGGUUUCAUCCCCUAUAAAUAGAAGUCGUGGGCAGCCGAGUUUUGUUGCUCAUUUCUUCCUCUCUCUCCCGUUUUACCUCGUUUUACGUGCAAGCUUUACCCCCGAAGCCGCGGUAUCAUUCCCGAGACCCGAAGCCCCGGGGAUCCCGAGAAGUAAAGUUUCUGAGCCGAAACUCUGCCCGUGUAAAGCCCGGUUUUGGAGAAAACGUCCUGGUUUUAUCGGAAAAUAUUAUUUUAAUAUAUGAGGUGAUGUCCGAUCAUCUUCUUAUCAAGUGAGUGUAUAUUCCCUUUCUUCUAACACAUAGAUAUGAAGUAUCUACUUUAGAAUAUGUGUUACAUGUGUAUAAAUAUACGUGUAUAUAUAUGUUAUCUGUUUAUUUGGAAUGAGUAUCUUAUUAGUUUUUAAGUUACAUAUGAAUGCAUAUGUAUGUUGUUAUCUACAAAAUGUUGGGUAGAACUUGUGUAGAUAGUUGAUGUGUGAUAAACUGAUGAGAUGCCUCGAUGUGAUUGUGAUCUAGUCAUUCAACAGAAUAUGGGUGACGACCACGGACUCUUUCUAGACUGUCCCGUGGAAUGCUGGCAGGCUCAUAACCUGUAGGUGUUGGUGAACUUGGGUGUUCAUUUGUUGUAUUCUAUCCCCCUCAUGGUUGCCUUAGGACAUUCAUUGUUGAGAAAACCCCUCUGCAGUAGUGUCCGUCCUGAUGAAAAUCCUAGAUUAGGUCCCUUGUAAUAGUUAUUGUCAUAGUGACGUAAAGUGAGGAUAACAGGAAUGGGUAAUCAGGUUAUUGUUGGUUGGUGAAAUUAAAUAUAAUUAGUUAUUGUGGGUUGAAAACCCUAUAUGCUCACCAGGCUCCCAAGCUUGACCCACUCAGUUUUUUUGUAUUACAGGUAGUGGUGCGAGGGCAUAAGUUGGAGAACUUAUGAAGAUGUUUUUGUUUAUAGACCAGUAGUUGUAUAUAACAGUGUAAGGUCUAUGUUUUACUGUUUAUGCUUUUGUGUCUGUAUCGGAACAUGACAUCCUGAGUUUUGAUAUAUAAUGAAAAUACAUUUCUUUAAGAAAUGUUUUGAUAAACUUUAUUUUAUCAUGUUUUGUUUUAGGGACAAAUUCUGCAACUCUUUUAAAUCAAUGGAUUUACUCUGAAAUUAUUUUAAAAACAUAAAUGAAACCGGCCUUUUCUGGCCGUGAUUUUGGGGAUUUCACACAUGGUCUGAUACUAUCUUUAAAGGAACACCAUGAAGUCUUACUACCUCCUUCACGUAAGCAUUUGCAAGCUUAUCUGUAGACCAUCUUGUUGGAUUAGUGUCUAAGUCCAUAACUAUUUUGGUAUGUACUUGACCCGAUGGUGCAUGGUCCUUUUGGGUUGCCUUCACCAAAGCAACUUGAUUGGAGAAAUAAAUAAAGAGAGAGAGGUUAUUAUGAUUUAUUAAUAUGUUAUAAGAAUAAUAUAUUAAAGGAGAAAUCAUAUUUGUUUAAUUAAUAUUGGUCAAUAAUUAAUUAAGAAUUAAUUUUGUGAUCAAGUGUAAUUAAUUAAACUAGAGGGGCUGAAUUGUAAUUAUGUGAUAGUUACAAAAUAAGGUAAGGAUUAUCUUAAAUAUAGGGUGAACGAAUUUAAGGAGAUAAUGCCUUAGAAUUCGACUAGGAUAAGGGUUUCUAAGACUUAUCUUAUGGUUGCUUGGUGGGCAAGCAACUAGAUAAGGAUAAGGACUAAAACCCUAAUCUUUACACCUAUAUAAACCCCCUAAGGCUCAUGAAUUCGUCUAAGCCUUCCCAAGAAGUCCUAAGGACGAAUUCCUACCUCUAUCCUCUCUCUUUAUACCUUCUCCAUUUGCUCUUGGUGUUUGUGAGCCAUUAGAGGAGUGACACUUGUGACUCUAAGCCUUCCAAAGUCAAUUCAUGGAGAAUUGGGAUUGUUAUUACUACAUAACAAUCAAGGUAACAUCUUAAACCUAAUUAUAUGUUAAUAUUGAUUUCCAUAUGCUAGAAUUAGGGUUUAUAGUCUUGGAUUCAUUGCAUGUACAAUAGAGAAACCUAGAUCCAAGCAUUAGGGUUUGUAUGAGCACAUAGGAUGUCUUAUGACCAAAACCCAUCAGUGGUAUCAGAGCCUAGCUUGGUUUCAAUUGUAUUGAUGCAUUGUAUAACUGGAAAAUUCGUUUUUUGGGUUUCUGGAGGCUGGACUCGCCGAGUCCAUAGAUGAACUCGCCGAGUCCAUGCUGACUCGACGAGUCCAUGCCUGACUCGGCGAGUCGGCUCGUCAGAAGGAGGGAAAACCGGGAUUUCUUGCUGUUUUUGCUUAAGGAUAGUUGCCUUAUCAUAUUAGAUCAAUAUAAAUCCGAUUUUAUGAUAUAUUUGACUAUAUUCUUGAUCUAAUUGAAGAUAUUUAUCAAUUAAUAAAAUAUUUGUUUCCUUAUGUGAUAAUUGAUUAAUUAUUUUGAUUAAAUUGAUAAAUUGUUUUGCAAGAAAUCAUUAAAUAAAUCAAAUAUGGAUAAUUAUGUGAUUAAAUGUUAAUUUAGAUUAUUUGUUAUUUGAUCCUUGUUGUUAUGAAAAGUUUCAUAUUUUCCCCUUUAGGUUUUAUAGUUUAAAUUUGAACCCAAAAGUUUUGUUGUUUUGAAAUUUAAAUAGUUGAAACCCUAAUGUUUUGAAAAAGGUUUCAAAACUUGCCCUCAAGUUUUGGAAUUUAAAUUUUGAUUAAAUAGUUUAAUUUUGAUGUAUAUUUAAAUUCUAAACCCUAAUGUGUUGAAAUGUUUCAAAACUUGCCCUCAAGUUUUGGAAUUUAAAAGUUGAUUAAAAGUUUAAUUAGGAAUGUUAAAUUCUAAAACUCUAGUAUUGUUUUGAAAAAGUUCAAAUCACACCCUUAUGGUUUUAUUAAUUAAUUAAGGUGUAUAAUUAAAAGAGGUUUAAUAAAUCCAUAAAAGUUUUGGUUUACAAUUUAAUUGAAUUAAAAGUAUAAUUGUUAAAUUUGACCACCUAGUAUUUUAAAAGUGUAAAAUACACCCUAUACUAUAUAUAACAUUAAAAGUCUAACAUUAUAUAUAUGUAUGAGUAAAAGUCAGUCUUACCGUUAGUAGGCCUCAUUCACGAAGCUGGUCUAUAAGGGGUGUUUAAGGAAAUUGCCUAUAAAAUGGCGAUUGAAUGGGUAUCCACUCUUACCCACCGCACUCUUGACUAGUGGAGGGUCGUUAGCCGAACGGGUAGGAUAGGACGAAACCUUCCAUUAUAAGUAUAAUGAAGUAUAAAAGUAACUAAAUGUUUUCAUAAAAUUCCCAAUCUUAGUUACUUAGGCAAAAGUGAAUUGAUGCAAUUCCAUGAAAUUACACUUUGUGCCCUUGCGAAGACGUUAGUGGAGCGUGUGUGGUUUACCGGCACACUAAAUGGUUCUAAGCAAAGGUAGCAAAGGGUGACUCAAUGUUUGUCAUAGUUCGGUGGAGCGUGUGUGGUUUACCGGCACAUCGAAUAGGUGACUGUAACAUGUGAGGGCACCAUGUAAGUUUGCAUGGUUAUUCACACCCGCUUUGUGAUCCUCGGCAUCCCAGUCACAAACAAGAGGGGCAUAUCGAGAUUUAAACAUGCCAUUGAAAUGUUCAAUGAAUCUCAAAGGAUCUAGGAGUUUUCAUAGAUUUAAAACUUAAAUUUCUUUUUCGUUUUUCAUGGUGGAAAUUAGUGAAUCGUCAUUCACUUACCUUCAAAUGUUCUGCAAUUUGGGUUACGGCAUCCCUCUCCCGAGUUGUAGAAUAUUGUGUUGGGUCCUAGCCUUAGUAUCUCAUUUGGGUGAUUUACUAAGGACUCAAUCAAUCAACUAACUUGAAUUCUUUUUCUCCCGUUUUGUAGAUGUCAAAGUUCGACAACUAUGGUCUUCCCAAAUCCCGUGGAACAAGCAUUCCACAUGAAGAUGAUAUUCCACGAUUCGAUCGAGGAACAAGAAAUCAUGCUUCACUUCCUCCACCUCCUCCAAUUAUUCUCCCUAACCCACAAGUUCAAAGGCUUGAAAAGUUCAAGAUCACUCAAGCCCUUUUGGCAAGUAAACAUAAAGAAGGAAAGUCGGUGUGUGCACACGUCCUAGGGAUGAAGUCACACAUUGAUAGGUUAAGAAUGUUGGGAUCCGUUGUCUGUGAGGAAAUGGCUGUUGAUUGGGUUCUUCAGUCACUUCCUAACUCAUAUAGUGAGUUCGUAAGAGAGUACUAUAUGAUGAACCGCGACGUGACCCUUAUAGAUCUCACCUAUAUGCUUAUUGCUGCUGAAUCAGCAAUGGUUUGGCGCAAUAGAAAAGCAAAGUUGAUUGGUGAAUCUGCCUUCAAGACCUCUAUGGAUAUAGACAAUGGCAACGAAAGACAUGCUAUGAUCGAAAAGUUUGAUCAUAAGAGAAAGGCAAUGUCUGAAGUAGUUCCAUGUCAUGUUCCAAAAGAGUCAAUUUGCUUUUAUUGCCAAGAGAAAGGGCAUUGGAGACGAAGCUGCCCCAUUUACCUAAGAGAUCUAAGAGAUGGGAGAGUCGAAACGUAUGGCUCUAAUAUAGGUAAAAUCCAUUAACUAACUCUUUUAAGCUUCUAUUCUAGAUUCUUAAUACAUAAUGUGAUAAGAUUACAAUUGAUGUUUUGUAGGAUCGAAGAAAAGAAAGGAAGCUUAAGGGAAGAAGUGAGCAGAAUCUAACCGUGAAGGAAUGGAUUUCGAUCGCAUUUCUCGAAGAUUAGAUUCUUGAGCUACUACUUAGAGUUAGAAUUAGAUUGCUAAGAAAGAUGUAUUAGCAUAGUUUUUCAAUGAAUUGCAUUGUAAGGACAAAUUUUUCCGCAAUAAAAUAAAUUUUGAUUUUAAAUUUUAUUUAUUUAUCCUUACAAUGGCGUGUAUGAAAAAUUGAUGUUAAAAUGUUUCUAUUAUUAGCAAUAAUGGAUUUGGUUCUUAUUAUGUUAUUUAUGGAAAGUCGAGAAUUUACCAAAUAGGGAGAGUUUCUCAUCGCCCAAGUUUCAAUUGGACAGAAACUUGGAAUCAUGCAACUUGGUUGCACGAUGAAUGAGAAAUUUCAUAUUUGGAAAUUAGACUAAUUCAUUGACAAAGUGUCAAGUGAAGGACUAGGAGAUCGAGUACACAAAGUUGCGUGUUGAUCAAGUCCACCAUAAGAGUAACAAAGAUAUUCGUCAUGAUUUACUAAAGGUUUAGUAAAUAUGAUUAUACUUAUAAGAUUAAGUGUAAUUCUGAAUUGAUUGAAAAGGUUUAAAUCAAUAGCAGAACGAAUAAGAAGAAUCAAGUAGGCAGAAAGAUAAAAGUUUCUCCAUUCUAAGAAGAAGGGAGAGUACCUUUUAUGCUUUAUGAUAGGUCUUAAUGAUUAAGAACCAUAUCUCAAUUGAUCCUCUAAGUGAGUCUUAGUACAAUUGUAUGUCUAAGAAGAGGAAUCAAGAAUUGAAGAAAUGGUUAAAUCAAGAAGUCAAUCAUACUUCGUUCCAAAACAAGUCUUAGAGUUAAGAUUGUGACAUUGAGUGAUAAGUAUAAAGAAGGUUUAUAACAUUCAUUAAAUGUGGAAAGUUGUGAUGUCUUGGAUAAGACAAAGACCAACUAGGACCAAUUUAUGAAGUGUUUUGAUAAAAGCUACACUAACUCUUGAAUAUUUGUUUGUCAAGAAAUGGUUAUUGACAAGAGAAUCUUAUAUGUCAAGGAGUCAGUGGGAGUCUUAAUGGUCUUGAAAGGUUUCAAGAACAAAUCAAAUAAACCUUAUCGAUCAUCACUAGCACACGAGUUGAGGUUUACAACCUAUCGUGUUGACAUUAUUUUGAUUCUGUGCCAAUCCAAUCGAGUUAAUUAUGCAUGUGAGUUCUAUGAGUUCUCAUUUUGAACGCAUAAAAGGCAAAGCACCUUAAUCAAUGAAAGGUACAUUGAUAGGAAAGGGUGAGCUGCUUAACUACUUGGAAGACAUGGUGGGCAGCUGUGCUACCAUAAAGGCAAGAAAUCGAGAUCAAGAAAGUUCGAUCCAUAAGAGUUUGAAUUUGUCGUAAACUUUGGUUUUGACAAAUUCACAUGGAUAGGAACAAAUACACCGUUUAAAUCUAAGUGUCAUAAGAUUUCCUCCUUCAUGAAAAUGAUUGUGAGGAAAUGCUUUCACUAAGACAGAUUUUAAGAAGAUAGUGAUUGUAAAAUUGCAUUCUCGAAUUCAAUUAUGGUUACGGCAUCCCUUUCCAUAAUUUGAAUUGUGAGGUUUGGCAAUUAGUCUUAAUUGUUUAGACACACAUAUGAACUAUCGAAGGCAAAGGUGUAUAAGUUCAAGAAGCCUUGAUAAAAGAUUAUCAAAGCACUAAGUAUUAGAAACAUGAACUUAAGAAAUUCAAUAAGCAUUUUUUUUCUGAAAGUUAAGAUGUUUAUGAAUACAUGUCGAAGCUAGUGGGAGCAUAAGUGUUAUGUUUUAUAAUAAUCAUCAAGAUAGUGGGAGCAUAAAAGUUAUGAUUGUAUGAUUAUUAAGGAAAGUAUUGCAAGGUUAGCAAUAUUAAUUAUAGAAAACAAGAGUCAUACUUUGCAAAGUCGCAAUAGUUGAAGAGUUGUUUUGCUAUAAUUAAGGGAGAGAAUAUUAUGCUUCAUUUCAAAUCUAAAGGUUUAGGUUGAGAAAUGUUAAUAAAAUUUAGUCAAAGGUACAAAGUGUGUUCUUAAAAUUUCGAUUAUGAUUACGGCAUCCCUCUUCACAAUUCGAAUUUUGAGAACAUAGCAAAUAAAACAUUAUGCGUCGUGUCCCAUACGCUUCGGGUAUAGGAUCGAUUGCAAAUGCUUUAAUGUUUGACCAUUCUAAAAUUUUCCAAAUGUCGAGCGCAUUUAGAGGGAAAAGGGACUAGAAUUGGUUUUGACUAAAAUAAUUAAACAACUAUCAAAGGACAAUCCAAAGUUCGACGAGGAUUGGUCGCUUGUGAGUAGUUGGAAGUAUAGUAUUGGAAAAUAUGGAAAUGUUUCCAUAUUGGAUGGACCAUAUCGACAUCAUUACGAAUAGAUAAGAUUCUAUUAAGAAUGAGUUGUCAUAUGGAACAUAUGGAAGUGUGUCCAUAUUGGGAAUUGAAUAUUGAGAAAUCUAUGACUAGAUUAGAAACUUCUAUGCAAAAGGAUGUUCAAAGAAUGUACUUUGAGUGAGAGACAUCACAUCUAUGGAAUUGUCUUGUAACAAUCUCCGAUAGAGGACUUUGUAAUAUCAUUGGCAAUAGUCUUUGUGACUUUGGUGCAGUGACAUUACGAAAGGAUCGUUGCAUAAAAUGUUAGAAUCUAGCAUAUUCUAUAAGUAGCAAGAAUUUGAUAUUCUUUCACUUAUGAAAAGGAUUUGGAGUUGUGAAAUGAGAAUGAUUGGAAAUGUGUUCAAUUUGAUCUAUUUCACAAAGUAAGAACCAUAGGUAAACAUUGUGUGCAUGCUAGGAGCAUGGGACAAGUGUAAUAAUUCAAGUAAGAAGUUGAUUACCCGAAACGACAAAUAAUGAGUAAUCGAUAUGGUGAUAAAUAAAAGGUGUUUUAUUUAUACUCAAAGGUUUGAGGCCAUAUGGGAUUAGUAUUAUUCUUGUGUUUCACAUUUGCAUGUUUUGACUUCCAGAAUAAUUGAGUUUAUUAAGAAUAAUCGAAUUAUUCGAACGGGCCACAGUCGUUCAUAUGUUGGAAGUAGAUAUGAAUGAAGACUGUCGUGAAUUGGUGUGUGGAUUGUCUAAAAGAGUAUUAGACAUAAGCAAAUGUUUGCUGCAACGUUCAUGAGUGCUUAUGAAUAUGAUUUGAGCAUUGGAUUAAACCCACGCUCACUUGGAUCACUCCAUGAAUUGUAUCACGAGUGAUUGGUGAGACGAUAACAUCUUAUAUUCUUGAAACCGAGAUGUGUGAGUUGUAUCUUGCGAAUCGGUUGCACAUUGAUAAUAUGUAAACGCACUAGUAACUUGGUGUUAUAAAACAUAUUGUUGUGUGUGAUUUGGUUAGUAAGUGCAAGCAAGCAUUGUAUCAAAGUUUAUCCGUUCCUUUUAUCCAAAGUAGGAUAAAAGCGAUAUCUUUGGGCCCCUCGAUGAUUUAGUGAUGACAAACGUAAAUGCUCGGCCGGGCUAGGGCUAAUUUGAUUUGUUCAAUUAGUCAGUCGUCAUAAAUCGGGAAUCGAGAUAUAGUACAAAGAGAAUGAUUUGAAAUCAUAUCUCAUAUGAUAUCUAGAAUGGAGGAAUAUAUGAUCCCUUAUCUAAGGACACGCGUAUCUGAUAUGAUCAGAGUUGACAGCGGCUUUGGAAAGCUACGAUUGCAGAUCAGGAUCUGAAGUCAUACGCAGAAUAGUUGUUAGACUUAUCCAAGUGGGAGACUGUUGGAUUAGUGUCUAAGUCCAUAACUAUUUUGGUAUGUACUUGACCCGAUGGUGCAUGGUCCUUUUGGGUUGCCUUCACCAAAGCAACUUGAUUGGAGAAAUAAAGAGAGAGAGAGGUUAUUAUGAUUUAUUAAUAUGUUAUAAGAAUAAUAUAUUAAAGGAGAAAUCAUAUUUGUUUAAUUAAUAUUGGUCAAUAAUUAAUUAAGAAUUAAUUUGUGAUCAAGUGUAAUUAAUUAAACUAGAGGGGUUGAAUUGUAAUUAUGUGAUAGUUACAAAAUAAGGUAAGGAUUAUCUUAAAUAUAGGGUGAACGAAUUUAAGGAGAUAAUGCCUUAGAAUUCGACUAGGAUAAGGGUUUCUAAGACUUAUCUUAUGGUUGCUUGGUGGGCAAGCAACUAGAUAAGGAUAAGGACUAAAACCCUAAUCUUUACACCUAUAUAAACCCCCUAAGGCUCAUGAAUUCGUCUAAGCCUUACCAAGAAGUCCUAAGGACGAAUUCCUACCUCUAUCCUCUCUCUUUAUACCUUCUCCAUUUGCUCUUGGUGUUUGUGAGCCAUUAGAGGAGUGACACUUGUGACUCUAAGCCUUCCAAAGUCAAUUCAUGGAGAAUUGGGAUUGUUAUUACUACAUAACAAUCAAGGUAACAUCUUAAACCUAAUUAUAUGUUAAUAUCGAUUUCCAUAUGCUAGAAUUAGGGUUUAUAGUCUUGGAUUCAAAGCAUGUACAAUAGAGAAACCUAGAUCCAAGCAUUAGGGUUUGUAUGAGCACAUAGGAUGUCUUAUGACCAAAACCCAUCACAUCUUUCAUUGGCUACUAUGAAGUGUGCACUCUUAGUAAACCGAUCAACGACCACCCAAAUCAUGUCGUGACCGUCCUUCGUUCUGGGCAGUUUAGUGACAAAAUCCAUGGUAAUGUCUUACCACUUAUCCAUGGUUACACAUAAAGGUUCUAAAAUCCUAUAUGGUUUCUGAUGUUGUGCCUUAACUCUCACAUAGGUCACACACUUGGCCACAUACUUUGCAAUGUUGAGCUUCAUCUUCGGCCACUAGUAGUAGGGUUUCAGAUCCCUAUACAUUUUUGUGCUGCCGAGAUGAAUCGAGUACAUGGUCUUGUGAGCUUCUUCCAUCAGAAGAUCUCUUACUUCGCCCAUCUUGGAAUACCUUUAAUCCUUGAUUAUUUGUACCGAAAACCAAGUUUUUGCUUAAACAUUCUUCCUUUUGGUCAUUCUCCUCUAAAACUUCCUCCCAAGCUUUGUUGAUGCUUUCCACAAUCAUUGUGACAACCUCUAUUGAUUGUUUUGAUUAUAUUUCUCUUCAAUCUUCUGUCCUAACUCAGAUGCUACAUGAAACUUGGUUCUCUGAACCAUGUAACAUACUCAUCUUAGUUGGACUCGAUAUGAUACGACCACUAGGGUCAGAAUCAGAAUCAUCUUCUUAGUCAUUACCAAAACGAUGGUAAUGAAGAACUUGAACAAAACAGAAUCAAUUACUAGCUUCUUAGUAACCUUGCGACUUUCACUGAUCCAAGUGCAAGUCCUGUGCUUCCGGUAGUAUAGGCCUCUACUACCAUUCACACCUACUCAUACUCGUUCAAGGUGCUAUCUCACAGUUUUCCAAGUCAUCAUUCAAGAGUUUCACAUAAUCAUUUAACACAUCAGAUAACAAAAUCAAGGUUUUAUAUUAUUUCUUGAAAUGAUUACAUAAAUGUUCAACUUCGUCCUAUACUAUGCCUCUAAUAAGUUGCGCUACAUGAUGCUAUCCACAUGGCCACUUCAUAACUUGAUCUUCGGAUAUCAGUCCUCACUCCUGCUUCCUUGCAUUGUCAGCUGCUUCGUUAAGGAUCAUUUGGAAUGCCCUUGGCUGGGGCGGUGCGUUUGGCCUUGCCGCUUUAUUCUUCCUUGGGCGGUUCUUCAAAAUAUGCCAUCCUUCAUUGCAUUCAUAGCACACCCUCUUGCGGGAUGUACACUCAUUGGCGUAGUGCCCAGGAUUUUCACACUUAAAACAAGUGACCUCCCGUCACAUUUCCCAUGGUGCUUCUUUUUGUACUUUUCACACCAUUUCGCUUCAACUCCUCCUCCUCUCGAACCAGACUUCGAGAAAUUACUUUUCUUGUUGGAUUUCGAAGAUCCAUCAAACUUCCUUUUCUUACCAACCUCUGCCCUCUCCAGACCCUUCUCCCUUAUCCGUGUCUCAACAAUCUUCAUAGCUCUAACGACUGCCUUCAACGUGCUUGCCAUUUUGACUAUUGGGCCAAAGUCUGAUGGCAAUCCGUUAGCAAAUUUCUCUAUCUUGGCGAGUUCAGUCGACACCAAGUAUGGAAAUAACUUCAUCUUCUCAGUGAAUGCAGUAGCAUAAUAAUCAAUGCUUAUUCUCCGUUCUUCAAUUUCUGGAACUCAUUGUUUAGAUCUAUCAUAUCUAUUUCGGAGCAGUACUGCAUUUUCAACUGCAUUAUGAACUCUUCCUUAGACAUUUUCAGAGCUUUUCCUCGUGGCAUCGUAUCCGUUAAUAACUUCGACCAGCUUAAAACUUUGGUCUUUACUUGUUUGACCGCAAAGACAAUUUUUUGUUUGUCGCUAUAGUUGCAGCUUUCAAAUACCAUCUCUAUUUCGACAUGAUCUUCAUUGUGAUUUGACGAAACAUAUUUGGACGGUUAUGCUUUUCAUGGCCAAUUUUCGAAGAAGUACUUCUUUUAAAUUGACGAGUGUGACAUCCACCAUUUUCACGGUCAGAAAAGACUGAUUUUGUUUAUGCUUUAUAAUAAAAUCAGAGUAACCUUUUUAAAGAAAAGUGUUGUGGAAUUUGUUCCUAAAAUAAAAUAUGAUAAAGAUUUAUCAAAACAUUUCCAAAGAAAUGUAUUUCAUUGUAUUAAAACCUUGGGAUGUCAUUAUUAAUACAAAUCAGAAACAUAAGCAGUACAACAUAGGCGUUACAACAUUUAUUUAAAUCUACUAGCCUAUAAACCAUAAUCCUCUCGUCAAGUCAUCCAACUAUGCUCUUGCCACUACCUAUAAUACAAGAAACUGAGCCGGUCAGGCUUGGGAGCCUGGUGAGCACAUAGGGUUUUCAACCCACAAUAAAUAAUUUUGUUAAUUUCAACAAAUGAAAUAAACCAGAUUACCCGUUUCUAUUUAUCCUCACAUUACGUCCCUAAAACAUCUAAUAUAAGGGACAUAGCCUAAGGAUUAUUGUAGCACCUGGUUCCUAGUACGUAAUCCUUGUAAUUAAUAUUUCUUAAUUUUGCAUUUUUGCCUUGGACUUGGCGAGUUGAAGAACCGACUCGUCGAGUAGAAGCGGGAUGAGAAGCGGGGUCUGAGCUUUGGACUCGGCGAGUAGACCCUGUUUGGGCAAAAACCCUAACCAAAGUGUUUGCACCCUAUUUAAACGCUCUAACUUGGCCUCCUUUGUCCCGAACACUCCCAGAGAGCUGAAGAGCGAAACCCUAGCCCCCAUUUUGUUCUUGAGAGUGAUUUUUGGCUUUGUGAAGAAGGUUUGGAGCUUAGAAGAAGAAGAAAUAGGUUGUAGUGUGCAAAGAGGGGAAGUAGAUCCGGAAUCUACACUACAAGAGGCUUCCAUUCAGCCGGAGGAUUACCGAUUCAGCAGUCAGGCGCUUAGCAAGCAGAUUUUCAGCAGCUACUUUUCGAGGUGAGUUACCUUCCAGUAGCGGUGGGUCUAAGGCCACAAUGUCGGCCCACCAGUAGGAGACGUAUGAUAGAUGAGUGUCUUUGUGAUAUCAUCUAGGUUUGUUACUACCUGAUAUGUUAUAUGCUAGCUUGAUGUGUUAUAGUAGUAGAGUUCGGUUGUUAGGACCGAAGGGUAGUCAGAUACCCCAGAUACGUCUGACAGUAUGUGAUGAUAUGUUUGCAUGUUGGCUUGUUAUGUUAUAUGCGAUAGAGGUAGUAGGGGGUGAAAUAGUCCCCGAGGUUCGGUUGUUAGGACCGACGGGUAGUCAGCACCCCAGAAUGGCUUGACAUAGGGAGGGCGGCACCCCAGAAUGGCCGUACAGGUAGGUCGGCACCCCAGAAAUGCCUAGCAGUAUGUAUGUGAUAUGAUUGUAUGGUAUGUGGUACGAUGGGGGGGACUCACUAAGCUUUGUGCUUACAGUUUUCAGUUCUGGUGUCAGGUACCUCUUCAGCGAAGGGGAAGGAGCUGGCGCGGUAGCGGUACAUCAUACACACACAUUGGAUUUCCGCAUUAUGAGAUGUCCUGGGAUUGUACUCUGACAUUAUUAUUAUUUUCAUGUUUUGGGUUUUCAGACACGAGAUUUGUUUUAUGACAUGAUAUGAUCGGAUGAUGUUUUACUGCAAAUGUUUUACAAACCACUUAUUUUAAGUGAAAUUUUUGGGCGUGAAAAUUGGGUCGUUGCAAUUAUCAUCGGGGUAACAACAUUGCUUAGGGGAUACUGUGACAUCCCCAAAAUCUUGGCCAGAAAAGACCGAUUUUCAUUUAUGCUUUUAAAAUAUUUUCAGAGUAAAUCCUUUUGAUUUGAAAGAGUUGCGGAAUUUGUUCCCAAAAACAAAACAUGAUAAAACAAUGUUUACCAAAGCAUUUCAUAAAAGAAAUGUAUUUUCAUUAUAAUCAAAACUCGGGGUGUCAUGUUCCGAUACAGACCAAUAAGCAUAAACGAAUACAUUACAAGUCAUAUAACAAAUAUAAACAUAUGCAGACUUGUAAACAAAACAACUUGAUGGUUCAUCCAUCUCAUGCCCUUCCGCCACUACCUGUAAUACAAUUUAAAACUGAGUGGGUCAGGCUUGGGAGCCUGGUGAGCAUAUAGGGUUUUCAACCCACAAUAAAUAUCAUAUUUAAUUUUCACCAACCAACAAUAACCCAAUUACCCAUUCCCGUUAUUCUCACUUUAAUGUCCCUAAAACAACUAACAUAAGGGACCUAGUCUAAGAAUAUUUCAUCGGGGCGACAACACAUGCUUCGGGGGUACCUCAGCAAUAUAAGUCAAAUAAGGCAACCAUGAGGGGGAUGGAGUACAGCGAAUGAACACCCAAGUUCAUUAACACCUACAGGUGGCGAACCUGCUAAUGUUUCCACAAGACUAUCUAGAAAAGUCCGUGGUCGUCAUCUAAACUCCGCUAGAUGACUAAAUCAAACAACAACGAGGCCUCUCAUCUGUUUAUUACACACCAACUAUCUACCCAUGUUCUACCCAACAUAUUAGUAGAUAAAAAUAUACAUUUUUAUACAUAGUUUAAAAACCUGUAUAGCAUGCUUUAAUCAACACAUAUUUCACAUAACAGAUGAGGCACACACACACAUAACACGUAUCUCAUAGAGAAUAAAUCAUAUCUAUGAGAUAGAAGAAAGUGAAUACACAUUCACACACAUAACCACAAAAUUAUACACAUAAUACGUAUUCCGUAUAAAAUACUUCAUAAUUAUGCGUUAGAAGAAAGUAACUACACACUCACUUGAUCAGAAGAUGAUCGGACAGCACUACGACUUGCAGAAGUAGUAAUCCUCAGCAGAUCUGGAAGAUCUUCACAAAAAUCGAACUUCUCGCGGGCAGAGCUUCGGCUCGGGAACCGCACUUCUCGGGAUCUUCGGGAUCUCGGGACUUGCCUCGGGGCUCGAGUAUGAUACCGGGGCUUCGGGGUAUUUCUGGCACGCAAAACGAUGCAAAACGGGAGAGAGAAGAGAGAAAAUGAACAAAAGAAUCGGCUGCCUUCGGAUCCUAUUUAUAGGAGGCUGAAGCCUCGGAGUACGCGAGGUGUACUGGUCCGAAAAACGUCACUGCUUACGUAUCCGAAGACUCGAGUGCGAAUGUCGACAUCCCUCGGUGUACGCGGGGCGUACUUCGGAUCGGAUUGCUGACUCCCCUUCGGAUAAUACCGGAUUUUCUAAUAAAAAUUAAAUACAAAUUAUUUAAUAAACUUCGGAAAUUCAUCUCUUCUUCAUACGAACUCCGUUUUCGACGUUCUUUAUAUCCACGCGAAGGUGAGACUACGCUCUACAACUUUCGUUUAGACUCCGUCGGCUAAUUUUAACUUUAUUUUUAUUAUUUAUUUUUAAUAGGCCGGGACAGAAAAACUUCGUUAUAAAUUCAUAACUUCUUCGUUUGACGUCCGUUCUCGCCUAACUUUUUAUCGCUUCGAGACCAACAACGAGACCUUCGAUCCUCGUUUAGGUUGCUUCGGCUCAAAACCGCUCGAUCUCAAAUCGAGUAUUUCGGGCUGCACACCGCUAAACCGAAACUUCGAUAAAUCAUAACUUCCUCAUACGAAGUCAGAUUUGGGCGUUCUAUAUAUACAUUCGUAAACCUCGUUUCAACUACUACAUCAUCAACCAAAGAUAUCAAGUUUAUUUUACACUUUAAUUUUGACGCUUAUUUUUAUUCUUAAUUAAUCAAACCACAUAAUUAAGCAAUUAAGCACAAAACACAUAAUACUCAAAUAAUACAAUCAUAUUAUUUCAAAACGGGUUACAAAGGUUAACUUAGACUAUUACAUUGCUAAAAAUGGCAAGCCCGGAAACACAGGCGUUACAGAUACCUCAACAUUUUAUGUCAAAUAAGGCAACCAUGAGGGGGAUGGAGUACACCUGGUGAACACUGAGUCCAAAUAAACACCUACAGGUUGCGAGCCUGCUAGCGUCCCAUUGGACUGUCUAGAAAAGUCUAUGGUCGUCAUCUAUACUCCGCUAGAUGACUAGAUCAUCGUCAAUAUCGAGGCCUCUCAUCAUUUUAUUUCAUCACACGCCAACUAUUUCAUCUACCCACGUUUUACCCAACAUAUUUGUAGACAUAAAUUACAUAUACAAUUCAGAUCUAAAAAACAAAAUNUAUAUAUAUAGUUUAGAUCUGAAAAGAAAAGUCUAGAUCUGAAAUGAGAAAGUUUGGAUUUGAAGGAAACAGUUCAGAUCUGAAAGAAAGAGUUUAGAUUUGAAAGAAAAGUUCAUAUCUAAAAAGAAAAAGGUUUAGAUCUUUCUUCCAACAUAGAUCUCAGGUAAACAGAUAAUAUAUAUACACAUAACACGUAAUUUAUAUAAAAUAGUUUAGAUCUGAAAAGAAAAGUCUAGAUCUGAAAUGAGAAAGUUUGGAUUUGAAGGAAACAGUUCAGAUCUGAAAGAAAGAGUUUAGAUUUGAAAGAAAAGUUCAUAUCUAAAAAGAAAAAGGUUUAGAUCUUUCUUCCAACAUAGAUCUCAGGUAAACAGAUAAUAUAUAUACACAUAACACGUAAUUUAUAUAAAAUAUUUCAUAUUUAUGUGUAAGAAGAAAGUAAAUACACACUCACAUGAUAAGGUGGCGAUUCGGACAACGUUUUGCUUCUUAAAAUAAUCUCCAUUGAUGAAACCGGGAAGUUUGGUUGAAAACCGGGCUCUGCGGGGGGGCAAAGUUUCUAAACCGAAAAACUCUUUUUCUCGGAGACUUCGGGCGCUCCGGGGCUUUCUUCUAGUGCUAAGGAGGUCCCCUAGGCUUCGGGGGUGUUUAGGGUGGAUAGAGAGAGAAAGAGAGAGAGAGAGAGAGAGAGAGAGAGAGUAGAGUAGAGAGUGAAAGAAGUGUGAAAUAUGUGAGAAAACAUGGCUAGCCUCGCAUCCUAUUUAUAGUCAGGAGGUCUCGCAUUACGUUGGGCGUUCCUCGGUCUACAUGGGGUGUUCCUCGGUACGCAGGGCGUACCCUCGUACGCGGUACGGUUUGCGAGGUUCGGAUUUGUCACCCUUCAGAUGGAGCUAUGUGGCCAAUUCCGGACCUAGCCUUUGCGAACGCGGGGUGUUCUCUUCGGAUAGCCUCGAAAUAUGUACCUCUUACUUCAAAAAUUCAUAUAUUUUGCAUACGAGCUCCGUUUUCGACGUUAUUUAUAUCCACGCGUAGGCAGGACCGUACUCUACAACUUUUGUUUAGACUCAGUUGGCUAAAUUUGACUUUAUUUUUAAAGUUAUAUUUUUAACAGGCCGGGACAGGAAAAGUCUAUUAAAAAUUCAUAACUUCUUCAUCCGACGUCCGUUUUCGUUUUUCUUUUAACCGUUGAACUACUAUUGACGAGAUCUUCGAUUCUUGUUUAGGUUGUGUCGGAUAAAAAUCCCUCGAUUAUAAUUCGAGCUACGGGCUGCACACUGCUAUGCUAAAUCUUAGAAAAUUCAUAACUUCCUCGUACCAAGUCAGAUUUGGACCUUCUUUUUAUGCACGCUCUUGAUUUAACGUAUACUAGGAUUUUCAUUUAGAUCGCUAAGGCUAAAAUGCACUUUAUCGUAAACUCACUUUUUACGUCACGCAAUAUCGUGCUAGUUUUGUCGUGAAACUUUAACAGGUCAUAACUUUUUUGUGAUAACUUGGAUUUCGGCAUUCUUUAUAUGUCCGAAAUCCUUGUCACGACCACUACAACUUUCUUCAUAGAUAUCAGAUUUAUAUAACAUUUUAUUUUUGAUGCUUAUUUUCAUUCUUAAUUUAUUAUAUCAUUAUAAAUAAGUAUAUAAUCACAUAAAAUCACGUAAUUCACAUAAUAUUCAAGUAAUUCAUCUUUAUUACUUUAAAAUAGGUUACAAUAGUUGACCUUGACUAUUACAUCAUCAUACUAAUGUUUAGCCCAGAAACAAGGGCAUUAGAACGAGUAUGUUACUAGGGAGAAGAGAAAGAAAAAGAGAAACGGAAAACAUGAAGGUUUCACGAGAACUUCUCACUGAUAUCACUAUUCCCGUCGGUAACGUCAUGGACAUUGCCGGUGAUAAGGUUACCUCGUUACCAGAGGCAUUUUCGGUGAAAAACGACAUGAGUGAAGCUUUUCAUCGGAGUUGAUAGAGAGAAAAAGAGUAACACGGAAGAGGGAAGAAUGAAGUCGCUAAGGGUAUUAUUCGUGUCACACUUUAGCAACGAUACCAUUUAGUGGUGUCGAAAGACAUUUGUGGCAACUCGAAACGUAAUAGUCGCGACACACUUUUGAGGGAAUAAUUGGCAGAGGGUUCGAGUAUUAGCGGUGACACCGUUGCUGGUAUUAGUUAGUGGUGUGUAUGGGGCGGUUUGGUUCGGUUAUUGGUUAAAACCGAACCAUAACGAUUAUGAUUGGUUAAUGCAUUUUGGUAGCCAUUGGGUAUGGUUAAUAUUGGUUAUGGUUAGUAGUUUUUAUCGGUUAACGGUUUUGGUUAAUGGUUAAUAUUGGUUAACCAUAAUGUUCAAAAUAAUAUAAACGACGAAAGUAUUUUGGCAUGAAAAAUGAAAAUAAAAUACCAAAAAGUCCUCGACGCCGAUGUUUGUAACCUAACUUAUAGUAAUAUAAUAAAAUGUGUAUCUGUAAUACUUAGAGUGAGAUAACACAUAGUCACAUUUAAAAUCAAAAAUAUUUAAUAAAAAUAUAAAACAUUAAAAAAAUUGACAUUAAUAAUUUCAUAUAUUGAUAAUUGAUAUUAAUAUUAAAAUAAAGUCAAACAUUCAUACACGUUCAAUACGAUUAAAUUAAAACUAUUAAAUAAAAAAGCCAAACAUUCAUAUUCUGUGUUAUUAGAUAUAAAAAAAAAAAAAAGUCAAUCACUCAUCUACAUUCAAUGUGAUUAAGUCAAAAACACUAAAAAAAUUCAAAAAAUUAAAAAAAAAUACAUUCUUAAUAUAUCACAUAGUUAAAAAGAACCAAAAACUUAACUUACCUAGAAGUCUUGAGUAUAAAGUCAAAAAAAUCCUUCGAAUAGGACUAUAAAGUCCAAACAAUCUUUGAUUAUGAUUAACGGUGUGAGAAGCCUUCGAUUAGGAUUAUGAGUGUGAAGAUUAAACUAAUUGUGAAUAAUGUUUACAAAUUGUAGAAUUAGCCGAUUAUGAAUUACAACAUUAAUUAAUAAUCUAACUCAAUGUAUGAUUGGAAGAUUAUGUGUGUCUGAGUGAUCAGUCUUUGAUGAUUUGAUUGCUCGUUCGUCUCCUGGUAAGUGAAGAUUAAUAGAUUAUAUUUUCAAAAUUUUAAUGGAUCUUAAAUAAGUUUGACUAUAUNUCUCUUUCUCUCUCUCUCUCUCUAUAUAUAUAUAUAUAUAUAUAUAUAUAUAUUAAAAUAUAAAGUUAGCGGUUCGGUUAAUAAUGGUUCGGUUAACCUAUAAAACCAUAACCGAACCGUUAGUUAUUGGUUAACAAAAAUUAGAAACCGAACCAACGGUUUUUAAAAUGGUUCGGUUAUAACGGUUAAUUUGGUUUUGGUUCGGCUUUUCGGUUAUUAUGCUCACCCCUAGUAUUAGUUUCGCCGUUAUUGUUAUGUACGAAAUCAUUUUUCAAGUGUUGGAUUAUGACAAAAUCGACGAAUAGGGUUUAACCUCAGAUUUUGACGCGGAUCGGGGUUGAUGAGUUUCGCCUUUAGCGGUGACAACCACCAUUACAACGAGACCUAAUCUAAAUGUUGGGUAUCGCUUGUAAUGGUGGUUGUCGCAACUAAAGGAUUCGCCACUGAAGUCCUAUAUUGUUGUAGUGAUAAAUGUUAAACCUAAACACCAAUUUAAACACACCAACCACUAGAAAUUGGUGGCGACAAGUUCAUGGCAUUAAGAGCGAUAACAAAUGGUGUAUAAAUCCAUUAUGAUCUUCGUUGCGAUUUAACAGAACAUAUUUGGACGGUUAAUGAUUUUGAAGCUCAAUUUUGGAACAAUUUUUUUUUUGAUCCAUCAUGUUAUUAAGUUUUAAGUUUUUAAUUUUUUGAGUUGUUAUGGUUUAGUUUCUUGUUGUGUAAUUUUUAUUUUGAUUUAAUAUAAAAUUUAGUUUUUAAAAAAUUAAUUGCUAAAAAAAGUACUGAUGUUAAAAAAAUGAUGUUAAUCCGCCUAACCUAAAUGUAAAUGGUAUGUUGAAGACGGUGUGUAGCAAAAUCAAAUAUAAGCUGCUGGUUGAUGCAUCGGGUAUUGUAUUACGUGAGGUUGAUAGUUUGAUUUGUUGAAAUUAUCUUUUGUGUGUUUGAGAAUUCUUUUAUGGAAGUCCCUAUAAAAAGGAGUUCAAACUCAAAUGUUGGUUGAAAUAUUGCGAGUACACUUCACUUAAUUUGAUUGCGGUUAGGAAGCAAUUUAAUUUCUCAAAAGAUUAAAUGCCACUAAUAAAUUAAAAAAAUAAACUAAAAAUCAACACCAAAUUAAUGCCAAAGCUUUAAACCAUAUAUUACUAAAUUAAUUCACAUACGCCAUCAAAAAAAAAUUCAUGUCACAAACCCAUACUCAUAAAACUCACUUUCCAGGUACAAAGUUUGUAGCAUAUGACCAUGCAUUGUUUGCAACAGGGUCAGCAAGGUGGUCAGCGAGGUUCUCCAAUGGUCCCUUUCCGGUAACAAUGGCUUGAACAAAGAAUCCAAACAUAGAGAACAUGGCUAGUCUACCGUUCUUGAGCUCCUUCACUUUCAGCUCAGCAAAUGCCUCUGGGUCAUCAGCCAGACCCAAUGGGUCGAAGCUACCACCAGGGUAAAGUGGGUCAACUACCUCACCAAGAGGUCCACCAGCAAUUCUGUAACCUUCAACUGCACCCAUCAAGAUCACUUGGGUAGCCCAGAUGGCUAAAAUGCUUUGUGCAUGGAUCAAACUUGGGUUCCCCAAGUAGUCAAGACCACCCUCACUAAAGAUCUGGGAUCCAGCCUUGAACCAUACAGCCUCACCAAACUUGACACCAUUACGCGCCAAGAGUUCGGGGAAGACGCACCCAAGAGCUCCGAGCAUGGCCCAUCUGCUGUGGAUGACCUCAAGCUCACGGUUCUUGGCGAAUGUUUCAGGAUCAGCAGAGAGCCCAGCAGUGUCCCAACCGUAGUCACCGGGGAACUCACCGGUCAGGUAAGAUGGGGCUUCGCCGGAGAAUGGGCCAAGGUACUUAACACGGUCGGGGCCGUACCAUGGACUUCCUGAUGGUGCGACUUUCUUGACUGCUGUCUUCCUCAUGGAAACCCUUCCAUUUCCGGUGAUUUCUGAACCAGAUGGUGUUAUUUUCACUGCUUGUCCGAUGAAUGAAGAAGAUACAGACAUAGUGGAAGCUGCCAUUCUGUUAAAUUUGGUUGAAAGAUGUUGUGGAGAUAGGAGAGUUUGAGUUAUGAAGAUGGGGAGAUCUGCAAGUUUAUUUAUAAGGUGGUUUUUUGGUCAGAUAGAUAUGAUCGAUGCUUAUCUAGAUACAAUCUUCACCUUCAUUUUGAUUGGCAAACAACAUUCUAGUUUUAUCUAAGGGUCAGUAAUCUGCGUGCUGUGAGUUCUCUGGUCCACCAGAGAUUUUUGAAGGGGCUGCGGUAUAUUCAUGGCUCUGGUUUAUUGAGGGAAUGUAAUGGCUCCCAUUCUCAGCCACAAGCUGUUCUUGGUGGGGUUUUUCAUCUUUAACCAUUUUACAUUUUCACAAAGUUACAUAAAUAGUCAUCAUGCUUUACAAAGUCACCGGUUCAGCAACAAACUUUUUUUCCAUGAUUAAAAAUUCAAAACGGUCCGUAUGGUUUUAAUAUUAUUAGUAAUCAUCUUAACAUUUCUAAUUUUUAAAGACAAAUAUUCAUAUAAAUGGUUAUGUGAUUUUCCAGAAUAUCAAGUGGAGCACAUCAUUUUUUCGGUCUUAUGGAAUGACUAUUUGGUUUCAAUUCCUAUCAUAAUUGAUCUUAGAGCAUCCACAAUAGGGGAGUUUAAUGGAAGAGUUGAAUGAGGUGUCAUGCCUACUUGUCAUUCAAUGGAUACAACUCCACCAUUGUGAAAUGCCACCUUGGCAUUCAAUGAAUUUGGAGUUCAAUGGUCAUUGAACUCUUCAAUGGGAAAAAGGAAAAUCUUUAAAUCUUUAAAUAAAUAUUUUUUAAUAUAUUCCAUUGAACUUGUAGAGUUUAAUGCAUUGUGGGAUAAAAAUGAAAAGAGUUGUAUGGAAUAAUGAAUGAUGACGUGACACUCCAUUGAACUCUAUAGAGUUCAAUGCAUUGUAGAUGCCCUUAGUCCCACAUAAAUAAACUUUUAUACCCUUCUAUAUUAUAAUUAGUUUAUUUAAUAUAUAAAUAGCUAUGUUUUAUAGUUAACAAUAAAUUUUGUUCAUNNNNNNNNNNNNNNNNNNNNNNNNNNNNNNNNNNNNNNNNNNNNNNNNNNNNNNNNNNNNNNNNNNNNNNCUCUCUCUCUCUCUCUCUCUCUCUCCCAUCACACCCUCCUAAUCUUUAUUUCUUUCACUCGAUCGGUCAACCUCUUUUCUUUCUACAUAAAAAUUAAUCCAAAAUGCAGCCUUUUCCCAUACUCUGUGCUUGCACCGCCACUUUACCUUCUUGAAACCAAAUUACUAACCAUACACAAGUCUACAAAUCUACUAAUGUGUCUUCCAUUUCUCAAAAUCGAAAAAUAGAGAAGGUGUAGAACAUUGAGCUCACUUCUGUGCAUCUCCCACCUCUUUUACACAAAUAUGAAAUUAAAAUUGAAGAACAACUUUGUGAAGAACCUAGAUUGUGGAGAUGAUGAUGAAUAAAGUCGAUAGUUGGUGGUGCUCGGUGAUGUUUGAUGUUAGCGGCAGUACACUAGUGUUGUGGUGAUCGCCUGUUCAGUUGGUUAUAUUCUGGUAGGGUGGACGAUGGUGACCGUAGAACAGUUCAUAUAUAUAUNNNNNNNNNNNNNNNNNNNNNNNNNNNNNNNNNNNNNNNNNNNNNNNNNNNNNNNNNNNNNNNNNNNNNNNNNNNNNNNNNNNNNNNNNNNNNNNNNUAUAUAUAUAUAUAUAUAUAUAUGUGUGUGUGUGUGUGUGUGUGUGUGUGUGUGUGUGUGCGCGCGCACACUACAAGAAAUUUAGGUGUUUAUCCACACACGUUAUAUGUGGCUAAAAGACCUUUAUGUGUAGUUAUCUUUAGCUACACACAGAUUAAGUGUCAUAAUGUAUUGACUCAUGCCUAUAGAUAUAUAUCAUUAACUAUACAUUCAUUAUGUGGAAGUAUAGUGCAAUUAGUACACACAUACAUGUGUGGUUAAAACUAGUAAGUAUGUGCAUAUAGAAAGGGAGCUGAUCCGUUCACAACAAUUUUUCUCCAUACACAAUAAUUGAUGCUUUAAAAUGUUGUAUUAUACAACUAUAUAAUGCAUGAAUUGUUGUGUAUGGCAAAAAACUGUUGUGUACGAAUCACUUCCCAUAUAGAAGUACUAAAAAUUGUUUGAGUUGUCAACGAUGUGGCUGAUGACAUGUCAAAUUAUGUGGCAAGCCCACACAAAGUGUUGGUGAUAUGUGUUAUUCGAUAUGUGUGGGUAAUAAUUGUUAUAUGUGUAGGUUAAGAUAAGAUAUAUGAAAUAUAUAAAACACAAUAAAUGAAAUAUAAAAUUUAACAACACAAAUUGUUAUUACUUUUAAUAAGGAGUUAACGAUAUAUAAAACUUCUUUUGGAAUGGAAGUAUGUAGCACCCAAAGUCAGAAAGGCCAAGAAAGGAAAGGAAACCCUAAGUUUAAGGGACGACUCAGCAAGUCCAAGGAGGUACUCGGCGAGUCCGAGCGGGAUCCGGGUCGAGGAGUAAAUGACCGACUCGGCGAGUCGGCCAAGGAGACUCGGUGAGUCUGGUCUGUACGAGGAAAUCCCUAAAUUCGGGACUUGGAGCCUAUUUAAGCGCCUCAUUCUCUUCUCUAGGGUUCCUCUACUGCCUCUCUAACCNCUCAACCCCACCCCCGCCCCGCCAUAUCCAUUGUUGAGCCAAUUAUUGCUUUGAAGAGUGCAUUAAAGCUUGGAGAAGGAAGAAGGACCUUGGAGGUGCAAGAAGGAGCUAUAGAUCUGGGCUUGGGAAGAUAUUUCUGAACAUUUGGAGGUAAUAAACUAGUUCUUGGACUCCUUUGCACCUAGAUCUAUGUGUGAGUUUUGGGGCUUUUGGCCAUGAUUGGUACCCAUUUAAGUUAGAAGCCAGAUCUAAAGUUGCUACUUCGGAUAUAAGCAUAUUAUGGGCUUGUGAAGCAUAAAGUAUCAGCCCUUGAGUUGAUUAUGGAGCCUCUUUGCAUUAAACCCUAUUUUAUGGUGUGUCUAGCCUAGAUCUCCUUCUCUACACGUAAAGUUUGCAACUUUACGUGAGGAAUAGGCUUGGGAAGGGUAGAUCUACAGUUUGGGGUCCAUGCAUGACUCAAAAGUCCUCUACAUGUAUGUAGAUCUGAAUGGACUCGGCGAGUCCUUUGAGUGGACUCGGGGAGUAGCAUGAAGAUUAGGAGGAACUCAACGAGUGGGAUGAACAGCUCAUCGAGUCGGAUGAAGUUGGGCAGGAACUCGGCGAGUUGGAAGAACAACUCGGAGAGUCGGUUGAAGAUUGCCUUGGACUAGGUGAGUCUGUUCUUGGACUCGGCGAGUCAGGUCGCGAAACCCUAAACCCUUCGACUUGAGACUCGAAUCAGUGAGUCGAGUGGAGACUCGGUAAGUUGGACAGGUCAGGACUCGGAAAUCGGUAGACUCGGCGAGUCAUGGACUGACUCGGUGAGUCGAGUCGCGAUUGGAAGGACUUAGAGCAUAUGAACUCGGCGAGUCAAUAGGUAGACUCGGCGAGUAGGGUUGACCUGGAAGAUUGACUUUGAACAGGACUUUGACUUUGACCAGAGUUGACUUAGUUGACUGUUGGGGGUCAGUUAGUCUAAGUGUUUCAUUGAUAUUGGUAGCUCGGGGAGCUAGUGGAGCAGGAGUUCAGAGAGUUUCCGGGCAGCAUCCAGAAGGUUAUCAGCAUGUUCAGCAAGUGCAUGUGAGUUUCCCUUUGUGCCAAUGGGUCUACGGUCACAAUGUCGGCCCAUGUAGUUAUGAGUAGAAGACCCGGGGGUUAGCCCUAGGCACAGUAUGCUAGUAUGAUAUUCAGGACGAGGUCCAAUGAUAGCGGGCGGGUGCCCAAGGAAUGGUUUAUGUGAUAGUUUAUACUUGUUGUAUGUGUGAUACUUGUAUGUGUCUGGUAGGGAGGUGAGUGUGGGCGAGGUCCCGUAUCUCACCAAUAGCAGAGUGUGGAUGGUGUUCCACAUCUCAGUAGCAGCAGAGCAGGGGCGAGGCCCAAGUUAGGGAAGGAGUGAGGGUGGGCUGGGCCCGUACCUCACUAUCAGCAGGAGUAUGGACGGGGUUCCAUGACUCAUCAGUAGCAGGACAAGGGCGGGGCCCAGAGAUAGGCGAGGCCUUAGGACAAGAUCCGUUAGUAUGUGUUUAGCUUAUGUGAUGUGAUGUGAUAUGUUUAUGUGCUAUUAUAUGUUAGUGGGCGAGGCCCUGUGACAGGCGAGGCCUAAGUGAAACAGAUCUGUAUCCGAGCGGGGCUCGAAGCCAGGCGGGGCCUGGAGCGGCGGGGCCGUUGUAGCGGGCGAGGCCCGAGGUAGGGGGGGAGGCCCAGGAUAGCGGGCGUGGCCCAGCGUGUGCAGUAUGUGGUUAUGCAUGGUAUGUGGUAGGGUGGGGAACUCACUAAGCUUCGUGCUUACGGUUUUCAGUUUUGGUUUCAGGUACUUCCGGUAGCGGAGGGAAGAGCUCGGGGGUGAUCGCAUGGCACACACCAUAGAUUAGACAGUCUGGGAAUGUUUUACUCUGACAAUGAACAUGUGUUUUGGAAAAUUAAUACUCUGAUUAUGUUUUGAAUUGGUGACCUUGCUUAAAGAAAUCUUUUAUUAAAAGAAAUUUUUAGUCAUGAAUUUUGGGACGUUACAAGUUGGUAUCAGAGCCUUGGUUUGAGGGAUUCGGGCAUACUCUCGGGUGUGCCUGAACUCAAACUAAGGGGUCGGAUAAAAAGUUUUCAAAAUGAAAAGACAGUUUUCUAAAAAGAGAGUUUUGGGAAAGAAAACAGUUUUAGAAAAGCAAAAAGAAUUCAGAAAGAAAAGAACUUUGAAAAGAAAAAAAUGGUGUGGUGCAUGCAAUCAGCUGGUCUUAAGUAAGUACCCCAAAUUACCCAUACAAGUUUAUGUUAUGAUUAUCAGUUAGUAGAACAGCAUGCUAGAUUAGGACUAAGGAUCUAGGGAGGAUGCCUUAUGUGCCUAUUAUAUGUGCUUUGAGUUGCAUGAUAGUGUUGAUUAGACAGUGGUAGGAUAGCCUGUUUAGGUUAUGCCUGAGUAUAUGAGUUUGUGUUGCAUGCUAGUUCAGAUUCUUGCUAUGUGGAUAUGAUUGCUUAUGUAUGUUAUGGUUAGAUUUUCCCCUUGUCUGAAUGCUGCCUGCUUUGUGCAAUAUGGGAUUCCGAGUGAUGGGAGUAACCAUUAGGUGGAUACGUCACGUCACAUGUGAUCAGGGUUGAAUAAUCUCAGAGUGCUAAAUUUGGCCCUAUUUCGCAGCUCUCGUUUGAGUCCAACCAUUGUAGGGAUGAGUCUUUUACUCGAAGAAUUAUCUGAGCCUUGUCACAUGUGAUGGUGUCCAGUUGAUGGCCAAUUGGCAUCACAAGGAGUCCUUCAGCAGCUGAGGCCUGGUUUGGUGUGAGUCAGAGGUUUCCUUAGGGUAAGCCUAGGAUGAGAUAGUGUUGGGAGCAGUAGUAGUGGAUAAGGGACCUGGUGGAGUCGAAGCAAUUCCNGAGGAAAGUACAGAUAGAUAUGGAUGGUAGUAUGGGCCCGUACUACUGAAAGCAGAGGAUCCGUACUCGAUUCGGGAAAGGCUGAGACAAGACCGAGAACCUAGUAGGGUGAGUGUGUGUCUGGUCUCACAGCAGUGAUAAGUAUUCUGAUAGAGGAUGUAUUAUAUAUUCAGCAUGGUGACAUUGCGAGAGAGACCAGUGGGUGGACCAGGCGCCGGAGAGGGAUCGCUCGGGGUCNAGCAGCUCGAGGAGCGGAUGAGGGAGUUGAUAUCAGCUGAGGUUACGCGCAGUAUUCUAGAUCAGACUCCUGUGAUCUUUGGCACGGUCAAGGAGGGUAUAUUGGAGAUUUUGGAUGAGAGGCUGGGAGCCUUCCGUACCGAGAUGAUGGCAUUGAUGGGAGCACGUACCUUGACAUUUCGAGAGUUCAGGGCUUGCGGGGCACCAGAUUAUCAUGGGGCUAGGGACCCCAUCGCUAGCAGCAGAUGGUUGGUUGAUGUUGCCAAUGCAUUCCGUACGAGCCGGUGUCCUGAGGGGGACAAGGUUAGGCUCGCUUCUUGUCUUCUGAAGAACAGAGCAAGGGAUUGGUGGGAGGAGAUUAGUCAUGCCUUGGGGGAUGAUGUCGCGUUGGAUGCGAUGACUUUGAGCGAUUUCUCGUCCAGGUUCAGGGCGGAGUUUUCGCCGAUUAUUGAGGUGCAGCAGUUGCCACAGGAGUUUCAGGAUUUGACGCAGACCACUGAGACUGUGGCGGAGAUCACCGCCAAGGUCAGGGAGAGGGCUCUUCUUGUACCGCAGUGUGUCGCGGAUGAGGAGAUGAAGAAGGCCCGAUACCAUGAGAUGUUGAGGGAUGAUAUCAGGGUGUUCGUGAUCAGGUCCAGCUGUAAGACGCUAGAAGAUAUGAUUUCUCGAGCUAGAGAGAGGGAAAUUGAUUUGGAGCAGAUCCGGAAGAGGAAGCCGGAUGAGGUUUAGGUAGCCACAGGUUCGGGCAAAAGGCCUAAGGGAUCAGAUUCGAGAUCGAGGGAUUAUCAGGACCGCAGUCGGUGCGGGAAGUGUGGCAGGGCGCACAGGGGUGCGUGUAGGAGUGGUAGCGGUGGUGAUUCUGGCUGCUUCAAGUGCGGUCGGACUGGUCAUUUCAGUAGAGAUUAUACUGUUACCACCACACAGGGAUCAGACUUGAUAUGUUUUCACUGCAAUCAGCGGGGCCACAAGAAGGCCCAGUGCCCCAGUUUGUUUUCAAUAGGACGGGUGAUGACACUUGCCCCUGCAACUUUGAGGAUCACAGACGGCCGUCAGGGCCGUGCAGAGGCGCCUGCGGUAGGAGGCAGGUCUUUUCAGAUGACUACCUUGGAGGCGCGAGCAGCACCGGACGUUGUAGGUAUGCGAUUUUGUUUUCAGUUCUUUUAUUUGUGCAUGAUUAUAUUGUUAUGGUUCUGGAUCAUCAUUGGUUUGAGUAUUUUAUUUUUUGAGCGGUUGAUUGUGAUCGAGUUAUAUGCCAUCUUAAUACCUUGGAUAUUUGAAUGGUAGUUAGGAGAUGUGCUCUAUUAGAGAAGGUUUCAUAGGAUGCAGUAAUUGUAGCAUGCCUGGGAGGGACUUGGUAUGUCUCGCUAGAUCGGAGUUGUAUAAUGUUAGAGAUGGAUUGGUUAGAUCCCUAGCUAUGGUGAGCUUGGGUUCCUCAGCAGCUUGAUUAUGGAAUGGUAGCAAGGAUUGGGAUUCUUUUGAGUAUUGAGCAGCAAGGGGUAAGCAGGAUCGAAGUGGGGGAGAAUCCUCCGAGUGUGCAAAGGUAGGAUCACGCAGACCCAAAAUGAGUGCGCGACCUCCGAGAAGGAAAAGAAGUAGUUCAGCGUUUGAUGGAUUGAGGAUUUCAGGGUUGGGAUUUUGAGAAACUCCCCAUCAGCUAGUGCGUGUGAUGGUGAUGGUUAGUAUGUGGUUGGGAAUUCAGGUUGUGGAUCGCCCGUAGGACUCGAGGGAGUCGGAAUGAGGAUCUUGAGAGCUAAUGGCACAUGGGUGCCUUCGUAUUAGCAGUCAGUGGUAGAAAGUGAUGUAAGACUACGGGGCAGCCGUAGCAUUCACUAACAGUUAGUGGUAGAAAGUGAUGUAAGACUACGGGGCAACUAUAACACUCACUAGUAGUCAGUGGUGGAAGUGUUGUAAGACUACGGGGCAACCAUAGCAUUCACUAGCAGUCAGUGAUGGAUGGUGAUGUAAGACUACUAGUAAGCCGUAGCAUUCCUUAGUAGCUUCGUUAGCGGAGUUGGGGCGAGGCCCUUAUCUCCUAGCGAUCAGAUAGGGAUCAGGAAUGGGUAGUGGAUGAAAGUGAUAGGAAGUUUGCUUGUAUAGCCCUAGAGAGGUGAGACCUUGGGAGAGGCCGCUCCAGGAUAUAGUUGGGUGAGGCCUGUGGGCGAGGCCCGUAUGAGAGUAGCGGUAUAGGUGAGACCUGAGAGUAGGGUUGCUCAGUAGUAUGGCCGGGUGAGACCCGUAGGCGAGGCCCGAGAGAGAGUGGUUAGACAAGUAGGACUAGAAGGAUAGAGGCGGGGGGGACCCGUGGGCGAGGCCCGUGUGUUUUAGCGGCAUAGGGGGGACCUGGUAAGGACCUUAGUGUCAAGAUAAGGGAUCGGGGAUCCAUGGAUUGUAGUGACUGAAUGGCAGAAUAGAUUGCGCAGUUAUAGGUGGUCAAAGUUCCUUCGAAAGUCGCUGGGAGCGACUAGGAGUAGUGUUGGGACUAGCGACCGGUGGGAUCCGGUAAUCCAGAUAUUGGUAGGACGGUAGGGAUUAGGGUGGUCUCAGUUCAUCCGGAAGGCAGAUAAGGAAUAGCAGAAUUUUCAGUCAGUAGUAGUGCGGGUAAGCAGUGUAUGGUGGAAUUCAGUUAGUUGUAUCGAGGGGUGCUCGACACCAAGUUUUGACAGAGAGGAGUGUCAGUGGUUACUGGCGGUGAUGACCUGUACUGGAAGUAGCGGGGGUGAUGGAGUUGGCGAAGGAUAUGACCUUCACAGUGACAGAGGAAAUAGUUGGUUAUGGAGCAUUGCCUUGGGAAGGCAAGGAAUUCGCACAAGGAAAGAAGGGGUGAACCCCUAUAGGUUCAGUACAGUACUCGGUGAGUACCGGAAGGAUUGUCGGUUGAGUAAGUUGUGUUUCCAGGAUGUUCAGGGUCAGGGUGACCUGAGUCUAUUAUCCGCAAGGAAUGAUGUUAGUCAGAAUGACCGGGCGGAAGACCAGCGAAGGUAGGCAGCUGGUGUUGGAAUGAUUAGUUGGGUAUUGAAAGCAUAUCGCAGGCAGUGGCCCAUAGCAAACUUCGAGGAUGAAGUUUAGUUUAAGUGGGGGAGAGUUGUAACACCCAAAGUCAGAAAGGCCAAGAAAGGAAAGGAAACCCUAAGUCUAAGGGAUGACUCAGUAAGUCCAAGGAGGAACUCGGCGAGUCCGAGCGGGAUCCGGGUCGAGGAAUAAGUGAACGACUCGGCGAGUCGGCCAAGGAGACUCGGUGAGUCUGGUCUGUACGAGGAAAUCCCUAAAUUUGGGACUUGGAGCCUAUUUAAGCGCCUCAUUCUCUUCCCUAGGGUUCCUCUACUGCCUCUCUAACCCAGAACACCAAACCCUAGCCGCCAUAUCCGUUGUUGAGCCAAUUAUUGCUUUGAAGAGUGCAUUAAAGCUUGGAGAAGGAAGAAGGGCCUUGGAGGUGCAAGAAGGAGCUAUAGAUCUGGGCUUGGGAAGAUAUUUCUGAACAUUUAAAGGUAAUAAACUAGUUCUUGGAAUCCUUUGCACCAAGAUCUAUGUUGAGUUUUGGGGCUUUUGGCCAUGAUUGGUAUCCAUUUGAGUUAGAAGCCAGAUCUAAAGUUGGAACUUCGGAUCUAAGCAUAUUUUGGCCUUGUGAAGCAUAAAGUAUCAGCCCUUGAGUUGAUUAUGGAGCCUCUUUGCAUUAAACCCUAUUUUAUGGUGUGUUUAGCCUAGAUCUCCUUCUCUACACGUAAAGUUUGCAACUUUACGUGAGGAAUAGGCUUGGGAAGGGUAGAUCUACAGUUUGGGGUCCAUGCAUGACUCAAAAGUCCUCUACAUGUAUGUAGAUCUGAAUGGACUCGACGAUUCCUUUGAGUGGACUCGGCGAGUAGCAUGAAGAUUAGGAGGAAUUUGACGAGUGGGAUAAACAGCUCGUCGAGUCAGAUGAAGUUGGGCAGGAACUCGGCGAGUUGGAAGAACAACUCGGCGAGUCAGUUGAAGAUUGCCUUGGACUUGGCGAGUCUGUUCUUGGACUCGGCGAUUCAGGUCACGAAACCCCAAACCCUUCGAGUUGAGACUCGAAUCAGUGAGUCGAGUGGAGACUCGGUGAGUUGGACAGGUCAGGACUCGGAAAUCGGUAGACUCGGCGAGUCGAGUCGCGAUUGGAAGGACUUUGAGCAUAUGAACUCGGCGAGUCAAUAGGUAGACUCGGCGAGUAGGGUUGACCUAGAAGAUUGACUUUGACCAGGACUUUGACUUUGACCAGAGUUGACUUAGUUGACUGUUGGGGGUCAGUUAGUCUAAGUGUUUCAUUGAUAUUGGUAGCUCGGGGAGCUAGUGGAGCAGGAGUUCAGAGAGUUUCUGGGCAGCAUCCAGAAGGUUAUCAGCAUGUUCAGCAAGUGCAUGUGAGUUUCCCUUUGUGCCAAUGGGUCUACGGUCACAAUGUCGGCCCAUGUAGUUAUGAGUAGNGGAAGGUUGACUUUGACCAGGACUUUGACUUUGACCAGAGUUGACUUAGUUGACUGUUGGGGGUCAGUUAGUCUAAGUGUUUCAUUGAUAUUGGUAGCUCGGGGAGCUAGUGGAGCAGGAGUUCAGAGAGUUUCUGGGCAGCAUCCAGAAGGUUAUCAGCAUGUUCAGCAAGUGCAUGUGAGUUUCCCUUUGUGCCAAUGGGUCUACGGUCACAAUGUCGGCCCAUGUAGUUAUGAGUAGAAGACCCGGGGGUUAGCCCUAGGCACAGUAUGCUAGUAUGAUAUUCGGGACGAGGUCCAAUGAUAGAGGGCGGGUGCCCAAGGAAUGGUUUAUGUGAUAGUUUAUACUUGUUGUCUGUGUGAUACUUGUAUGUGCCUGGUAGGGAGGUGAGUGUGGGCGAGGUCCCGUAUCUCACCAAUAGCAGAGUGUGGAUGGUGUUCCACAUCUCAGUAGCAGCAGAUCAGGGGCGAGGCCCAAGUUAGGGAAGGAGUGAGGGUGGGCUGGGCCCGUACCUCACUAUCAGCAGGAGUAUGGACGGGGUUCCAUGACUCAUCAGUAGCAGGACAAGGGCGGGGCCCAGAGAUAGGCGAGGCCUUAGGACAAGAUCCGUUAGUAUGUGUUUAGCUUAGGUUAUGUGAUGUGAUAUGUUUAUGUGCUAUUAUAUGUUAGUGGGCGAGGCCCUGUGACAGGCGAGGCCUAAGUGAAACAGAUCUGUAUCCGAGCGGGGCUCGAAGCCAGGCGGGGCCUGGAACGGUGAGGCCGUUAUAGCGGGCGAGGCCCGAGGUAGGGGCGAGGCCCAGGUUAGCGGGCGUGGCCCAGUAUGUGCAGUAUAUGGUUAUGCAUGGUAUGUGGUAGGGUGGGGAACUCACUAAGCUUCGUGCUUACGGUUUUCAGUUUUGGUUUCAGGUACUUCCGGUAGCGGAGGGAAGAGCUCGGGGGUGAUCGCAUGACACACACCAUAGAUUAGACAACCUGGGAAUGUUUUACUCUGAUAAUGAACAUGUGUUUUGGAAAAUUAAUACUCUGAUUAUGUUUUGAAUUGGUGACCUUGCUUAAAGAAAUGUUUUAUUAAAAGAAAUUUUUAGUCAUGAAUUUUGGGACGUUACAAAGUACAUUAAUCCUUGGUACAAAUAUUACAUCAACAAAAGUUAUCUCUAAGCUUUCAUGAAAUUGAAGACCUUAUGCCUAACACAACCAUUGUAUCUAGAUAAGAUUUUCCUACUUAUUUACUUUGUUGUGUGCAAAUAUUAAUACACUUGACUUAAGCAUCACCAACAUUUGGACAUAAUUGUUGACGUUGAGGUGGUUGGUUAGAGCAUUAGUCAACUUUAAUAUUCAAGUGAAGACGUAUCAAAUACAAGUGAUUGUAGUUCACUCCUAUAGCAACAAGAGGAGCAGAGGCUUUAAGUAGUUUAUCCAUUUCAACAUGAAACUCUUUUCACACAUGAACGAUCUUAUGACACCUGUCAAAUGCCUCUUAAAAUAUACAAUCAACACUUGGUCAGUAGCUUUCUUCUCUGUGGCCAGAACCAUGACCUCUUCAUUUCCCUAUAUUAAUGAUGACAGGUUCAUAAACUAAAAGGACUGUAAAGUCAAAAUAGUUGACAUUAUGUUGACAUACCUAGUGGUGUGAAGAGAAGAAUAAAUAGAAUGUUUGUAAUAAACCCGCUUUCUUGGGUGAGGAAACCAUGACACUUGUUCAGAAAUGAAACAUCCCAACUAGCACCUAACGACUUUUGCUACAUUGAGAUAUACUAGCAAACAACAUAAGCAAAUCACAUGGAAAAUUAUUACAAUUAAUAAAACUCAUAAAUAAAGUGGUAAAAACAGCCUUGCACACACUCUUGAUUAAAAAAAUAGUUUAUAUUAGUGUAACAUCCCGAUUUCUCGAUAUCAGUUUAAAGUUCUAGAGUCAUGUUUCAAAGACAACUCGACGAGUUGAUAGGCCAACUCGUUGAGUAGUGACCAAAUCAGCCAUGUGGAUUUUAGACCCUACUCGUCGAGUUGGAGGACCCGACUCGACGAGUAGGUGCUGGAAAGUGAAAACCAUAAUUUUUAGGGUUUGCACCCUAUUUAAAGGUCCUUAACUUUCCUCCUCAGCCUCCCUUGUCACCUUCACGUCCAAAAAAACCAACUAGUCUCUAUUCUUGAGUGUGUGAGACCAAAAGAGAGUGUAUUGGAGCAUUCUUAAGGAGUUAAGAGCUUUGAACAAGGGAUAGCUUGUAGAUCCAACUUUUCCAGUGUUGUGACAACAAUAUUGAGUUAUAAAGCUACCACCUUUAUAUUUCAUUGCUUAGAUCUUCCUUUUUGGUAAAGUAAUUGUCAUGUCUAGGGCAUGAUGGGGUCACACUCGGAUUUAAGCUUGCCACAAGGGCAUAGUUUUAGAACUUGACUUCUUAAGGCCUUAUGAACAUAAAUCCUUAAGCUUUAUGAAGCCCUAGCCCUCCUUCAUGUCCAAAACCUUCUCCUAAUGCUAAUUAUGAGUGUUUUAGCUUCAUAGAACCAUGCAUGCAUGUAAAGUUAGCAACUUUAUGUGAUAACAACACCCUAGGAGCAUAGAUCUACUGUUUGGAGCUUUGGAGCAGCUUAAAAUAGUCUGAAUGAGUGAUGGACUGAAGGAGACUCGACGAGUUUCAUGGUUGAAUCGAAGAGUCGGUUGAAGAUUGCCCAUAAUGGUUUUGCAUGGACUCGGCAAGUCAGUAAGAAGACUCGACGAGUCAGUUAGGGUUCUUCCUGACAUUUAGACACGCGUAGACUCGCCGAGUUGGUGGGGAAACUCUGCGAGUUGGCCCAGGGAUUUCACGGUUUUCUGAGUUUUGGAGGAACUCGAUAGGUCAGUAGUUGGACUCGACGAGUUGGGUCAACAUGGACUGUUGACCUUGACUGUUGACUUGGAGUUUGACCAGGGUUAACCAUGUUUGACUUUGGAGGGUAUUUGGUAAAUGGGUAUUUAAGGAAAUGGAUCAUGGGUGGAUAUAGGUAAUGGAGUUUGGGGCAGUAUUUUGAGAGCGUGAUUUCGUGGUUUAGUUCGGCAUUGCAAGGUGAGUUAUCCUCACUAUAUCAACAGGGUCUAAGGCACCAAGGUCAGCCCUUUAUCUGAUUUGUAUUCGGGUAUUUGCUUGAUAUGUUUUUUGAUCUGCUAGAUCUGCAUCCUGGUAGUUAGGAUGGUAUUAUGUUUAGUGACCUGGUUUAGGUCAGUAUCCUGGUAUAUGGGAUGAUGUUAUGUUAGUGACCGGUUAGGUCGGUAUCCUGGUUAUAGGACGGUUGUUGUGUUAGUAAUCAGUUAGUUUGGUAUGAUUAUCUGUUGUAUACAUGCUCGCGUAUAAUAUUUAUGUGCACAUGAUUGUUUGAUUGUUAUGGGGGUUGGGUUGAGGCGGGUCCUGCUUCGUGUUGUAGGCCAACAUACCCAUGGCGGACCGGAAAGACUACAGGCCCAGGAAGGCACAUUGUCCAACCAAUGGCCCAACGAGCGGUCCGGAUAGGCUGAAGGCCCCGAGAGGGUGGUCCAAACGUGCCGAGGCUCGGAGAGUGGGCCAGGUGGACUGAAGGCCCGGUGCGGGCGGUCCAGUCAUACUGUAGACUCAAAGAGUGGACCAGGUGGACUGAAGACCCAGUGCGGGUGGACCAGUCACACAGUAGACUCGGGAUGCAUGGCUGUUCAGUGUUUGUUAUAUGAUAUGAUUAUGGAUUGUAUGAGGUUGGUAUUUUGGGGGUAACUCACUAAGCCUUCGAGCUUACGUUUAUCAAUUUAUGUUUCAGGUACAACGAAUUAACCCAGGAAGACGAAUGUGUGAUCGUACACUUCCCCAUAAUAUGUUUUGGAUUUUCUGGGAUACUCUGAUGUGAAACUAUUUUGGAAACCUUUUUGUAAUAACUAUUGGCAUUUGAAAUGUUUUUAAAAGUUUAAAUUUGGCUUGGAUUUUAUGGGUGUUACAAUUAUUUCAAUUAUCCAAGACGAUUUUAUGUCGAGAUUUUAAGUUAACAUUAAAUCUCAAUUAUUUGUUUGAAUGAUUUUUUUCUUUUAUCUUAGAGAUUUGUUUGAAAUUUAUUAAUUUUUUUUAUAAAUUUGAAUUAAUCAAAGACACAUAUAAAAAUAUCUCAUCAAAUCAAAUAAAUUUAAUAUAUAAAAAAGAUAGUAUCCGAUUAAGUCAAUCUAAAAAUACCAACAUAUAAAUAUAACUCACAAAUCUUGAUGGGAAUAAGAAUCAAACUCAAAAUCAAUCAAAUAAAAAAACCUUUGAUUUGUGUUAUAAGUAUAAAAUAAAUCAGGAUUCCAAAUAAAUAUUACAAUGAAAAAAAACCUAAAAUGUUUGAAACAAAAUAUGAAAUUCGCCAUCACUGUCAAUUUAAAAAAAAAACCUUUAUUAAUACUAAUGGGCUAUUUGGUAGCAUCCUGAUGAAUCAUAUCUGAAUGAUCUAGAUGCCUGGAUGAUCUAGAUGCUCUUUAGGAAUUUCUAUCGGAAUGAUAAAAUAAUGUUUGGUUAGGCAUCUAAAUAUCUGCCUCUUAAUGAGGAAAAUAACCAUUUUAGCCCUCUAAAUUAUUUUUUGAAUACAAAAUAAACAUUAUACAAUAUCCAACAAAUCGGUUAAAACAAAUUGGCUUUUGAUAUUCAGAUUCAUGUGUUUCUUCAUCAACAAUCUCUUUGAAGAGGACUCGUUUUGUUUCUGUUUUUAGAUCAUUAGGCUUUCUUGCUUCUGGAACAUUGAUGGGCCUAUUUUCUUGCUGAAUAUCUUCCAUCACUAGCAACUUCAUCUUGCUCCUAGAUCACAUAUCAACUAAACAAGUUGAAAAAUAACCAAACACAUAUUUUCAUAUAGAACAUUUCAAGCAAACACAAACACAUUUUCAAAAAAAAAAAAACAAAUCAAUUGUUAUUUUCAGAUUUCCAAAGGACAAAAACAACAUCAACUGAACACAUAUAUAGAGCAAGAAGAACAAAGCACAAAAAUCGAUUUCAUACAAAAUCGAGCAGCAAGAACACGAUUGACACCAAUUUCAUGCAAAAUUGCUCAACAAUAACACGAUUGAAGCAACAGAUUCGAGAAAAAAAACCAUACCUGAAAACUUACCGACGACGAGUAGGCGGAGAAGUAGGAGCGUUGUCGAAGGCAUGCAAGGGGAGGCGGCGACGGAGCCAAUAAUUGGAAGUUGUCAACGCUUAAUGAAGAUAAAGAAUGAGGGAUGAAAGGUCGAUCUCUAGAAAGAAGGAGAAGAAAAAAGAGUCGGCCGCAAUUUGUUGUUAGGGCAAUGGUAGAAGAUGAAAAUUUUUUUAUUCAGACUUCUCCUCAUAUCUUAACGAAUCAGAUUAGUUUUAGCUACAUCUGACCGAUUAAGAGCGUAAAAAUGUUUCAACCAAACACUCUGAAUCUUAAUGAUCCAAAUGCAACCUCUUAAUGAGACCAUUAAGAGGCAAAACAAACAGCCCCUAAAUAAAAAAAACAAUAUAGUUUCCAUAAAAAUCGAUUUAAAUAUUAAAGAAGAGAAGAAAUCAGCAUUUAUACGACGUAAUAGUUUUUUAAAAUUAAAAAAAAAAAAUUAUUCAUAUUAUAAGUAUAAAAUACAUUUUAUUCUUAACUCUCAUUUGUAAUUUGCCAUAUGUUUUCAUAAGAGUUUAUGGUAAUAACUUAAAUUUUUAUUUUUCCAUAUACCAUUUUUCAUUUACAAAAUUGUUUGUGCUUAUUUUUUUUUGUUAUAUUAAAAUUUAUUAUAUUUUAUUAUAUAAUAUAUAUCAUAAUUUUUUUCAUUAAUUUACAUAUAUCUUAUUUUUACGUGUUUAUUUGAAACAAUCGUUAUAAUGCAAAAUAAAUACCACUUCUCCAUAUUAAUUAUUAAUUUUUAUUAAAAUACUUUAUUAAUUAUUAUAAUUUUUAUCUAUUGAUAUUCGUUUAAUUUUGUAAGUUUUAUUUUCACAAAGUAUAACCUAAUUAAUUUCUCAUCAUCUAUAGUAAAUGAAAGUUUUUUUUUUCACAUGCAAUCACUAAUUAAUUUUGACACUUGUCAUUUUAUAAUAUUUUUUAAAUAAAUAAUAUCCACAUAUCAAUUUAUGAUUUUUNNNNNNNNNNNNNNNNNNNNNNNNNNNNNNNNNNNNNNNNNNNNNNNNNNNNNNNNNNNNNNNNNNNNNNNNNNNNNNNNNNNNNNNNNNNNNNNNNNNNNNNNNNNNNNNNNNNNNNNNNNNNNNNNNNNNNNNNNNNNNNNNNNNNNNNNNNNNNNNNNNNNNNNNNNNNNNNNNNAUCAAAUGUAAUAAAUAUUAUUUUAAAAUUUCAUUUUAAAAAAUAUUUAUUAUUACAUUUUAAUAUUUUAUAUUCUUUAAUCAACCGUGUAAUACAUUUUAAUACAUAGAUUUUCCAUCUAAUAAAUAAAUAAAAUGUAACCAUUUUAAUCACUAAAUAAUUAAUCAACCAAAGAUUAAAACCCACUGAUAAAAAGGAAACUAAAUCAACACCAAAUUGAAAAUUAAACCAUAUAUUACUAAAUUAAUUCACAGAGAGUUCGACAUCAAUCAAAUAUUAUCUCGCACUCAAAUUCACAAAACUCACUUUCCAGGUACAAAGUUUGUAGCAUAUGACCAUGCAUUGUUUGCAACAGGGUCAGCAAGGUGGUCAGCGAGGUUCUCCAAUGGUCCCUUUCCGGUAACAAUGGCUUGAACAAAGAAUCCAAACAUAGAGAACAUGGCUAGUCUACCGUUCUUGAGCUCCUUCACUUUCAGCUCAGCAAAUGCCUCUGGGUCAUCAGCCAGACCCAAUGGGUCGAAGCUACCACCAGGGUAAAGUGGGUCAACUACCUCACCAAGAGGUCCACCAGCAAUUCUGUAACCUUCAACUGCACCCAUCAAGAUCACUUGGGUAGCCCAGAUGGCUAAAAUGCUUUGUGCAUGGAUCAAACUUGGGUUCCCCAAGUAGUCAAGACCACCCUCACUAAAGAUCUGGGAUCCAGCCUUGAACCAUACAGCCUCACCAAACUUGACACCAUUACGCGCCAAGAGUUCGGGGAAGACGCACCCAAGAGCUCCGAGCAUGGCCCAUCUGCUGUGGAUGACCUCAAGCUCACGGUUCUUGGCGAAUGUUUCAGGAUCAGCAGAGAGCCCAGCAGUGUCCCAACCGUAGUCACCGGGGAACUCACCGGUCAGGUAAGAUGGGGCUUCGCCGGAGAAUGGGCCAAGGUACUUAACACGGUCGGGGCCGUACCAUGGACUUCCUGAUGGUGCGACUUUCUUGACUGCUGUCUUCCUCAUGGAAACCCUUCCAUUUCCGAUUAUUUCUGAACCAGAUGGUGCUGCUUUCACUGCCUGUCCGACGAAAGAAGAAGAUAGAGCCAUGGUGGAAGCUGCCAUUUUUGUGAGAUUUAUUUUGAAGAUGUUGUGAUGGUUAUACUUAUGAAGAUGGGUAGAACUGGAAGUAGAUUUAUAGGGUAGUUUUUGGAUCAGAUAGGUGAUCAAUGCUUAUCUUGAUACAAUCUUUAGCUUCAAUUUGAUUGGCUACAGAGAUUCUUGUGGGUCCGUAAUCUGUGGUGUGAGUUCUCUGGCCCCCCUGAGAUAUUUUGAAGGGGCAGGAUAUUCGUGGCUCUGGUUUAUUGAGCCAAUGACUGGCUUUCACUCACUACUCUUAGUGGUGGUUUUUUAUAAUAUGCUGUAAGCUUGUAACCAUCCAAUCGUCUAAGUUUAUAACUGACCUAUUAUUACAAAUAUAUACUAACCAGGCAAAACUUUUGGUUAUAAAAGUUAAUGUGACCGAGAGACUAACACAAAAAAUUAUAACAGGAGUAGUUAAUAAUCCGCGAUUUACCGCUAUGCCGAGAGCCGUAGGGAGGAUCCACCAUUUACCCCUAAGUGUGCAGAAUGCCUUUUUUUUUUUAGUAUUAAAAUAUCAAGAUCGGACACGCGUUGUAAAAUUCUUGUUCGAAUUGUUUGCAAACUCUUCGUCACAAUAAGGGGAGUUUAAAUAUGCGUUUUAAUAUAAUAACAUUGGCAUUGAUUAAAUGUUAAUAUUCAAUUAUCAUCCCACAUGAGAAUGAAAUAUAUUAAUGAUUUAUUAAUCUAAAAACAUUAUCAUCCCACAUGAGAAUGAAAUAUAUUAAUGAUUUAUUAAUCUAAAAACAAUUUUUUUAUGUCAUUAUUUUUUGGGGUUACAGUCGAGCUUGGAGGAUCUCGACUUUAGGUAUGCCCAUUUUAUUGAGAGGAAUUACUAAUAAAUUUCGGAAAGAGGAAAAAAAUAUGAUCGUGGACAUAUGGUUUAGGAAUAUUUUCAUGUUCGUUUGACACAAGUAAAGUUCUUGAAAUGGGUGCUUCAGUUUGUACGAGCGGCUAACUUGAUAAAGUUCAAAGACAUAAAGGCAAUUUUCAAAAACUCACAUGAUCAGUUAUCGAACAAGCAUGUCGUACUAGUGUGCCCACUACACAUGUUAGUUAGCGGUUUCAAUAGGAAAAGAGCAUCAUUAGCUGUCAAUGAUAAUAUUCUUUCUCUAGUACUCGAUCCUUACGACUUUUAUAUUUAUAUCAUGUAAUUUAGAAUUUAAUUUAAUUUCUAUUAAUCUUCGAUUACAGUUUAUGUGAUCUAAUUCAUGGAUGUUUUGGCACUACAUAUCUCAAUGGAGUAUGCCAGGGAAAUUUUGGUCAUAACAACAGCCUCCAUGGGUUUAUAUAUAUUUUUAAGGUACAUAUAACAUCCUAUUUUUAGGCUUAGAAAUUUUGGUCAUUUAUAGUGAAAAUAAUUUUUUUUAAUAAAAAAAUAAAAAAGGAAAAAUAAAAAUAAAAAGAAUGACUGAAUGAAUACAUGAGCUAAUAAAAGGUUUAGAUCAAAUGUUUAAAGAAAAUAGCGAAUUUAUACUUAAAAUAGGAAAUAAAUAAGGAAGGGUCAGUGGUGGCAACUUUGGAAAACUUGUUUAAUUUAGAUCUAACUAGACAAUUUAUUUGUAAAGAGUUAAAAAUGUAACGAAAUGAUACUUAUAAGCUUAAGAGGGAGUUUUUCAGUUGGAAAUGUUGUUAGAAACCCUUAUUGGAAAAAAUUAGGACAAAAGGACUAAAAUUGUCAAGUUGAUGAAACUUGUGUUAACCUUAAUGUAACGACCCUAAAAUCUUAAAUUAUGUGUUUAAUUACUUUGUAUCAUUUUGUUGAAAAAUGAACAUUAAUGAUGCAAUAAUCAAUUUGUUAGUAAAUUUCAUUGUAUAUCCUUACAUUUAUCAUGUUAUAAUCGAAAAUAUAGGACAUUUCAGCAAAAAAUAACCCUGUAGGAAAGUCGCAUUACACCUCGAUAUAUUCGUGUGGAUAUAAAUUCUAUGAAAAUCCAAAUUUGUAUGACGAAGUUAUAGUCAAUAUAAGUUGGAAGUACAAAUUUUAAUGUUUAAAUGUGUAUGUUNNNNNNNNNNNNNNNNNNNNNNNNNNNNNNNNNNNNNNNNNNNNNNNNNNNNNNNNNNNNNNNUAUAUAUAUAUAUAUAUAACAUCUCAAAACCAUAAUAACCAUAACAUAAAAUCAGAGUUUCAAAACAUAUUAUCUCUCUAAACCAUAACAAUCACUGGAUGAUGUGUAGAGUCACGUGUAACAUCUCGUUUAAAAUUAGAUAAAUAAAAUAAAAUAAGUAAAUAAAUUAGAUAAAAUAAGUAAAUAAAUAAUAAACCCUAAAACCUCAAGAUGAAUUUUAUAUUUUUAUGUUAGCCUUAAAUCCAUAAUAAUUAUCAGAGUAUUAGCGCAAUAAGUUAAAUGUUAUUAAUUCUGGAAAUAGGGGUUUAAAAUGUAAAUUUCGAACUAGUUAAGAAUAGAUUUGUGGAAGCUGGGGAUUGUUUGGUAAUUUGGACUUGAAUUGAAAGGAUUAUUGGAAACAGGUAUAGAGUAAAUUACAGAUUUAAUUUGUAAAGGAAUUGAGAUGGAGGGACUGAAAAUAUAAGAAAGGGACUAAUGUUUGAAGAGAUAGGCAUGACUUAAACCCAUUCCCCCUCCACCCUCUUGCUACUCGGUUGCACCCAUAUAAACCCUAACCCUAAUAUCUUCUCAGCCGCCACCUUAUCCCUCCAUAUCUCCAGUCGCUUCCAUCACCUGUGUCGCCGUCAUGAACCACUGAGCACCACUGCCGCUGCUCCCACUGCCGAUGAAAACGAAGAUCAACGUUUGGACACCGUGACAGUGGGGAAGUAGGAAGAAAGGAAGCUCGUGGUUGUUAUUGCUGUUAUUCUCGGUUAGGGGUCGCAAAACCUUUCUCUUCUCCGUUUCCUUUUGUUGCUACGUUGUCAUCGUCAUCGCUCCAUGUGAGGGUGGUUGUGUUUGUGUUUUGUGAGUGUAGGUGUGUGUUGCUGCUGUGGCAAGUUGGAGAGGUGUGUGUGUCUUUUGUUGGCCAGAAAAACGAAGAGAAUCACCAUGGCAACCAACCAUGGUGGUUUUCACCGUUCUGGAGCCACUAGCCACCACCCUAGGUGGCUGUGUGUGUUGGAUUGACAUUUCUUCUGUACCAGGAUGCUUUUGAUAGUGUUUGGCCUAAAAUUAUAACUACCACCAUUAAAAAGUGGUGGCUGUCGCCUCCUACCGCCAUGGACCGCCGCCGACCACCAAUGCCCGAGGUGGCAGUGGGUGGUGUCUGACUUACUAAACAUUAAAUAACCUAAACAUCUAACCUUAGACCGAGUGGUACGUGUUUGGGUUGGAAACUCUUACUAGGCUUUAGAAAAUCCUAA